Molecule: long non-coding RNA, 97281 nt
Filed under: Gossypium barbadense (sea-island cotton)
Lineage: Eukaryota; Viridiplantae; Streptophyta; Magnoliopsida; Malvales; Malvaceae
Description: long non-coding RNA (GBAR_LNC021337)
Source: RNAcentral
UCCACAACUCCAUCCAGUAAGGAAGUUGGUUGCAGCCUGGGUUGCUUUCCCUUGGAGGUUGCAGCUUGAGACAAAAUCUCAUUCAACCCCAAACUACUUCUUCGUGUAGUCAAACUAUUCAGUGUAUCAGUGAUGUCUUUCACCUUCGUGAUCAUGGAAUUCUUAAACUGAAAAGAAGUGGGAGGCAAAAUACUACGAAUAAUCCUUUCAGGAAUGAAUUUCCGUAUCUUACUAGGUCUGGCUUGAGCUUGAGUGUCUUGGAGAUUGAGGCGUAACUCUUCAUAAGCGAACUCGUCCAGGAUGUCAUCCACAUCGUAAGCCAAGUCCUGGAGAUCCUCCAACCAUUUCUUCACACCCAUGUUCUUGAUCUGCUUCUCCUCUGCAUCGUCCAACACUGCUUGGAUAUCAGGCAAUAUGGACUGCCACUGCUUGAGCUGCUCGUGGAGUUGGUAGUGAUCAGCAACAAAGUUGAGUGCAGAGUCAAGCGAUUUGCCCACCAACAGGUCCAGGAACCCAGAAAGAGCAGCCUCUCCAAUGACAGACAUGGUGGAAUUGUGAGAAAUAAGGUGACAAGAGAAAUGAGCAAAGACAAAAUGGAAAGUCAGGAACAAAAAAGAAAGAAAGGGAAAUGGAAUAUGCAAAAUUAGAGAAAGUUGAAGAAAUUAGCACAAUAUCCUUGAAGCAUGUAAUAUAAUAAUUCAGACUAUGAAGCAAUGAGUUGGAAGUCAUUGGGUACAGAUAAAGAAGCUGCUUUUCGUGUUAAUGGGAAAUGAUGGGACCUUUGCUUUUGAAUUUUGAUGCUCUUCUUUUCACUUGCUUUUGGUCUUUGCUUUUGCUUUUUGCUCUUCUUUUCACAACUUUGUCGCCAAAAUAUAGCAAACACCAAUACUCAAAAUUUUUGAAUCACAAAUAUUUACAGUAUUUAGCAUAUAAAAAAAUCAGAAAUUAAAUGAUAAUUUUUACUUUUUUAUAAUUUUAAUAGUAUAUAUCUUUAUAAAAUUUAAAAAAUUAAAUAAUAUUUUUAUCAUUUUUAAGGGAGUAAAGUAUAAUUUUAUAUUUAUUAAUUUAAAAUUUUAAAAUAUUUAAAUAGCCUAAAUGAAAGUUUUUCUAUUUUAGAGGACUUUGUCAACCCCUAAUUACGCCCGAGAUUGAUUGUAGUUAUAUUGUUAAUUGACUUACUAUUUUACUAUUUAUACUAUUAUUUAAGUUUAUGACUAGUUGAUGUUAAGAGUUUAUCGAGUAUCAACUUAGUUAAAGAAAAUAUGAAAAUGUCACUCUAGUCUUUUUAUGAUAAAAAAAUAAAAAUAUGUGCAUAUAAUGGGAUUUUGAACCCAUACUAAUUACAUUAAUAAAAUUAUUAAUUUACCACUCAACUAAAAUUUUAAUUUUUUUAUACAUUUUAAUUUUAUUGUACACACUUUAUUGUUAAUUAAUUUCAAACCUUAUGCUUUAAUUAUUUAUUGUAUGUUAUAUUCUAAAUAUAUGAUUUCCAAACAUACGUGUGUGAUAAGUAUACUAAUUAUAACCUAUAUUACUAAUUGUUGUACUAAUUUAUGAUUUGCUUUCUUACUAGAUCCGUUAGCCAAAUUCAAAUUACCUUCCUUUUAGAUCAAUUAAUUGACUUAAACCUAACUCAAUUAUAUUUCUUUCUAGAGUUAUUAACCAAAAUAAUCGACCGAACCGAUUAAACGAGAUUGUUUCUAUUAUUAUAUUUAUGAAAUCAUGAUCGUUUAGUUAUUGGUAUAUUUUUGUUGGGGUUAGGUUAAUUUAAUUUUCAAUUUUCUAAACUAAAAUUUACAUCUAGAUUUGAUGAUGAUUGCUUGUCCACAGUUCAUGGGUUUCAAUUAUACCAACCUAUUCUAUCUUCUUUUUUCCCUAAUGCAUGUGAGAUCUCUUUUUCUUUUCCUUAGCAAAGUAUUUAGGGUCUCUCUUUUUUGGUCAAAGUAAUCUUUAUCUUUAAUAAAAUAAUUUAAAAACCCUAAUCACUUCUCCAUAAUUGAUGGAACUUACAAGUAUAAUUAACAAAAAUAAAAAUACAAUUAUAAAUAAUUUAUGUCUCACCAAUUAUAACUAGAAUCAACUUAAUAUAGAAUACAAUAAGACUAAAAUCUAAUUAAAUACAAACAAAUAACAUUAAGAGUGAAAUAUAGGAAAGAACCCACACAUAAUAUUUACGUAUUAUGAAACUCAAACUUGGGCUCUCGAGGCCCAACAAAUCUCAUUGGCUCAUAAGCAAAUAUUUUAAUGUAUCACAAAUUCAUUACUGAAUCAGUACUCUAGAAAUUAGUUAUUCUUAAGUUGAAAGAUUUGUAUGUAUAACAAAUUUAUAUAGUUUUAGAGAAGAAGAUGGAAGAUGGCCAAAUAGAAAGGGCCAUUGCAAGGAUGAUAGUGAAGUUCCAGUUCCUACUGAGUUUCUGGUAUUAAAGAUGAUAGACAAUGUGGAAGGGAAACUAUUGAACUGGUCAUAUUGAAGAAAUAGUAGGGUGAUUAUAACCAAAGUGUAUUAAGGGUGGGACCUUGGCUUUUGAAUUUGAUGAAAUCUCUCUGCCAUUUCUGAAAUUCCAAUUUUCCUUUAAGGAAAACGAUGACGACGAUGCCAAUCUAAUUCCCAUUCAAUUAAACCCUGAUCUCGAUCACAAUGCCAUCUAAUGCCUAUAUAUCAAGUUAUUAUUUCCAUUCACUUUAAAGCCUAUUGUAGUUUUGGUUCAAUUUAAUAUUGCCAUUAAACAUCAUGAUUAAUUGACACAAUAUAGCAACCACACACGUCCUACUUUCUUUUGGGGUUGAAAACAUCACUGUAAAUGCAAAAGGAGAGAAGGUGAAGCCUUUCAAAUUCUCCACAUGCCAAAUGGUGCUGACAUGUCAGAUGGGCUGAUGUGGCAUACUAUGUUAGAAAAAUUAUAAAAAUAUUUUAAAAUUAAUAAAACAUAUAUAUACAUUUAGAAUGAAUCUGGACAUAUGGUUAUCCAAAUUCAAAUGAAUUUGGACAAAACAAAUAUAGCCUUUAUACCAAAGCAAUUAGUUUUAUAUUAGAGGUAUUAGAGUUUAGGUUCUAUUUUGUUAAUCUACUUAUACAUGUUAUCUAAUAUGUUAAUUUUGUCUCAAAUUUGAAAAUAAUUGGUGCUCAAAAUGAUUCAAAUCCAAGAUGACAUAAAUUUGAGAUGACCCUAUUUGAAAAACUUAUAUGGUCGUAAUCCAAAAUGGCUCAAACAUGAAACAACUUAAACCCAAAAUUGACCCGAACCAUAAUGACUCUCUAUUUAUAGCAGUAACAGAAAGGAAAAAUAGUAAAUAUGAAAGGGAAAAAGAGUAAAAAUCGUAGGGUUACCAUUUCCGUGCAACAGUAAAAAAUAUAUUUUGUUGCCAAAAUUUUCGCAACUGUCAAAAAUCGAAAAAUGUUUUAAAGAAAUUAUUUUUUGAAAAAUAAUAUUGAUUAAAAUUAGAGAUAAAUUAUGGACGAAAAUAUUGAAUUAUUUCAAAUGAUGAAGAGCAACUUUAAUAAUGUAGAGGGACUGGGUCGGUGUACCGAGGAUGAUACUUCGAAGGCUACUCUCAGAAGAGUCGAUCUGUAGCUCAAGUGGUACCAUAUACCUCAACAAUUGACCUAUAUUCAAUAGGUUAAGGGUUCGAAUCUCAUCAAGGGUGAGACUCUCAUGUCGCCUCUUAGUGGUGAUUGCAAGUCCACAUACGGUCAAGGCACCCCUUUUUGUGAGUAGUACAUGGCUCUCCACGGAGUGGGGGACAAAACCCUCUCACAGGGGAUAAUACCUUCUGUUAUUGAGACACUGGAUCGGCAUCCUCAAAGACGGCACUUCAAAAACUUCUCUCGAAUAAGCCGUCCCCAUUAACAAAUAAAUAAUUACUCUACACAACCCUAUUCUAUCUUUUAAAAUUAUUAUUUUGUCCCUUAAGAUAUCCAUUAAUCUUUUUAUGUAUUUCUAAUAUACAUGCUAUAUAUAUAGUAAAAUGAUAUAUAUAUAAUCUACACUAAAUAUGAGAAGAUUAUAAAUAUAAUAAUCUAUAAUUACUAAUGAAAAUUUUGGUUUGUACCGUUCACAUUGGCCGGAACAUGGUACACCUACUACUGCUGCAUGAAUAAUGUUAAAAAAUAUAAAUAGUUUAACUAUUUUCUAUUAGACUAAAUAUUUAAUUGAAAUGUAUUGACCAAUAAAAAAAAUAUUACACUAGAAAGUAAAAUUUAACAUUUUAAAUUUUUUUUGGAGCAUACUUUUUCAUUUAAAAUAUAAAAAUUAAAAUAUAAUAGAAAAAAAACCGACUCACCUCAUUAUCAUACAGCUUUUCUUAUUGAAAAAACCCCCACAUCCUUCAAUUUCUUUUUUUCUUCUUAAUUUUGAAUUUAUUGAAUGAUGAGUUUUUACUUGUCGAGUUUAUUAAUCAAUAUUUUAUGUAAUUGAUUAAUAGUUUUAUAUUAGAAAUUUAUUUAUAAUAAUUUAUUUGAUAUUUGUAUAUUUAUUUAUAUAAAUAUAUUAAACAUUUUAGAAAAUAUCAAUAAAUUCAAAAUGGUAUAUAAAAUAGACCAGUACCAAUACAUACCAGUUCUCAUAGAAAAGUGGUGCUUCCACCAAUGUGGUAAUGGCUACCUUGAAAGCAACUAUGUGGCAUAGUUAUUUGCAAAGAAAUGGGUUAAAGCAUGUUAAGUUAGUAUUGUGCUGAUCUUUGAGUGUAACCAUUGGGAUAUAUAUGGCUAUCUGAAUUUUUAUGAUUUGCUAUGCAUUGAUUGUGGUUGUUUUAGAUUGAGAAAAAAAAUAAAAAAUUCGAAACACAAAAAAGAAAGUAGAGAAAGUAAACCCAAUGAUAUACGUGGUUCGGGAAUAUUCCAUACAUCCACGGGCAGAACUAAAAACGAAAUUGACUACUAAAAAUUAGAGAUUACAAUGGAAUUACAUCAUAAAAUAAAAUACCUCGCCAAUAACUAUCCACAAACUUUGAAUGGAUUCAUGGUCUGAGAAAUUCGGAAAACUAAGAUGGACAUCUUUGAGAUUGGACAGAACAAUACUUUGGGAACUCUGUCGUCAUACAUGUGUUAAUUUGAGCUCUCUAAUGCCAUGUUGUAACGUGUACUGUAUCCCUCCAUUAAUCCUGGAAGGAUCAAACUAUCACGUAAAAGACUUGUUCUUUUGAAAAACCAUUGGUUAAUAGUACUACGAAAUGUCAAAUAUUUUUAACUAAAAUCCCAUUCUCAUAUACCAAAAUAGGUUAGAAAUUAGAAGAUGCAAAUGAAAACAGAACAUUCAAUUUGCUGAAUAAAUGUUGCAGAGAAUUGACUAACCGCUUUACUAAAUCAAAUAAGCUGAAGCAGAUGAGUUGAAGUUCACUAUUUUCUGCCAAUUUAGCCUUCAAUGCCUGCAAAAAUUGAAUACAAAAUAUCUAAGACUCAUUUAUGUUACCAUGUUGUUCAUGAGGACAAUCAGAUAUAUAUAAAAAAAAGUUAUGAAAUUUAUAAAUGUUUAAAAUGCGGUUUCACACCUGUGGUUUGAGUGUAGAGAAAUCGAUACCAGAUUUUGCUGCUUAAAUUUCAAUACCUCGGGAUGACUAAUUCAAAAUCAAUUUGAACAAAAGGUAUGUGGGAAAUCUUGGACCACUCUUGUCCUUUACCCCUACUGCACCCUUCUAGCAACGGGCAACGCUGAAUAUCAAGACGCUCAAGCGAGAGAAGCUCAUUAAAUUUAUAUAUUUUUUAAAUCACUUCAAAAUAUAUAGAAAACUUAAAGUACAUACAAUAUCAGUUAAAAACAUUAAUUUUUAUUUAUUUUGAGGUGAUAUAAUAAAAAAAAUACAAAUUUAAAAGCUAAUUAUUUUUCAUAAAGUUAGAUAGCUAAAUCUUUAUGUAUUUCUUUUACGAGACCAAAGUGGAUUAAAGUGUCUGUAACUCUAAAAUGAAUGUACCUUCUUAUGGCUUCAUGCACUAUUAGUCAGAAUGCAUCAAACACAAAUCUUAAGAUUAAAUUAAAUUCUGUAAAAUACUAAUACAAAUAAAAAUAUUGAAAUUCAGAAUAAAAAUACUGAUGUGACAUUAAAUUAUUGAAAAUAGAUACAAAUGUCAUUGUAUCUUUUUACAUCAUGUUUUUAUAAUAUAUGAUGUGAUCAUAAAUUAAACUCUUAAUUAUAGUGAUUAAUGUUCCAUUUUUGCAACUAAAAUCAAUAAAAAAUGAAAUUUAAUAAAUUGUAUUUUUUAUUGGAAAACAUCUUUAUAUUAAUUAAUUAUGAGAACACCUUUUUUAUGGAGAAGUGUUUGAUAAUAGGCCCAAUUGAUAUAUUUAUUGGGCUUAAUUUUGAUAAGUUCUUUAAUAAGAUGUGAUUAAUUUUAGAUUUAUUAUUUGAUUUCUGAUUUGGUGUAAAAAUAAACUCAAAAAGUGGAAAAGAAUCGGAAAUACAAGUUAUCGUAAAAGUUUUGGAUUGAAGAACUAGUUGGACCAUGAUCUAUUAUACUUUUUUAUAAAUAUUAUUUUGAGUUUUAAUAAUAUUUUUUAUGUAUAUUAUACUUUUUGGUUUUGGGCAGAAUUGGAUUGCAAAUGGAAUUUCUUUUCUUCUAUAUUUCUAAUUAUGUUCUUUCUUUUUCUCUUGUAUAAUAUUUCGCCGCCACGCCACCUUCCCAUUUUCCCCUUCUUUUAUUUAAUUCUUGUUGAAUUAUUAGGGGUGUGUAAAUUUCGGGUAAAACCGAAUUAAUUCGGUUAACGGAUUGAAUUCGGUUAAUCAAACGGUUAAUCGAAUUAAUUCAGUCAGAAGUCAAUUAAUAAUUUUUUGAAAGUUUAGUUAAUGAUUAAUUAGAUAAUUAUUGAAGUGAACAAAGACAAAAUGGAAACCCAGGGACCAAAAUAGAAAGAAAGAGAGAUGGACUCUGUAUAAUUAGUGAAAGUUGAAGAAGUUGGCACAAAGGUUUUUUUUAGCAUCCAAUAAUUCAGGCUAUCACUUGGAAGACAUUGGAUUAUAGUUUUUUAUUUUUAAAAUUUAAAAAAUUAAUUAAGUGAACGUUAAUAAAGUAAAAAAAAAAGUUACAAAUUUAAGGGCUAAAAAAUAAAAAUUUAAAUAGAGAACUAAAAUGAUUUUUUUAAAGUUAAAAAGUCAAAUAAACUAUUAUGUCUUUCUUUUAUUGAACCAAAAUGAAUUAAAGUGUCUGCAAUUCUGAAAUGGAUGGACUUAGUAUUUAGAUGCAUUAUUAUUUUUACUGGAGAUCGGGAAUAUAUGGACUUUCUAUGGGCCCAUUUAACUGAUAGAUUUUAUUACCACUUUAGCAACUUUGGCGAUUUAAUCAGUUACUCGAGAUUCGCAAUUAUUUUAUUUCUUGAUGCUAGCAAUAUACAGUGAUCAAAUAGGAUCAUUUCUUCUGAAGACCUUUUAUUUUUUUCAUCAUGUGGGAGUUUGAAUUAAUUCUCAUUUAUCUACUUCUAUCCAUGAUGGGGAAGAACCAAAUAUUGCAAAUUCAAGCAAUUCCGAAUCCACAGCUCUUUUAAAGCAGGAGGAAAGUUACUCUCUGCAAAACAAACCAAGCGUGAACAGCUUUCAAGUUGCAUGCUUGUAAUGAAUGGGAAAGCAUGUAAGGCUUCUGGUAGUCUAUUGAGCCUUUCACAAUCAUUUAUGUUCAGAUAUUCAACACCUGGAAUCUUUUCAAGUUGCAAUCUCUCCUCCUCUGUUUCCAAAGAGACCAAUUUGGGACAACCCGAAAUCCUAAUAAAACGAUGCCCGACUAAUCUUAACCCAAUUUGCGAUAAAGAUCCCAACUCCUUCCAACCAAAGAUGUAGAAUGUUUCGGGGUUUGCAAAUCUCAACAUUAUCCUCUCUGCUGAAAUAUUAAAAUUUGAAAUAUUUGAAAGAGACACAUCUUUCAAGGAGGUAACCUUCUGUACAGAUAAAGAACCUUCAUCCACCAAUUCUUCACAUCCAUUAAUUCUUAAUUCACAUAAUGAUGAAAAACUUGAAAUUGAAACUGCCAGCCUCUUACACUCACAGAUUUCAAGUGUCUGCAAGGAUUGAAGGAUGGUUGGCAACCUUCCCAACAAUACAGAACAACUUUUAAUUGAAAGCUUACGAAGGCUGGGAAAUUUCGAAACUUGCUCAUCGUCUUCACAUAGGUUCCACUCCUCCCAAUUCAGCAUAUUGUCAAAACACAGAGACUCUAAUGAUGCAAAAGCAUUUGAUUGAUUUUCUCCAAACAACUCAGCACCAAUCUUGUGUACUUGAUCCAAUCCACUAAUUGAAAGAUCUUUUAACAACAACAACCUUCCAAUCGAUGGUAGAGAUUUGCCAUUUUUACAGUCGUGAAGCUCCAAUGACAACAUAUUUUUGAAGGAAGGAUCUGCAAUCCAAGUAGAGAAUUUUGCACCACCAUAAUUAUGAAUGGCGAGAUGCUCAAGCUUUUUUGGAGGACGAAGAGAGUCCAACACCCAUUCUUCAACUUCCUUAUUCCUUGAAGCCUUUUCAAACUUUUCACUCCAAUGCAAUACCAAUCGAUGAAUCCCCUGCUUCUCAUUUAACUUGGCUUCCCCUGCAUCUUCACCAUUAACAUUCUCCAACCCAGAAAGACGGAAAUCACCUUUGAGGUUUGACAAAUAUUUCAAACCUCUAAUAUAACAACCAUCACCUUCCCCUAUUAUAAGAUCAGUUAACCUUUGAAGUUUCGUUAGCUUAUCAAUUCUAAAAGGCAUCCUUUCUAUUAAGCGGGCACCUCUGAUAUCAAGAUAAUGCAAGUUGACAAGAUUUUCCAUCUUUGAAGGUAACCUUUGAAGCUUCCAACACCGUCUCAAUAAUAAAGUUUCCAAAUGGUAAAGAGUGCACAAAGAAUCAGGUAAGCAUUUGAUAGGGGUGUUGGAAAAAUUCAAGUAGCGAAGAUGUUUUAAAUUUUCAAAAACAUCAGGCAACUCAGUGAUUUUAUACCCACUCAAAGAAAGCAUCCUUAAGUAGCCAAGUCUUGGUAACAAAUCAACCAAAACAACAUUAGUUAAAAAAGGCCCCCGAUAAUAAUCACUAGAAAACAUUAAGGGUAAAAAAGAACGUAAAGAAUUCACUUGAUCAAAUGCUUCAAACUUCUUCACUGUGUCAUAUCUUCCAGCAAUAUAAGAAGAAUGUCGAGUGCGAUUUGAGAACUUCCAUUUCUUAUCACCCUCUAAUUUUGAGCAUACUUCCCCUGCAACUACUUGAGCUAAAUCAUUGAUAAGGUCAUGCAUUACGAAGCGGGACUUAUCUUCACUGGAUGUCUGAAAAAAUGACCUGGACACUAGAUCUUGAAAAUAUUGAUUUCCGAGAUCUUUAAUUUGAGGCAUAGCUUUUUGUUGCAAGAGACCUUCUGCUUUCCAUAACAAGAUAAUUUCUUCUUCCUCAAAUUCAUAAUCUUUAGGAAGUAUGGAGCAAUAUGCAAAACAUCGUUUCAAGUAUGACGGAAGAUGAUGGUAGCUUAAUCGCAAAGCUGGAAUUAUGCCACACUGCUCUUCUGGUAAGUUCCAUAUCUCACUCUCAUAUAUUCUUUCCCAUUUUCCAUGAUAUUCAACCGUGCGAAGCAAGCUUCCAAUGGCUUUUGCAGCCAAAGGUAAGCCAUUGCACCUUCUAACAAUUUUCUCUCCAAUUUCUUUAAACUGGAGAUGUCCAUCGAAAUUUCUUGCUUUUAAUGCAUGCUGUGUAAAUAUGGAUAAACAAUCAUCAUCCGGUAGUUUAUCCAAAUGAAAAGCUUUGAGCGGAUCCACAAUAGAUGAAACAAUUUGAAGACGAGUGGUUACAAUGAUAUGGGUCCCUGCUCCAAACGGAGACCGUAAGAUGGUCCAGUCAUUAUAAUUCUCGUUCCAAAUGUCAUCUAAAACAAGCAAGAAUCUUUUCCCAGACAACUUCUCCUUUAACUUAACUUGAAGUAAAUCCAAGUUACUGUAAUCACAUGACUCAGAAGUGAUGGACUGUAAAAUUGCCUUUGUUAUAGCAAUUGCAUCAAAAUUAUCAGAAACGCAUACCCAGGCCUUGAGAUCAAAAGACUCGUUGAUGGUGGCGUCAUUGUAAACAAGCUGAGCAAGAGUUGUUUUACCCAUCCCUCCCAUGCCGACAAUGGAAAGGACUGAAACUCCGUUGGAGUUAUCACCUUUGAGAAACUCAAUCAUUUCUGUCUUCUCCUUUUGUGCCAACAUACUCCACAACACCAUCCAGUACGGAAGUUGGUUGCAGCCUAGGUUGCGUUCCCUUGGAGGUUGGAGCUUGAGACAAGAUCUCACUCAACCCCAGACUACUUCUUCUAGUAGUCAAACUAUUCAGUCGAGCAGUGAUGUCUUUCACCUUGGGAAUCAUGGAAUUCUUAAACAGGAAAGAAGUGGGAGUGAAAUUACUGCUGGUACAGCAGGUAGGAAUGAGUUUCCGUACCUUGCUAGUGCUGACUUGAGCUUGCGAUUUGUUGAGCUUGAGACUUAACUCUUCAUAAGCGAACUCAUCCAGGAUGUCAUCCACAUCGUAAGCCAAGUCCUGGAGAUCCUCCAACCUUUUCUUCACGCCCUCGUUCUUGAUCUGCUUCUCCUCUGCAUCGUCCAACACUGCUUGGAUAUCGGGCAAUAUGGACUGCCACUGCUUGAGCUGUGGGCGGAGUUGCUUAUGAUCAGCAACAAAGUUGAGCGCAGAGUCGAGCAACUUGCCCCCCAACAGCUCCAGAAACACAGACAGAGUAGCCUCUCCAAUGACAGACAUGGUGAAAUUAUGCGAAGGAAGCAGAAGAGAGAAUUGAAGAAGCCAAAUGGAAUUUCAGGAACGGAAUGGAGAUUGUGUAUAAUCAGUGAAAGUUGAAAAAAUCAGAGGAGGAGGCAGUGAGCUGAUAGUCUGAUAAAUAAAAUAGAGCCCAACUGGUUUUUGGGCAGUGAAACUAACAAAGAAGGCGGAAAAAUACAUUGGCUGAGCCGGCCACCCACGUUGUUUAUGAAUUUUGAUGCUUUUCUCCAUUAUCCCAAUUUCCAAGUAAAUGAACGUUCAGUUCCAUGGCAAUGGCAUCUAAUGUCCAUAUUUAUACUUUAAUUAACUGCCACAUUUCAGUCUUUGUUUUUGGGAAUGAAGACAAAUUCAUCCCUUUUUUUUUUUUUAAUUUCCAAAAUUUCAUCCCAUUUUAAUUCUUUUUAAAAUGUAUAUUAUUUUUAAUUUAAUAUUUUCUUUUAAUUUUUUGUAAAUUUUUUUUAUUAAAAUUUAAAUGUAUCUUUUAAUGUUUAUAUUAUAAUACUAUAUAUUUAAUUUAAUUUUAUAUAAAUUACAUUCUAUAUAUAUGAUAAAGUAGAAAAUGGGUUGGGCUUGGACAUUUUAAUUUUGAAGCCCAGCUGAUUUUAAAUAAGUUUUUUUUUUUUACUUAAACUUAUUUUUCAAGCUUUAUUCUUUUUAUUUAAACCUUUUUAUAUUUUAAGCGCAUCUAGAACAAAAGAAAAGCUUGUGGAAAGCACAUGAUUAGCAAUUAGAAUUUGUCACAUGUAAAAGUAUAAUAUAUUAUAUAUAAAUUUAAAUUUUAAAAAUAAUAUUUCAAAUAUAAAUUUUAUAUUUUUGAGAAAUAAUAAUAUUUUUAAAAAGAUGGGUAGAUUUUUUUAAUAAUUAAAAAUUAGUGAAUAAUAAUGAGUAGUUUAGUUUUUGAGAAAAAAAAUAAAGAAAUAGUUUUAAUUGAGAAAAUAAUUUUUUAAGAAGUUAGUUUAAGAGUAGUGAAAUAAUUUAAUUUAUUUUAUAAAAUGUUGAAAUGAUAUAAUAAUAUUAGAUUUUUCAUGCUUUUACUAAUUGAGUUUGUGUCACUCGAUUUGAUGUAUCAAAUUUAAUUAGACAUUUUAUCAUAGUAUAAAUAAUUAUCUUGUAAUUAUAUGUAUUCAAACUAACUUAAUUUUUAAAUCCGUCACCAAUCUUUAUAUUUUUUCUCUCUUAUAAUUAUAUUUUUACAUAAUGUUUUUAUAAUAUAUGAUAUGAUCAUAAAUUAAACUUGCAUUUUAAUAUAUGAUAUAAUUAAGUGGUUGAUGUAAAUAGUACUUAAACAAAUAACUACAUGGAUGGUGAGGAUGAGUAAAAACUUUUAAUAUCUUUUGUAUGUGGUGUAUUACUCUGUAGUAUACACUUAAUGGGUUGGCCUAUAUGAGUGUGUUGUGAGGCCGCUUCUAUGAGAUCUUUGGCAAUCUUUAGAGCACUCAUAAAAACUAGGCACGCGCAUGACCUAUUAGCACACAAUCGCAUUGAAGAAUGAAUCAUAAAUAUAAUGUGAUAAGUGAGAAAAUUAAUUUGGAAAUUAAAUAAUUAGUUCAAAAACUUAUUUCAUCAAUUAUUUAAGUAAAUCAUGUCUCAUUUGUUAAAAAAUUAUGUAUUCUCUUUAGAAAAACCUUCCUCCUACAAUCUCAAUUGAGUGUUUAAUUGGUCCGCUCUUUAGAAAAGCCUUCAAGGAUAAUGAUAUUCACGCCUCAAGUCGUGAUUCUAAUUUUCUAAACCUCCGAUUUCUUAAGAGAACGUCAAGGGCAACAACCAGUCAAAUUUUAAGUUCAAUUAAAUGAAUUCACAAACUUAUAGAGUUUAUUAUUAUUAUUUUCAAUGCAAGCUUGAAUUAUAAUCGAGCUUGAAUUAUAAGUCAAAUUUUAAUUUUGUUAUUCAAGCUUUAUCUCAAAUCAAGCUCAAGCUUUAAAAGGGAAAUUUAAUUGAGUUUGAGCUAAAUUUUAAGUAUCGAAUUUUAAGUUAGCUCAAAAUUUUCAAGUUAAGCUUUGACUUGAUUACACGGUAAGUGUAAAUCGUACAAAUAUAAAGUAUAAUAUAAUUAUAUAUGUACAAGCCCAAUUUUUGACCUGGGGCCCAACAAGCCCAAAUACAACCAAACCAAAAUUAAUUAACAAUCCAAUUACAUUCAACAACAUGCCCAAAUUCCAUUUUAACCCAAUUACAAGCCCAAACACUACAACCCAAUACCUCAGCCCAAAACCCAAAACCUAAACACCUAACAGAAACCCUAGCCCCCAAACCACUUGCUGCUGCUGCCGCCACUCCUCUACCACCUGCUCUCUGCCACCCCACAACCACCAUCACCACCUGCAAGGAAAAGAAAGAAAAGACAGAAACCAAACGAGCAGUUGAAACAGUAGAAGAAAGUAAAAAUGUAAACCGGCUAUAAAGGCCAUGAAACUAAAUGUAAUGAGGGAUUUUUUUUGAAGAUUUUUUCUUCUUCUCUUUCGGCAAAGGCCAAACAAUGUAAAAGGGGAAUUCUCUUUUUCUUUCUUUUGUAACAUUUCACAAAACAAGCAAUAUAAAAAUCAAAGGUGAUUGUCGUUUUGCAUUUUUUCUUUUCUUUUCUAUCUCCUUUUUAUUGUUGUUUACUUUUAUUUUUAUUUUUUUAAAAAACACAGUUUACAUUUGCAAAAAAAAAAAUAAAAAGAAAAAAUAUAAAGAGAAAAAAAAUACCUUUUAUGAUUCGGUGGCCGGCGCAGUGGCGCUACGGUGGUGGCCCAUGGCCGGACCUUAGGCCGGAGUUUGGACUGAAAGAGGGGAGGGGGAGAGAACUUUAAGUUUGUUUUUCUGAAAUAACAAGGCAAAUGAAAUUUUUUUAUUGAAAAUUGGCUUAAAUAGGCUACCAAAAUGACGUCGUUUUGGGUAGCCUUCUCAGGCACCAAAACGGCGCCGUUUUUCCUUGGAUCAGACCGACCCGACCCGAACCGCCUAGGAUCCGCGUGGUUCUGGAUAAAAGGGGUUAUUUGCGCCCCUGGUCCUUACACUUUUGAGGCUGUUUACAAUUGGAUCCUAUUUUGUUUUUAAUUUUUCAAUUUUGCCACAAAAUUCCAUUUUUUCUCGAUUUCGUCCUCAAUGAAGCUGUGCGUUUUAGAGGAGAAGGGAAAUUUUCCCUUCCAUCCCCUCUAUGUUAUUCGCGCAUUUAAAUCAAUCCCUUCUUUUUUAUUUAUUUCGAAUCUGCCCCAAAUUUCUGCCUUUUAAUUCGAUUUAGCCCUUUAAGCUUGCUAUUUUAUUUUUAAUUAAUUAAUAAUAAUAUUAUUAUAUUAUUAUUGAUAUUACAAUCAAAUAUUUGUACAUUAUAUAUUUAUAUUCUAUAUGUUGUAUCCUAUAUACGUAUUAAUGUAUGUUGUUAUUACAUACAUAUUUUAAAACAUAUACAUAUAUAUAUACAUAUCUAUAUUUUAUGAUCUAUGUAUAUAUGCAUGCAUUUUAUUAUCUGAAUAUACAUACAUAUUUUAGGAUAUAUAUAAGCAUACAUUUAUCCCUUUAUUAUUAUUUAUGUACAUAUUUAUGUAUUUGUAUACUUCCCUAAUAUAUAUUAUAUUUUAUACUUUAUAUUAUGUAUGUCCUAUAUAUACGUUUUAAUUUUCAUAUAUACAUACUUACAUAAUUUUUCAUCUAUAAUAAUUUGCAUAUAUUUUCCAUAUUUUCAUAAUUUUAUACAUAUAUGUACGUAUUUAUAUAUCUUUUGUAUUUUUAUGAUUGUGUUAAUUUUGUUCAUUUUUUCAUAUGUCUAUUAUUGUUUAUUUUCUUACUUUAGUUUCAUAUUAUUUGUUAUUUUGCUCGUAUGAUUAUUUUUUAUUGUUUAUUGUUUAUUUGUUUCAUUUUAUUUACAUUGCAUCAUUAUUGUUAUUUUACACCUACUUUUACUCGGAUUUAUCAAAAACGGAAAAUUUUAAAAAUGUAAGUAAUACUCGGUAUUUGGGAUCUUCGAGAGAAUUGAGCCCUAACGUAUUGGGUUCCGAUUUUCUUCGUUGAACCUAAAUAAUCGAGAUUACUCUUUUAAAAAAAAUGAUAAAAAGCUCGUUAUCAAGAAUUCAAUACGUUGUAACCUAACGCAUUGGAUGUGACACGUUGUUUUCUCGAGACGAGAAUUUUUCGAAAUAAAUGCAAUAUUUAAUGUUUAAUAUUUUGAGAAAUUGUGCCCUAACGUAUUGGGUUGCGAUUUCUUCAUUUGAUUUAAACAAUUGAAUAUUCUUUUAAACUUUAUUAUACAAUUUUUUUUAAAAUUCAAGUUUUAAACAAUAUCGGGAAUUAAAAAAAGGAUUGUGUCCUAACUUACUGGUCGUGAUCCCUUUUUAAAUCCAAGAUAAUUAAAUAUCUUUUAAAUAAGCAUUUUUUAUUCGCGUAUCGAGAAUUCGAGACAUUGUGUCCCAACUUACUGGAUAUGAUUUUUUUCUCGAAUAACGUGAAAUAUCCCCUUUUUCUUGAAAAUUUUCAACGUUUUAAUAAAAUGAUCGUAUUUUUAAAAUUCUCCAAAGUUCUCAAUUUUCGACAUUAAGACAUUAAGUAAUCAACUAGGUACCAAUUUUGGGCGUAUCGAGGGUGCUAAUCCUUCCUCGUGCGUAACCGACUCCCGAACCCGUUUUUUCUGAAUUUCGUGGACCAAACUUGUUGUUUUAAUAAAAUCAAACCGUUUAUUAAAAAUAACCACUUUUCGAGGUGAUCCAAUCACACCUCAUAAAAAAGAAUUGGUAGCGACUCCCGUUUUAUUUUUUAAAACCCAAGUCAACCCCGUUUUCCAUCUAAAAAAUGGUGUCAACAAUAUAAAUUUUGAUACUAUAAUAAUUUCAAUUUUAAAAUUUUAACACAACUAUGGUCUAGAAUGUCCCAUUAUCAAGAAGCUUAGAAAUUAGAAGAUGCAGAUGAAAACAAAUCAUUCAAUUUGCUGAAUAAAUGUUGCAGAGAAUUAAGUUAUAGCAAAUCAGUUGAAUAUAGCUUUCAGUGCCUGCAAAAUUAAAUACAAAAUAUAUACGAUUGAUUGCUAUUAUCAUCUUGUUCCUGAGGACAGUCAGAUACAUGGAACGAAAACAGCCAAUGUUUAAAACGGUUUCAUACCAGUGAUACAACAUAAGGUAUGUGGGAAAUCUUGGACCACUCUCGUCCUUUACCCCUAAAAGUGGACAUAAUUAAGAAGGAAAACUUGUCUGUGAUAGAAAAUGAGGGGCUUUAGUUAAAUUACAACUAACCAGGAUGAACUCUGUUUCUGGAUUGAAAUAUUGGAAUUGGUAAUCAGUGACUUAUUCACUAAGAACUAACUAUUCUGUCACCUUAUAUUCUUCCUAUAAUUUCAGGUUUAAUCCUGUUGAUUUAUACAUUCAGUCCACUGCAAUAUGAACCCAUGAAAACCACACUAAAUGAAACUGACUGUUUAAGGAUCCCAUUCAUAUGAUGCAGCACUGUAAUGGGUAAUUAAACUGACUGUUUAAUCCUGUUUCUGUACACUAUGCUUCUUCAAAAUCAUGCCUAGCCGAACUCUCUGACAUUGUGGACCGCAAGCGCACUCAAGGACAUAUUGUUCUUCCCAUCUUUUACCAUGUUGAUCCCUCUGAGGUUCAGCAUCUUAGUGGGGGUAUCAAGACAUUCUUUGAUAACCAUGAAUCAAAGAGGCCUGUUGAUUAAGUCUGUAAAUUAAUUGGGUGUUCUUGAGAAUGAUCUUCUUCCAUUCCUUUGUUGUAUCUCGAAAGAGUGUGUUCCACGCUACAUUCAUAAAAUGUCAUGUUUAAAAAAAUAACAAUAAAUUAAAAAUAAAAUUCACAAUAAAUUAAAAAUAAAAUUCUAACUCAUUAUUAGGGUUUAGGUUUUUUUUUUACCUAUAUUGUUUGGACUUGAGCCGAUCAAAUUAUGACAAGUUAUUCUUAGCUUAUCGUAACUAUUUAUGUAUCAUUUUUGUUUUAAUAUGAGUGUUGACACCAUUUUUUUGACGAAAACGGGUCGACUUGGGUUUUGAAAAAAAGAAACAGGAGUCGCCACCAAUCCUUUUUAAUGAGGUGUGAUUGGAUCACCUCGAAAAGUGGUUGUUUUUAAUAAACGGUUUUAAUUUUAUUAAAACAACGAUUUUGGUCCACGAAAUCUAGAAAAACGGGUUCGGGAGUCGAUUACGUACGAGGAAGGAUUAGCACCCUCGUAACGCCCAGAAAUUGGUACCUAGUUGAUUAGUCAAAGUCUUAAUAUCGAAAAUUAGAAAAUUUAAAAAUUUAAAAUACGAUCCUUUGUCUUAAAAUGACUUGUAUAAAAUAGGUUGCUUAUAUUAAAAAAAAAACUCCUACAACAAAAUUAAAAAAGGGUAUUCAAUUGUUCGAGUCAGAUGAGGAAAUCGCAACCCAAUACGUUAGGGAACAAUUUUUUAACAUUUCGAACAUUGAACAUUGCCUUAGUUGUUUUUAAGAAAAUCCUUAUCUCGAAAAAGCAACGUGUUACAUCCAAUGCGUUAGGACACGACAUAUUGAAUUCCCGAUAAUGAGCUUUUUAUUUGUAUUUUUUUUAUAAAAGAGAAAUCUCGAUUAUUUUGAUUCAACAAAGAAAAUCGAAACCCAAUACGUUAGGGCUCGAUUCUCUCGAAGAUCUCAAAUACCGAGUAUUGCUUUUAUUUUGAAAUUUUCAUUUUUUGACAAAUCUGAGUAAAAAGAUGCAACAUAACAACAAUGAUGAUAAUGUGAGUAAAAUGAUACAAGCAAGAGCUACAAAAUAAAAUAAAUACAAGGACAAACUAAUAUAGUACACAAUUGCAAGCAUAUAAGCAAUAAAAUUAAAAACAUUCUUUCAAAACAAAUAAUGAAAAUGUACAUAAAGAAAUAAACAAAGUAAAUGUAUAAAGCUAUAAAAAUAUAAAAGAUACAUAUAUGUGUAUAUACAUAAAAUUAUGAAAAUAUGAAAAAUAUAUGUAUGUACAUAUGAAUUAUAAACUAUAGAAAUCACAUACGAAAAUAUAGAUUUUUUUAAAUAUAAGAGUAUAUAUAAAUACGUAUGUGCAUAUUUAUGAAAAAAAAACAGAUACAUGUAAGUAAGUAUAUACAUAAAAACUUUAAAAUGCAAAUAUAAAUACAUUCAUGUGUAUAAAUUAUAAAAUAAUAAAAAAAGGUGUAUAUAUGCAUGUAAAUUAAAUAUGUACACAUGAAUGUAUAUAUAGAAGCAAUUAUAUUAAUAUAAUAAUAGUAAUAAUAAUAUUAAUAAUGACAACGCUAAUAAUAAUAAUAACAUUAAAAUAAUUAACUAAAAUAAUAAAAGUGCUAAAAUAUGAACUAAAUCGAAAUAAAAAUGAAAACAUUGGGCGAAUUUAGAAUAAAAAGGAUUAGAUUGCAACACGCUCAAAAAGGGGAGGGCCAAAUAGGUAAUAAACCCGAUUUUAGGCCACGCGUCCCUCCCUCAGGUGUCCAAUCGAAUUGAGGACUAAAUUAAAAAAAGGGACAAAUCCGUGGUCCAAAUUAAAGGAGGAGAAAAAACAAAUGGUCCAAAUUGAAACAGAUCGAAAAUACGGAAGGGCUUGAAGCGCAAAUAACCCCUUGAAGGCUAAAACAUGCGGACCCUGUUUGGACGGGUCGGGUCGCCCGCGGGUUGCGCUAAACGGCGCCGUUUUGGCCGAUAGGCUCGCCCUAAAACGACGUCGUUUUAGGGGCCUAUAAAAGCCCACUUUUAGAAAAAAAAAUCAUUUGCCUUUUGUUUCAGAAAAAAAAGCUUUAAGUUCUCUCUCAACCUUCCCCUUAGCCGGCCAUGGCUCCGGUCAUCGGCCACCGCACCGGCCGCCGGAUGUCGGUGACGGCGCCGCCGUCCGCGGUGGCCGGAAAACCAAAAUACUCCCUUUUGUUCCUUUUUUCGAAUAGAGCCCAGAUCUGGGGUCAAAACUACCAGAAAAACCCGGCGACAAGGGAUAAAAUCGGAAGAGACCUUUCGGUUCUUCCUCCUCACAUCCGCCGAAAUCAGGUAAGACUCUCCCCUUUAUUUUAUUUUAUUAUCUUGUUAUAUUGAUUAAAUGAAAAUGAAAAGAGAAAGAAACAAUGUAGAAAAACUGAAAUAGAACGAAAAUAAGAAAAAAAGAAGUCGGAAAAAUCACUGUAAAUCACCUUCUAAAAACCUUUUUUUAUUUCUUCCAAUUUUUUUCAAAAAAAGCCCUUUACAUGUUUUUAGUUUCGGCUUUUAUAGCGGAUUGUUUUACAUUAUUUUAUUCCUAUUUUGUUGCUUUUCUCUGUUGUUGCGUGUCCUUGCAGGUACUUUGAUGGGAGUGGUUGGUGGUGGUUGCGGCGGUGGCAGGGAGUUGGUGGCUGAAAACCCUAGGUGCGGCGCACCUAAGGUUGCUGCUACUUGCUCUUUUUUCUUUUCUGAACAUGGGCUAGGGUUAGGUAGAUUGGGUUUGGGCUUGUUGGGCUAUUUUGAUUUGGGUUAAACUGUUAAUUGAUUUAGGUUAUGGUGUUUGGGUUUUUUUGGGCUGUUUGGGUUUAAUUUGUUUUAGGUUUGGGCCCGGGAAAAAUUUGGGUCUUACAAUGAGUAUGUGUUGUUGAGUUUUAGUAUAUAGUUUCGUAUUUAUCAUUUUUUAAAAUAUUAUAUAUAUAAUAUACUCGCAAAUAUUUCUUAAUUAUAAUAUGUAAAUAUAAAUUUUAAAAUUAUUAAUUAAGUUCAAUAAUUUAAUAAAUGGUUAUAUAUUAUUUUUAAAGCAAUUAUAUAAAAAAGUAGUUAAGAAAGAAAAGGGAAAUAUUAAAAAUUCCUUUAUAGGAAUUAAUACUCACCGGUACAAGCAUAUAUUAAUUGAAAUGAAUCAAAACUCAAUGAAAUUUUAAUUGAAGUGAAACUUAAACUAUUUUAUUCUAGUUCAAUAUCGAGACAAUUCGUAAUGAUUGAUACAACCAGUAUCGAAACUACCGACUAUCAUGCUACAAAGCGAAAAGAAAAAUAAUGGAAAUCAAUCAAAUUACAACUCAACUUACUUUCAUGCUUAAAAAAAGAAAACAGUUCUAAAAAAUAAUCAUCCAAGAAAAUAAAUAUAUAUAAGUUUUAUAGACCGUUGCAAAUUAAUAUACACUCAUAUAAGUCGAUAUUAACUAAAACAAAUCAAAACACAAUGAAAUUUUAACUGAAACGAAACUUAAAAUACUUUAUAUUAAUUCAAUAUUGAGAGGAUAGCCAAUUAUUAAGAAAAGAAAAAUUAUGAAAAUCAAUCAAAUUAUAGGUCAACUUACUUCCAUGCUUACAAAAAAAAUUGCUAAAAUUUAAAAUUGAAAAAAACCCAGAUUUCGAUUAUUAAAAAUCAUCUAUAAUAUAUAUAUAUUAUAUAUAUAAGUAUUAUACUAUAUUAUAUACCUAGUGCUGGACCAUUGAUAGACCUUGCCGGUGCUUGAAAAAGUAAUAACCCCAACCUCUGCAUCACAUAAAAUGGACAAUUCUUUAGCUUUCUUCAACAACCCAUUUCGCCUCUUUGAAAAUGUUACUUGCCUGCUAUUCAAAUUUUCAAUCUUUUUUAUUUCAAUUUUCCCUCUACCCAUCUGAAAAUUUUCUUCUUUCCUUUACUUUUUCCCGGAAAAUUUUUAAAAGAAAAGAUAAACCCCAGAUUUUUUUUUCUUAAAAUUUGAAAAGAACCGAAGGUUUUUAUAACAACAAACAGAUCAAAGAAAAUAAGGAAAAAAAUUUAGGGGAUUGUAAAAGGAUUCUUUUUUGAAGAGAAAAGAAAAUAAGUAAGUAAUGUUUAUAUAUAACAAUGGUUUUCUUAAAUGGAAAUGGAAAAUGAUAUGGAAAAAGAAAAUAUGUGACCAAAAUUAGGGUGAAAUCUUGAAAGGUGACAGAUUUGAUACUAUAUCUACCAAUUAUCCAACUAUGGAAACUCUAUUUAUUAUAGCUUUAGUUUUUUUUCUAUUUAUCUUACUUUCUCUACCUUUUUACUCUGCUGUUUUUGGUAUUUCAACUCAAAAUGGAUUUGAUUUUUGCUUUGGGUUUCUUUUUUUAAAUAUAAAAAGUGGUUUUUAAUUAUUUAUAUAUUAUUAAUGUGUUUUAACAAUUUUUGUUAGUGAAUAUUGAUUUUUUUUUCUGUGAAUUACAAUAGGAGGGCAAAACCCUAAUAACAAUACAACUAGAGCAAUUCGAAUUUAGGCCACACUUGAGACGUUGAACACAAGUAUUUUAGGAGGACAUAUAACACAUGUUUUUUUUUUUAAAAUUCAUGGCUAAAAUAAUAAAAAUAACCUCUUUAUUUUAUUGUAUUCAAAUAAUAAAAAAAAAAACCAUGAUUUUAGUCGUACCGGCCGGUGCCACCGCUCUACUGUUAUAGCACAACAAGCAACACCCUUUUCCUUUGUACAGUUCGCAUUGGCCGGAACAUGGUACACCUACUGCUGCAUGAAUAAUGUUAAAAAAUAUAAAACUUUUAACUAUCUAAAUAUUUAAUUGAAAUGUAUUGACCAAUAAAAAAAUAUUACACUAGAAAGUAAAGCUUAACAUUUAAAAUUUUUUUAGAGCAUACUUUUUCAUUUAAAAUAUAAAAAUUAAAAUAUAAUAAAAAAAACUCACUCACCUCGUUAUCAUAGAAAAAUAUUCACUCACAUCUGUUACCAUGUUGUUCAUGAGGACAAUUAGAUAUAUAUAUAUAUAUAAAGUUAUGAAAUUUAUAAAUGUUUAAAAUGCGGUUUCACACCUGUGGUUUGAGUGUCGAGAAAUCGAUACCAGAUUUUACUGCUUAAAUUUCAAUACCUCGGGAUGACUAAUUUAAAAUCAAUUUCAACAUAAGGUAUGUGGGAAAUCUUGGACCACUCUCGUCCUUUACCCCUACUGCACCCUUCUUCUAGCAACGGGCAACGCUGAAUAUCAAGACGCUCAAGCGAGAGAAGCACAUCUUUUUCUGGAAGAGAGGCGAGCUUAGGACAAUCAUAGAUGCCCAAUUGUUGAAGAGAGGUGAGGUAUUGUAAGCCCUUGGAGCACAUGAAUUCCAAAUUUUCAAAUCUACGGAUGCUGAUAUCGGUGAGAGAAGGAGGCAGCAUCAUUCCUAUAGCUUCUUCUGGAAAUGACACCACACGUGAGCAUCCUUCACCGCUGAUGUUGAGUUCUUGAAGAGAGGUGAGUCUGUUAAAUCCCCAUUCAACUAGUGAUGUAUAAAUUCUGGGUGCGUUUGAGAUUUCAAGUGAUGUGAGGUUGGUAGGGAAACCCUCUUCUGGAAAGGAUAUGUCAGCCGAACACUCCCACACUGAUAAUUCUCGAAGGCAGGUGAAGUUGUUGAUGCACUUGGGAAGGGCUCUAAAAUUUUCACAAUAAUUAAUUGAGAGAACUCUGAGAUUUGUGGUGGGCAACUCACUUCCUUCAAAUGAAACCAGAUUUGGACACCUAGAUAAUUGAAUCUCCUGAAGAUGGCUCCGCGGUAAUGAUUUAAUUUUUUCAGCACCACAAAUGUCAAUGCUUUCGGGAUCAAUGGUUUCAAGGAAGUCUUGGGCUAUGCAUUCCAACACUGGACAAUCCCAAAUAGAUAGCUUUUUAAGCAUUACGGGUAACUUGGCGUUUAAAAAUAAGCUACUUAGCUUUGAACAAUCCCUAAUUUCGAGAUGUUGAAGCCGAUUGCAUAUAUCGCCCCUUGAUGAUAACCAUAUUAGAGAUGGACAGCACCUUAUUUCCAAGUGCAGAAGAAGACAAGUGUUGCUACUCAUACUCUUAUUAUUAUUUUCUUUUUCAUCAACCAAAUAUUGCAAAUUCACGCAAUUCCCAAUCCUCAGCUCUUUUAAAGCAGGAGGAAAGUUACUCUCUGCAAAACAAACCAAGCCGGAACAGUUUUCAAGUUGUAUUCUUGUAAUCAAUGGGAAAGCAUGUAAGGCUUCUGGUAGUCUAUUGAGCCUUUCACAAUCCCCUAUGUUCAGAGAUUCAACACCUGGAAUCUUGUCAAGUUGCAAUCUCUCCUCUGUUUCCAAAGAGACCAAUCGGGGACAACCCACAAUCGUAAUAAAACGAUGCCCGACUAAUCUUAACCCAAUUUGCGAUAAAGAUCCCAACUCCUUACAACCAGAGAUGCAGAAUGUUUCGGAGUUUGCAAAUCUCAACAUUAUCCUCUCUGCUGAAAUAUUAAAAUUUGAAAUAUUUGAAAGAGACAUCUUUCAAGGAGGUAACCUUCUGUACAGACAAAGAACCUUCAUCCACCAAUUCUUCACACCCUUCAACCCUUAAUUCACACAGAAAGGGAAAACUUGAAAUUGAAACUACCAGUCUCUUACACUCAUAGAUUUCAAGUGUCUGCAAGGUUUGAAGGAUGGUUGGCAACCUUCCCAGCAAUAGAGGACAUUCUCUGAUUGAAAGAAAACGAAGGCUGGGGAAUUUCGAUACUUGCUCAUCAUCUUCACAUAGGUCCCACUCCUCCCAAUUCAGCAUAUUGUCAAAAUACAGAGACUCUAAUGAUGCAAAAGCAUUUGAUUGAUUUUCUCCAAACAACUCAGCACCAAUCUUGUGCACUUGAUCCAAACCACUAAUUGAAAGAUCUUUUAACAGCAACAACCUUCCAAUCGAUGGUAGGGAUUUGCAAUUUUUACAAUUGUGAAGCUUCAAUGACAACAUAUUUUUGAAGGAAGGAUCUGCAAUCCAAGUAGAGAAUUUUGCACCACCAUAAUUCUCAAUGACGAGUUGCUCAAGCUUUUUUGGAGGACACAGAGAGUCCAACACCCGUUCUUCAACUUCUUUAUUCCUUGAAGCAUUUUCAAACUUUUUCCUCCAAUGCAAUACCAGUCGAUCAAUUCCCUGCUUCUCAUAUAACUUGCUUUCCCCUGCAUCUUUACCAUUAACAUUCUCCAACCCAGAAAGACGGAAAUCACCUUCGAGGUUUGACAAAUAUUUCAAAUAUCUAAUAUGACAACCAUCACUUUCCGCUAUGAUAAAAUCAGAUAACCUUUGAAGAUUCUUUAGCUUAUCAAUUCUAAAAGGAAUCCUUUCUAUUGAGCUCGCACCUCUGAUAUCAAGAUAAUGUAAGUUGACAAGAUUUCCCAUCUUUGAAGGUAACCUUUGAAGCCUGUAACACCUUCUUAAUAAUAAGGUUUCUAAAUGGUAAAGAGUGCACAAAGAAUCUGGUAGGCAUUUGAUUAAUGUGCGCGAAAAAUUUAAGUAGCGAAGAUGUUUUAAAUUUUCAAAAACAUCAGGCAACUCAGUGAUUUUAUACCCACUCAAAGAAAGCAUCCUUAAGUAGCCAAGUCUUGGUAACAAAUCAACCAAAACAACAUUAGUUAAACAAGCCCCCUGAUGAUUAAUAGAAAACAUUAAGGGUAAAAAAGUACGUAAAGAAUUCACUUGAUCAAAUGCUUCAAACUUCUUCACUGUGUCAUAUCUUCCAGCAAUAUAAGAAGAAUGUCGAGUGCGAUUUGAGAACUUCCAUUUCUUAUCACCCUCUAAUUUUGAGCAUAUUUCCCCUGCAACUACUUGAGCUAAAUCAUUGAUAAGGUCAUGCAUUACCGAUCGGGACUUAUCUUUACUGGAUGUCUGAAAAAAUGACCUGGACACUAGAUCUUGAAAAUAUUGAUUUCCGAGAUCUUUAAUUUGAGGCACAGCUUUUUGUUGCAAGAGACCUUCUGCUCUCCAUAACAAGAUAAUUUCUUCUUCCUCAAAUUCAUAAUCUUUAGGAAGUAUGGAGCAAUAUGCAAAACAUCGUUUCAAGUAUGACGGAAGAUGAUGGUAGCUUAACCGCAAAGCUGGAAUUAUGCCACACUGCUCUUCUGGUAAGUUCCAUAUCUCACUCUCAUAUAUUCUUUCCCAUUUUCCAUGAUAUUUAACCGUGCGAAGCAAGCUUCCAAUGGCUUUUGCAGCCAAAGGUAAGCCACUGCACCUUCUAACAAUUUUCUCUCCAAUUUCUUUAAACUGGAGAUGUUCAUCGAAAUUUCUUGCUUUUAAUGCAUGCUGUGUAAAUAUGGAUAAACAAUCAUCAUCCGAUAGUUUAUCCAAAUGAAAAGCUUUGAGCGGAUCCACAAUAGAUGAAACAAUUUGAAGACGAGUGGUUACAAUGAUAUGGGUCCCUGUUCCAAACGGAGACCGUAAGAUGGUCCAAUCAUCAUAAUUCUCGUUCCAAAUGUCAUCUAAAACAAGCAAGAAUCUUUUCCCAGACAACUUCUCCUUCAACUUAACUUGAAGUAAAUUCAAGUCAUUCUCGUCACGAGAGUCAGGAUCGAUGGAUUUUAAAAUUGUCCUGGUUAUAUUAACUGCGUCAAAAUUAUCAGAGACGCAUACCCAGGCCUUGUGGUGGAAAGACUGGUUGAUGGUGGCAUCAUUAUAAACAAACUGAGCAAGAGUUGUUUUACCCAUCCCUCCCAUGCCGACGAUGGAAAGGACUGAAACUCCGUUGGAGUUAUCACCUUUGAGAAACUCAAUCAUUUCUGUCUUCUCCUUGUGUCUGCCAACAUACUCCACAACUCCAUCCAGUACGGAAGUUGGGUGCAGCCUAGGUUGCUUUCCCUUGGAGGUUGGAGCUUGAGACAAGAUCUCACUCAACCCCAAACUACUUCUUCGAGUAGUCAAACUAUUCAGUCUAGCAGUGAUCUCUUUCACCUUGGGAAUCAUGGAAUUCUUAAACAGGAAAGAAGUGGGAGCAAAAUUACUACUGGUACAGCAGGUAGGAAUGAGUUUCCGUACCUUGCUAGUGCUGGCUUGAGCUUGCGAUUUGUUGAGCCUGAGACGUAACUCUUCAUAAGCGAACUCAUCCAAGAUGUCAUCCACAUCGUAAGCCAAGUCCUGGAGAUCCUCCAACCAUUUCUUCACGCCCUCGUUCUUGAUCUGCUUCUCCUCUGCAUCGUCCAACACUGCUUGGAUAUCGGGCAAUAUGGACUGCCACUGCUUGAGCUGUGGGCGGAGUUGCUUAUGAUCAGCAACGAAGUUGAGCGCAGAGUCGAGCAACUUGCCCCCCAACAGCUCCAGAAACACAGACAGAGCAGCCUCUCCAAUGACAGACAUGGUGAAAUUAUGAGAAGGAAGCAGAAGGGAGAAAUGAAGAAGCCAAAUGGAAGUUGAGGAACAGAGUGGAGAUUGUGUAUAAUCAGUGAAAGUUGAAAAAAUCAGAGGAGGAGGCAGUGAGCUGAUAGUCUGAUAAAUAAAAUAAAGCCCAAUUGGCUUUUUGGGCAGUGAAACGAAUAAAGAAGGCGGAAAAGACAAUGGCUGAACCACCCACCCACAUUGUUUAUGAAUUUUGAUGCUUUUCUCUUGCUUUUCUCCAUUAUCCCAAUUUCGAAGUAAAUGAAUGUUCAGUUCCAUGGCAAUGGCAUCCAAUGCCCAUAUUUGUACUUUAAUUAACAGCCAAUAUAGCAAGCACAUGUCAGUCUUUGUUUUUGGGAAUGAAAAAAAAAAAUUCAUCCCAUUUUUUUUAAAAUUUCCAAAAUUUCAUCCCAUUUUAAUUGAAUAUUUUCUUUUAUUUUGUUGGUGAAUUUUUUUAUUAAAAUUUAAAUAUAUUUUUAAUGUUACAUUAUAAUAUUAUAUAUUUAAUUUAAUUUUAUAUAAAUUACAUUCUAUACAUAUAUGAUAAAGUAGAAAAUGAGUUGGACUUAGUCAUUUUAAUUUUAGAGUCCAAGCAUGGCUCAUUUUAAGCAAGCUUAAUUUUUUUUUUGUCUAAACUUAUAUUUCAAGCCUUAUUCUUUUUAUCUAAACCCUUUUAUAUUUUAAGCUCAUUUAGAACGAGUCUAUCUACAAAAGAAAAGCUUGUGAAAAGCGCAUAAUUAAUAAUUAGAAAUUGUCACACAUGUAAAAAUAUAAUAUAUUAUAUAUAAAUUUAAAUUUUAAAAAUACUAUUUCAUAUAUAAAUUUUAUAUUUUUGAGAAAUAAUAAUAUUUUAAAAAAGAUGGAUAAAUUUUUUUUUUCUAAUAAUUAGAAAUUAGUGAAUAAUAAUGAGUAGUUUAGUUUUUGAAGAAAAAAAAAAGAAAUAGUUUUAAUUGAGGAAAUAAUUUUUUAAGAAGUUAGUUUAAGAGUAGUGAAAUAAUUUAAUUUAUUUUAUAAAAUGUUGAAAUGAUAUAAUCAUCUCUAUAUUUAACAAAAUAAUAAUAUUAGAUUUUUCAUGCUUUUACCAAUUGAGUUUGUGUUGCUCGAUUUGAUGUACCAAAUUUAAUAAGACAUUUUAUCGUAGUAUAAAUAAUUAUCUUGUAAUUAUAUGUGUUCAAAUUAACUUAAUUUUUAAAUCCGUCACUAAUCUUUAUAUUUUUUCUCUCGUAUAAUUAUAUUUUUACAUAAUGUUUUUAUAAUAUAUGGUAUGAUCAUGAAUUAAACCUUAAUUAUAGUUAUUAAGCUUACAUUUUUUCCACUAAAGUCAAGAAAUUAAUUUUUUUAUUGAGAAAACAUUUUUAUAUUAGUUAAUCAUGAGAAAACAUUUUUAUGUGAAAGUGUGUUUAACUAAUUAUAUUAAAGAAAAGUAUAUUUGAUAAUAGGCUCAAUUUACAUAUUUAUUGUGCUUAAAUUUGAUAAAUUCUUUAAUGAGAUAUCAUUAAUUUUAGGUUUAUUAUUUGAUUUUUGAUUAGGUGCAAAAGGCAAACAUAAAAAGUAAAAAAGAGUGGGAAAUGCAAGUUGUCGCAAAAGUUUUAGGCCAUGAUCUAUCUUCUUCUUCUUUUGGUACAAUAACAUGACAAAACCUAAACAAUAAACACAACUAACGUGACUCAAACUCAAACCACACCUGAGACAGUGAACACCUUUGACUAUCAAGCUAUCAUAUAAGGUUCGGAAAAGAAAGAGAGUACUUUUAAUUUUUAAUUAGGAUAAUAUUUUAAUUUUCUAGUAUUUUAUUUUUUGAUAUAUUUUUAGAUAACACUCUAAUAUUGGAUUAGAUUAAAGAAUUUAAGUAGGAUUAGGUAUAUUCUAAAAGGGACAGCAAUUCAAUUGCUUUCUUUUCUUCUCUGUUUCUAAUUCUGUUCUUUCUUUCUCUUGCACAAUAUUGUGCCGCCACGCCACCCUCCCCCUUUUUUUUUUUCCUUUCUUUUAUUUGUUUAUUUCUUUUAUUUAAUUUUUGUUGAACCCUUUAUACUAGUAUGCUUGAUUUCAUGAGUAAUUAAACUUCCCAUCUAGCUUUUAAGUCAAGAGUCAAUUUGGGAGAGAGUUCUACGAUUCGAAAUUGUACUUUAAAACUUUUAUUUCAGUAUUAUUUCUCUGGUUUAGGAGACUGUCUCGUAAAGUUAUUUUGGCACCAAAUGAGUUCAUUGCGUUGGUUUUAAUAAAGAAUCAAUAUUAUUGAUUGUCGUAUUCGAUCUACCAAAAAACAAAUUGGCAUGUCCAAUUAAGUGGUUGAUGUAAAUAGUACUUAAACAAAUAACUACAUGGAUGGUGAGGAUGAGUAAAAACUUUUAAUAUCAUCCAUAUCUUUUAUAGGUGGUGUAUUGCUCUGGAGUAUGCACUUAAUGGGUUGGCCUAUAUGAGUGUGUAGUGAUGCUGCUUGAGUGUAAAAAAAAAAAAAGCACGGGCUUAAUUGCCAAUUUUUUUAAAGGUUUAAGGGGUCUUUUGAUGUAUUUUGAAAGUUGAAGUGCUCAAUUGAAUACAAAAAUCAUAGGUAAAGAAUAGAGAUUAUAAUAAACUCACAUCGUAAAAUAAAAUACCUCACCAUGAUAACUAUCCACAAACUUCGAGCAAGGUUGUAAAUGUUCAUCAACUAUAUACUUUCCACAUUUUGGAAAAGACCUAGCCAUAAUAAAUAACAUAUGAGCAACAUUUUCUCAAUCUCAAAAUGUAAGAAGCAAUACUGUAAUAUCCUUUGAAGUUUGUUCUAAGAACAUUAGAAUGCUAAUCAUUAGAGUUUCAACUUAAGAUUGAACACAAAAAAUAUUGAAAAGUUUCAGGUACUAGGUGUAUUUUGAAAGAGUUGCUCCUACGACAUUUUCUCACCAUUCUUUUUCUUCCAUGGAUCCAAAUGCCUGUAAAAGAAAAACAAGGAAUAAAAAAGCAUAUCUACAACUCCAACAGAAGAGGGGAACCGGAAGAACAACCUCUACUUACCCUAUCAUAAACACUGAUAACAUCACUGUUGAAGCCUUUCAAAGUAGGGAAUCUUCAUAUAAAGAAUGAUCGAUAACCCACUGUGACACAUUUAGCUUUGAAGCUUCAGAUAGCUAGCCUGUCAAAAAUGAUCAAAUAACAUAUCACAACUACCAUACAUGUGGUCUGAGCAUGAGAAAAUAAGGGAUGCUCUGAAAAUUUAGUGAUGAUCCAUCCAUCCAUAAUCACAACGAUUACGCUCAAGCGAUGCAUAAAUAAGAGAAGUGCACACAUAAACGUACAAAUACCGAGGAAAGCCAACCAAACAUCCUUCAAUAGUACAAUGAAAUGUCAAAUGUUUUUAACUAAAUCCCAUUCCCAUAUACAUAAGGCAUAACAAUUGCAGUUGAGCGAUUGCUCUAAGCCCAUGCCAUAUAGUACAAAGCAAAGGAUCCUUAAGGACGAGGACAAUAUAAGAGUUAAGCAAACAUAUACGCAAAAAAAAGCUUAGAAAUGUUGGAUAAAUGACAGCAAACAAGACACAACAAAUGAAACUUUGUUUUGCAUAAGCUCACAAAACAGGAAGUCAAAGCAAAAGAAAAAAAAAAUGAAAACAAAGAUCAGCAAGUAACCGAUGAAGCCAAUUCAAAAAUUUCAUUAAAAGGUUUGAAAUAUAUUUGUUACAAAAGUAGUAUGACAGUUACCUAACUUAUGUAACUGCUUCCAUCAGUUUUAGCAACUUCCAAUACAAAAAUAAUACAAAUUCAAAAGCUGAUUGAUUUAGCUGUACAUCUAUCAAAUUCAUAUCUUACUAACUAUGAAAUCAAGUUACAUGUCAACUUGUUCCAUUUACAAAAGGAUUACAAAAUCAAUUAAACAAAUGAAAUGCUCCCAGUCUUGUUAGAAUGCUGGUCUGCUAUGUUGGACAGCACCAUGGUCGACUGUUGCAUUGCAGUCCAUGCUUAACACUUCUCCUUGGACUGUAGGCAACAAACACCAAUCAAUUCCCUCAGAAGUCCAAACCUCAUUGCACCAAGAGGCUUUGUCAAAAUGUCAGCCAAUUGGUCAUGUGAGUUACAAUAUGCAAGACUUACAUCCUUUGCUUGCACUGCCUCUCGAACAAAAUAGAAUUUAAGUUUAAAAUGUUUUGUUUUUCCAUGAAAAACAGCAUUCUUUGAGAUAGCAAUUGCUGAUUAAUUAUCAACCAUAAUCUCAGUAGGUUCAAAAUGUUCCUCAUUCAAAUCGCAUAGCAAUUUUCUAAGCCAAAUAGCCAAGAAGGCUGACUUGACAUCAAACUGGUGAACCUUCCAGUGCUUCUGUGCAGCCAAGGCAAACAGUAAUUUGAUAGUAUCCAGCCUUGAUACUGGAGCAAAAGUCUCCUCAAAAUCAAUGACAGCCUGUUGACUAUAUCUUUUCACCACAAGCCUUGCCUUGUGCUUGUUCAAAGAGCCAUCUGCAUUGAACUUUACCUUGUAAACCCACCUGACACCAAUGACUUUUCUCUGUUCAGGUCUGUCUACUAGAUCCCAAGUAUCAUUCUUGUGGAUCAUUUCAAUUUCAGCCUCCAUAGCUUCCCUCCAGCUCUUGCUUCUAGCAGCCUCUUCAUAAUUUGAGGGUUCAAUAAUGGCCACAUUGCAUCUCUGAUAGAUGUCAGCAAUGGACCUGGUCCCUCUCACAGGAGCAUUAUCAACAUUGGCAGUACUAAGAUCACUUUCUGCCAAUUCUAAGUUGCUAUCACCUUCCACUUCUUCAAACUGACUGGUAUCUGAAUCAUCAAAGUUCCAAAACCUUGUUUCAUCAAAUUUAACAGCUGCUGUAGCCAAUAAAUAUGCCAGCAAAUAACCUCUUCUCAAGUUUGGUCCUCCUUUCUGUUGGUACAAGCACAUAACAUAUGCAGCCAAACAAUUUUAAAUGUGAAACAACAGGUUUGAGACCAUACCAUGCUUCAAAAGGGGUUUUGUCCUUCACAGCAUGUGUAGGCAGCCUAUUGAGCAAAUAAACUGAGGUAUUGACACCCUCAGCCCAAAAGAUGCCUGGAAGCUUGCUUUGGAACAGCAAACACCUUGUCAUGUUCAUCACAGUCCUGUUCUUCCUCUCACUCACUCUAUUUUGUUGGGGAGUGUAGACUGUAGUCAACUGAUGAUGAAUUCCAGCUUGCUCACACAGCUUCUGGUAUUUUUUAGACAAGUACUCUGUACCAUUGUCUAUCCUCAAGGCCUUGAUCUUGCAGCCUGCUUGAUUUUCUGCCCAAGCCUUGAACUUCACAAACAUGUCAAACACCUCUAACUUCUAUUUCAUAAAGUACACCCAACAAAAUCUGGUCAAAUCAUCAAUAAACAAAACAAAGUACUUACUGCCAUUCAGUGAAGGUGCCUUCAUUGGUCCACAGACAUCUGAGUGCACCAACUCAAGUCUGUCUCGAGGCCUCCAUGCCUGGUUUGCUGAAAAUGGUAGCCUGAUCUGCUUACCAAGCUGACACACCUCACAAACACCUUCACUUGUAUCAACCUUUACCAUAUCCUUUGUCAUGUUCAUUUUGUGCAGCAAAUCAAGUGAUUUGAGGUUAACAUGGCCAAACCUCUUGUGCCAAAGAUCAGUAUCAUCCACUGAGCUUGUAUAGGCUCUUUUCUCAAGCUGACUCACAUCCAGCAUGAAGCAUUUGUCUGCCAUAGGUGCUGUGACUAUCUCCCUACCAUAAGCAUCACUUAUAACACAAGAAUCAUUCUUGAAAACUAGAGAAUAUCCUUUCUUGACUAACUGGCCUACACUAAGCAGAUUCUGAUAAAUUUCAGGCACAUAAAACACAUCUGAGAUAAUUUUGUUACCUGAACCAGUGUGAAUCACCACAUCACCUCUGCCUUUUGCUUCAAUCAAGUUGCCAUUGCCAAUCCUGACCCUUGAGACAUAGCUCCUGUCAAGAUCCUUGAACAACCUCUCAUCAGCAGCCAUGUGGUGCGAGCAGCCACUGUCCACAAGCCAACUGCAUUUGCUGUCAACUGCAAAACAUGAAGCAGUGAACACAUGCUCCUCUUGAGCUUGUAUAUCCUCAGCAGUCUUGGCUUGUGCUGGUUGAGCUUGAGCCUUCUCAUGACUUCUACAAAUCUUCUCAUGAUGGCCAUAUUGCUUACAGCUUUUGCACUGUAUGUCUGGUCUAGUCCAGCAAAACUUCUCCAAGUGAUUAGUUUUCUUGCAAUAAAUGCAUGGUGGAAACCUCCUUCUGCCUGCUUCUCUGUUAGUUUCUUUCUUUGCUUUAUCUCUUCUCUCAAACCAAGGUUUCUUAGCUCUCUGGUUUGAGCUAGAACCUUCUCUGGUUCUUGCUUGAAAGGCUCAUUCAGGGUUCUCCUCCUGUCUGUGUCUGCUAGCUCUCCUCUGCUCGAGUGCAUAGAGAGAAUUAACCAAUUCAGACAAGGAAAUGGUUGUAAGAUCCCUUGAGUCCUCCAGUGAGGAGAUUUUUGAUCCAAACCUCUCUGGAAGAGUGGUGAUCACCUUCUCAACCACUCUACUGUCACUAAAGUCCUCUCCUAGGAGUCUUAUGUUGUUCAUAGUUGCCAUAAUUCUAUCAGAAUAUUACUUAAUAGUUUCUGACUCCUUCAUUUUUAAGUUUUCAAACUCCCUUCUCAAGUUAAUGACCUGUUGCUGCCUGGUCUUAUCCGAUCCCAUGAACUCCUCUUUCAGCCUGUCCCAUGCUUGCUUGGGAGAGUCACAGGCCAUAAUGCAAGUGAAAAUAACAUCUGACACACCAUUUUGCAAACAGGCCAUGGCUUUGUGCUUCUUGGCUCGUUCCUCACCAUGUUGCCUGAUCUGCGCAAUAGUGGGAUUUGCUCUUAAAAGUGGUGGCUCGGAAUCAUUUUCAACUGCACUCCAGAGGUCAAGUGCUUGGACAUAUGUCCUCAUCUUAACUACCCAAAUGUGGUAGUUAUCUCCAGCAAAAACUGGUGGUGGAGGAGGUGCAAAACUCAUGCUGCUGAAACUGACUUUGCAAGCACGAUACUGACUUUGUUUUGAAAACUAAAACAUAAACAACAGAGGUCCUCAAAGAUAGGAGGCUCUGAUUACCAUUUGUUGGAUAAAUGACAGCAAAUAAGACACAACAAAUGAAACUUUGUUUUGCAUAAGCUCACCAAACAGCAAGUCAAAGCAAAAGAAAACAAAAAUGAAAACAAAGAUCAGCAAGUAACCGAUGAAGCCAAUUCAAAAAUUUCAUUAAAAGCUUUGAAAUAUAUUUGUUACAAAAGUAGUAUGACAGUUACCUAACUUAUGUAACUGCUCCCAUCAGUUUUAGCAACUUCCAAUACAAAAAUAAUACAAAUUCAAAAGCUGAUUGAUUCAGCUGUACAUCUAUCAAAUUCAUAUCUUACUAACUAUGAAAUCAAGUUACAUGUCAACUUGUUCCAUUUACAAAAGGAUUACAAAAUGAAUUAAACAAAAGAAAUGCUCCCGGUCUUGUUAGAAUGCUGGUCUGCUAUGUUGGACAGCACCAUGGUCGACUGUUGCAUUGCAGUCCAUGCUUAACAAGAAAUCAGAAGCAGCCGAUGAAAACAGAACAUUCAAAUUGCUUAAUAAAUGAUGCCGAUGAAAAAUAUAUGAAUAUACGCAUAAAUUUAGUAUUGUCAUUAAAUAUCAUGAGCACUGCACAAAUUUAUCCCAAUUUAAAGAAAAAAAUUCUCUAAAUUUCCAUUUUAUUUGACAUAUCUAGAUUUGUAAUUUGAAACUUUGUUCUUAUUCACUUGAAUUAAAAUUGAUCUAGUCUGAUUUUAUCAUUAAAAAGAGCCAACAACCUAAAUCUUAAUUAAGACGAAUAAAAGCCUAAUCAUGUGGUUUUGUAAGAAAUUAACACUAAGGUAAUCUAAAAUCAAACACCUGAUGAUCUCUCGACUCUCUUAGCUUCUUGCUAGGGAAUUAGAUUACUCUCACACACUAACUAACACAUUUCCCCUAAGGUAGCUACGCUAAUUUUCUUGAAUUCCCCUCUUAAUCACAGCUCUCAUUUCUAGUGAUUUUAUCCCUACACAUUGAUCGACCAAUCAUGCUAAAUCGCUUAAUAAAAUAUCAUACUGGCUGUGUGAAAUGCUGCCAUCGGGGGCAUCCUUCCAAUCAUAAUAGAACUUCUUUGCUGAUUUUUUCUAAGGCCAUUAGAAAAGAAAAUAAAACAAGAGAACACAAUGUGGUUCAAGAAUAUUAUUCCUUAGAACAACAGGUAGAACCAAGAAUGAAAAUUACAUCAUAAAAUAAAAUACCUCACCACAAUAACCAUUCACAAACUUUGAGCAAGGUUCUAAAAGGUCAUCGACGGUAGACUUUGCAACUCCGGUACCAUUUGACUUUCAACCCCUCAUCAAAUUUUGUGGUUCUCAAAGCUGAGUGAAUGUAGAAGGCUAAAUAAAUAACAUAUUUGGAUCCUCCACUUUUUUUUAUGAAGGUUUCCUUGAAGUGCCCUAUAAGAGUAUGAUAAUGCUAAUCAUUAGAGUUUCGGAUUAUAGAUUAAACAAAAAAUGAAAAGUUUCAAGUAGCAUUGGUAUUUUGAAAGGGUUAAUUCAAGGCCAUUUUCUCACCAAUUUUUCUACCUUGAUUCCACACAAUCCACAUGAUCAAAAAUGUAAAUUCUCAUCAAGUGAAUUGAUGCAGCUCAAAAGUAGCCUUCUAAUGAUUUCGUUGUGUUAAUGCCUAAAUUGAGCUCUCUAAUGCCAUGCCGUAGUGUGUAGUGUAUCCUUCCUGUAAGGAUCAAUACCAUGUUUAUAGUGGUUAUGAAAUCUGUUGACACUGAUAUCCUUACUCAAUAACCACGAAGAUCUGUAAACUAUUACGUAAAGACUUGUUCUUCUAGAAAACCUUUGGGUAAUAUUUGACAUAGAUAUGUAAAACAGUUUAUAAAAUUUUGCAUAUAUUUAAAAGGUCAUAUCUUUUAUACUCAUCAAGGUGAAAGUAAGAGACAUGAUUUAAAUAGUUCAUUUGCACUCACUUUUAAAGGUGGAUUCUUGAGGUUUUAGCUAAAGUUAAAAAAAGCUUGAAUUCAAUUUAACAACUGGGACUCGAAGCUUGACUCAAGUUAGAUCGAGUUUCAGUUUUAAUGUAGAGCUCAAUUUUGAUAUAAAAAAUUACUUAAGUUCGUUAUAUUAGAUUCGUUUACCAAAUAAAAUGAAAAAAAAAGGGUCAAAUUCUAUUAUAAUAUAUGAUAGGAUCAUAAAUUAAAUCCUUAAUUAUAGUUAUUAAGCUUGCAUUUUUUCCACUAAUGUCAAGAAAUUAAUUUUUUAUUGGGAAACAUUUUUAUAUUAGUUAAUUAUGAGAAACCAUUUUUAUGUGAAAGUGUGUUUAACUAAUUAUAUUAUAGAAAAGUAUAUUUGAUAAUAGGCUCAAUUUACAUGUUUAUUGUGCUUAAAUUUGUUAAAUUCUUUAAUGAGAUAUCAUUAAUUUUGGGUUUAUUAUUUGAUUUUUGAUUAGGUGCAAAAGCAAACUUAGAAAGUAAAAAAGAGUCAGAAAUGCAAGUUGUCGUAAAAGUUUUGGGCCAUACCUAGAACAGUGAACAACAAACACGACUAACGUGACUCAAACCCAAACCAUGCCUCGGACAGUGAACACUCUUGAUCAUCUGGCCAUCAUAUAGAGUUCGGAAAAGAAAGAGAGUACUUUUAAUUUUUUAUUAGGAUAAUAUUUUAAUUUUCUAGCAUUUUAUCUUUUGAUAUAUUUUUAGAUAACACUUUAAUAUUGGAUUAGAUUAAAGAAUUUAAGUAGGAUUAGGUAUAUUCUAAAAGGGACAGCAAUUCAAUUGCUUUCUUUUCUUCUCUGUUUCUAAUUCUGUUCUUUCUUUCUCUGGCACAAUAUUGUGCCGCCACGCCACCCUCCCCUAUUUUUUUUCCUUUCUUUUAUUUAAUUUUUGUUGAACCCUUUAUACGAGUAUGCUUAAUUUCAUGAGUAAUUAAACUUCCCAUCUAGCUUUAAGUCGAGAGUCGUAAGAUUUGUACUUUAAAACCUUCAUUUCAAUAUUUGUUAUUUCUCUGGUUUAGAAGAUAAAUAUUAUCGUCUCAUACAAUUGUUUUGGCACUAAAUGAGAUCAUUGCUUUGGUUUUAAUAAAGAAUCAAUACUAUCAAUUGUCGUAUUCGAUCUACCAAAAAAUAUAUUGGUGUGUCCAAUUAAGUGGUUGAUGUAAAUAGUACUUAAACAAAUAACUACACGGAUGGUAAGGAUGAGUAAAAACUUUUAAUAUCAUCCAUAUCUUUUAUAGGUGGUGUAUUGCUAUGUAGUAUACACUUAAUGGGUUGGCCUAUAUGAGUGUGUAGUGAGGCCGCUUCUAUGAGAUCUUUGGCAAUCGUUAAAGCACUCAUAAAAACUAGGCACGUGCAUGACCUAUUAGCACACAAUCGCAUUGAAGAAUGAAUCAUAAAUAUAAUGUGAUAAGUGUGAAAGUUAAUUUGGAAAUUAAAUAAUUAGUUCAAAAACUUAUUUCAUCAAUUAUUUAAGUAAAUCAUGUCUCAUUUGUUAAAAAUUCUGGUUCGCAGUACAAAUGACAAUAUGAUUAUUCAAUAUAUUGAAACACUCACUUAAAAUUAUAAAUUAAAUCUUUGAAAUAUGUGGGAAAUUAUUGGAAGUUUUCAUGUAUCUCAAAGAACUACAAACAUCUCACAUUGCUAAAAAAAGAUCUGAGUCAUUAUUUAUUAAGUCAUUAUACUUCUUUGAACUUAAUAAGAAUCAAAUUGACAGAGUAGACUCGUGCCCAUUCAAGCCUUUUUGUUUUUGGGCUUAUUUUUUAUUGAAGUUUUGAGAGUCAAAGAAAAGUGAACUUGUAACACCUAUAUUUAAUCAUGCUAAAUAUAAUUUAAUCGAUUGAAGCUAUUUUUAAUUAAGUCCAAAUUCAUUGAACUAUUUUCAAACUAGUUUUAGCUAAUUCAAUCAACUUACCUUUGCUAUAUUAAGCCAAUGAAAUCCCUAUAAAUACAAUGCAUGGCAGUUUUCAAAGUUACUCAUUAGCUUUCACGUUCUCAUCUAAAUUUCUUCUGUAUUCUCUUUAGAAAAACCUUCCUCCUACAAUCUCAAUUGAGUGUUUAAUUGGUCGGCUCUUUAGAAAAGCCUUCAAGGAUAAUGAUAUUCACGCCUCAAGUCGUGAUUCUAAUUUUCUAAACCUCUGAUUUCUUAAGAGAACGUCAAAGGCAACAACCAGUCAAAUUUUAAGUUCAAUUACAUGAAUUCACAAACUUAUAGAGUUUAUUAUUAUUAUUUUAUUUUGAAUCAAAAGUUUUCAAUUCAAGCUUGAAUUAUAAGUCCAAUUUUAAUUUUGUUAUUCAAGCUUUAUCUCAAAUCAAGCUCAAGCUUUUAAAAGUGAAAUUUAUUAUUCAAGUUAAGUUUUGACUUGAUUACACGGUUAGUGUAAAUCGUACAAAUGUAAAGUAUAAUAUAAUUAUAUAAAUUUUGAUACUAUAAUAAUUUCAAUUUUAAAAUUUUAACACAACUAUGGUCUAAAAUAUCCCAUUAUCAAGAAGCUUAGAAAUUAGAAGAUGCAGAUGAAAACAGAGCAUUCAAUUUGCUGAAUAAAUGUUGCAGAGAAUUAAGCUAUAGCAAAUCAGUUGAAUAUAGCUUUUAGUGCCUGCAAAAUUGAAUACAAAAUAUAUACGAUUGAUUGCUAUUAUCAUCUUGUUCCUGAGGACAGUCAGAUACGUGGAACUAAAACAGCCAAUGUUUAAAACGGUUUCAUACCUGUGAUACAACAUAAGGUAUGUGGGAAAUCUUGGACCACUCUCGUCCUUUACCCCUAAAAGUGGACAUAAUUAAAAAGGAAAACUUGUCUGUGGUAGAAAAUGAGGGGCUUUAAUUAAAUUACAACCAACCAGGAUGAACUCUGUUUCUGGAUUGAAAUAUUGGAAUUGGUAAUCAGUGACUUAUUCACUAAAAACUAACUAUUCUGUCACCUUAUAUUCUUCCUAUAAUUUCAGGUUUAAUCCUGUUGAUUUAUACAUUCAGUCCACUGCAAUAUGAACCCAUGAAAACCACACUAAACGAAACUGACUGUUUAAGGAUCCCAUUCAUAUGAUGCAGCACUGCAAUGGGUAAUUAAACUGACUGUUUAAUCCAGUUUCUGUACACUAUGCUUCUUCAAAAUCAUGCCUAGCCGAACUCUCUGACAUUGUGGACCGCAAGCGCACUCAAGGACAUAUUGUUCUUCCCAUCUUUUACCAUGUUGAUCCCUCGGAGGUUCAGCAUCUUAGUGGGAGUAUCAAGACAUACUUUGAUGACCAUGAAUCAAAGAGGCCUGUUGAUGAAGUGAAGCGAUGGAAAACUGCCUUUGUUGAAGUCUGUAAAUUAAUUGGGUGGCAUAUAGGAGGAAAAUUCGACAAGCAAUUAUAUAGUUUCUUUUUCAUUUUCUUAUAUAUUUAACUUUCUUUUUUUUGGUUUAUUUGCUAGGCUUGAAUUCGAGUACAUUAAAGAUAUUGUUGAAUAUGUUAUAAAAAGAAGAUGACAAAUAGAGAGUCCAAAAGUGCUUCUUAAGAAUUUGUUGGAAUAGAUGAUCAAUGAAGGAUGAUUUUGAGGCCAACUGAGGAAGAAGACAAUCCUAUAUUAGGAUGAUUUUGAGGCUGAUUGAUGAAGACGACAUUUGUUUGUGAGUUUUAUGUUUUGUCUUUGGGUUUGUGCUUGUUAAUUGUUGAAUGGAUUCUCGUUCAAUAAGUUUGUAGGCGAUCCAACUUGAAAAUUAGGAUUAACACUGUGUGGUGCACAGAUUCUUGCGUGAUCGUGUCUUGCUUGUUGAUGCUUGAAAGUUGAAAGAUUCUUAUAUGCUUAUGUUAAACUUGAUGCAUUUUUAAGAUUAGGGUAGGAUGUGAUUUUUAUGUGACUAAUCUAUGUUUGAUAUUUUAAAGGUAAACUACCCGUUAGUUACUCUAAAUAAUGGUCGUUUCUAUUUUCUCACCUUAAUGGAAAUCAAUCAAAUUACAACUCAACUUACUUUUAUGCUUAAAAAAAAAUAAUCAUCCAAGAAAAUAAAUAUAUAUAAGUUUUAUAGACUGUUGCAAACUAAUAUACACUCAUAUAAGCUGAUAUUAACUAAAACAAAUCAAAACACAAUGAAAUUUCAACUGAAACGAAACUUAAACUACUUUAUAUUAAUUCAAUAUUGAGAGGAAUUCAAUAUUGAGAGGAUAGCCAAUUAUUAAGAAAAGAAAAAUAAUGAAAAUCAAUCAAAUUAUAGGUCAACUUACUUUCAUGCUUACAAAAAAAAUUGCUAAAAUUAAAAAUUGAAAAAAAAACCCAAAUUUCAAUUAUUAAAAAUCAUCUAUAAUAUAUAUAUAUAAGUAUAAUACUAUAUUAUAUACCUAGUGCUGGACCAUUGAUAGACCUUGCCGGUGCUUGAAAAAAUAAUAACCCCAACCUCUGCAUCACAUGAAAUGGACAAUUCUUUAGCUUUCUUCAACAACCCAUUUUGCCUCUUUGAAAUGUUGAGAAUAAUUCAAAAUAAUAUUGGUGGGAUGUUUAGAAAAUCUUGGUAGUAUCUUGGUAGUUUCAGAUUUUCUAGUUUGACUAAAUAAUUUGUUAGCUAUUUUUAUCUUAAGUUAGUUUUCAUGUAAGCCUAUAAAUAUAGGCAUUUAUUCUUUGUUUUUUACUCAUUCAGAAUUCAUUAAUAAGAGAGCAACUUUCCUACAUAUUAUUCUAUCUUUCUCACGUUUUAUUCUCCAACAACUUUGGCAUCGGAGCCAGGUUGGAUCCUUUAGGCAAUUGAGUGAAAGUGAGGUUUGGGUCCAUUAGGGUCUUUGGGAAACACGAGAGAAAAGAGUGAGUGUUUUUGGAAUGGCAUCAGCUGGUUUUUCUUCCUCUCAACCACUCAUACCCAUUUUCAAUGGUGAGAAAUAUGAGUGGUGGAGCAUCAAGGUGAGGACAUUGCUCAAAUCGCAAGAGCUAUGGGACUUGGUGGAGUACGGGUUCGUUGACAUACUUGAACCUGAUGAAGAAGAAGAUAGGAGGUUGAAAGAAGUCAGGAAAAAUGAUGCUAAGGCAUUGUUCAUUAUCCAGCAAGCAGUUCAUGACUCUAUUUUCUCUCGAAUUGCAGCAGCAACCACAUCGAAUGAAGCAUGGUCAAUCUUGCAGAAAGAAUAUCAAGGUGAUUCAAGAGUCAUAGUAGUGAAAUUACAAUCACUACGACGUGAUUUUGAGACCUUAAUGAUGAAGAAUGGUGAAUCAAUUGCUGAUUUUUUGUCACGAACAAGGACAAUAGUCGGUCAAUUGCGCUCCUAUGGUGAGAAAAUUUCAGACGAGACAAUUGUAGCAAAAGUCUUGCGAAGCUUAACGACAAAAUUUGAUCAUGUUGUGGCUGCUAUAGAAGAGUCCAAAGAUCUGUCAGUUCUUUCCGUUGAUGAACUGAUGGGAUCUCUUCAAUCUCAUGAGGCGAGAAUCAAUAGAUCAGCAGAAAGGAGUGAAGAGAAUAGUGAAGAUAAGGCAUUUCAAGUGAAAGGUGACAAUAACCGUUCAACAAAUAGAGGACGAGGAAGAGGAGGAUUUCGUAGAGGUCGUAGCGGUGGCUAUGGCAGAAGCAGAGGCAAAGGAAGGUAUGAUGGACAAAGGCAAUCGAAUGAGCAAGGUAACACAAAAAAUGGCAUUCAAUGUUACCAUUGCAAUAGAUAUGGGCAUGUAAAAGCUGAUCAUUGGUAUAAAGAUCAAAAAAUGAAUUUUGCAUCAGAAAGUGAGGAAGAAAACAAGCUUUUUAUGGCUUGUAUUGAUACUAACCAUAAGUCAAGUGAUUGGUGGUUUGUGGACAGCGGUUGUUCGAAUCACAUGACGGGUACCAAAUCCUGAUUCAAGGAGCUCGACGAAUCACAAAAGCUAAAGGUGCAACUUGGAAACAAAAGGGAGAUGCAAGUUGAAGGAAAAGGCACUGUGGAAAUCGUUAAUAGCCAUGGAGAAGGAAAAAUGUUGGACAGUGUUCAGUUUGUUCCUGAUUUAGGAUACAAUUUAUUGAGUGUUGGACAACUAAUGGCUGGUGGAUAUGCUGUCGUAUUUUAUGAUGGUGCAUGUAUCAUCAAAAACAAAAAAUCAGGCAAACGAGUCCAUGUCAACAUGACACCAAACAAGAUGUUUCCGUUGGAUGUUUCAAACAUGGAGAACUUUGUUCUUGCUGCAAGUACAAAGGAUGACUCGAAGCUAUGGCAUUUGAGGUAUAGUCAUCUCAAUAUUAAAGGCCUGAAAUUACUGAGUGAUAAAGGUAUGGUUCUUGGACUACCGAAAAUUGUCUCUCUUGAUUUAUGUGAGGGGUGCAUUUAUGGAAAGCAAACUAGGAAGCCAUUUCCUGUUGGAAAAGCAUGGAGAGCUACUGAAUGUUUAGAAUUAAUUCAUGUUGAUCUAUGUGGUCCUAUGCAAACCGAGUCCUUGGGUGGGAGCCGUUACUUCUUGCUGUUUACUGAUGAUUAUAGUCGCAUGAGCUGGGUGUAUUUUUUGGAAAACAAGUCAGAAACUUUUGAAAAGUUCCAGAAAUUCAAGGUUAUGGUGGAGAAUCAAAGUGGCUGCCAUAUCAAAGUUCUUCGCACAGAUCGAGGUGGAGAGUUCAUGUCCAAAGAGUUUAAUAUGUUUUGUGAGGACAGUGGCAUCCAUAGGGAGUUAACAAUUCCUUACACUCCUGAGCAGAACGGUGUCGCUGAGCGGAAGAAUCGAACUGUUGUGGAGAUGACAAGAAGCAUGUUACAAGCGAAGGGACUCUCAAAUCAGUUUUGGGCGGAAGCUGUGGCAACAUCUGUCUAUCUACUGAAUCUCUCACCAACAAGGGCUGUCAUGAAUAAAACUCCAUAUGAAGCUUGGUGUGGUAGGAAACCUAAUGUAAGUCAUUUAAGAAUUUUUGGGUGUGUUGCAUACGCUUUAUUAAAUUCUCAUGCUCGUAAAAAGCUUGAUGAAAAGUCUGAAAAAUGCAUUUUCAUUGGUUAUUGUACUCAAUCCAAAGCAUAUAGAUUGUAUAACCCUCAUAGUGGAAAAUUUACAAGUAGAAGAGAUGUAGUGUUUGAUGAAAAUGCAAGCUGGGAUAUGAGUGUAGAACAGGUACAACAGGAGAUUUCUUUUCCCAUCAAAGAUUCUAUAGAUAAAAAGGAGGAGCCUGCACCAGCAAUAUCUACAACACUUGAAGAAUCUUCUGACGAGCCAAUUCCACUAAGGAGAUCAACAAGGGUCAAAAAGCCAAAUCCGAAAUAUGCUGAUGACACUUAUGCAUCCUGCCAAUUUGCCCUAGCCGUUUCAGAUCCUCAGUAUUAUGAAGAAGCUGCUGAUAAGGAAGAAUGGAAAAAGGCAAUGAUGGAGGAGAUACAAUCCAUCGAAAAGAAUAGAACUUGGGAGAUGGUCGACUUGCCGGAAGAUAAAAAUGCAAUUGGUUUGAAGUGGGUGUUCAAGACAAAAUUCGGUGCAGAUGGAAGCAUUCAAAAGCACAAAGCUCGUCUUGUAGCGAAAGGUUAUGCACAGCAAUAUGGUAUUGAUUUCAAAGAAACUUUCUCUCCAGUAGCUCGGUUCGAAACGGUGAGGCUUGUUCUAGCAAUAGCUGCACAAUUGCAAUGGCCUGUUUACCAGUUUGAUGUCAAAUCAGCGUUCCUCAAUGGAGAUCUACAAGAGGAAGUUUACGUAACACAACCAGAAGGUUUCAUAGAGAAGGGAAAUGAAACAAAAUUUUACAAGCUGAAAAAGGCGUUGUACGGAUUGAAGCAGGCCCCUCGAGCAUGGUACAACAAGAUCGAUGGGUAUUUUUAGAAGAAAGGGUACAUGAGAAGUGAGAACGAGCCCACCUUGUACGUGAAAAAGGAAGGUAAAAAUGAUUUCAUCAUUGUUUGUCUUUACGUUGAUGAUAUCAUUUAUACUAGUUCCUCUAACUUACUUGUUGAUGAAUUUAAGUCUCAAAUGAUGAAUGAAUUUGAGAUGUCCGAUAUGGGUUUAUUGCAUUAUUUCCUUGGUCUUGAAAUUCAUCAAGCUGAUGAUGGAAUUUUUAUCUCACAAAGGAAAUAUGCCAAGGAUCUUCUCAGUAAAUUUAGUAUGCUUAAUUGCAAGCCUGCAGCUACACCCAUGAAUAUCAAUGAAAAAUUGCAGCAAGAGGAUGGAGAAGAAAUGGUAGAUGCAAGGAGGUUUAGAAGCUUGGUUGGAGGUUUAAUCUAUUUGACUCACACUAGACCCGAUAUUGCAUUUCCUGUUGGUGUUAUUUCCAGGUUUAUGCAGCAACCUUCAAAGGUUCAUUAUGGAGCAGCAAAACGAGUCUUGCGAUACAUUGCUGGAACUUCGGAGUAUGGCAUAUGGUUCUGGGGUGAUCACAUGGAGUUCUAAGAAGCAAGCUACAACAGUAUUGUCAACCUCAGAGGCUGAAUAUGUAGCAGCAACUGCAACAGCUUGUCAAGCCAUUUGGCUAAGGAGAAUGUUAACCGAUCUCCAACAAGAACAGAAAUGUGCAACUACCAUAUUUUGUGACAACAAAUCCACUAUCUCUAUGACAAAGAAUCCAACAUUUCAUAGUAGAACAAAGUACAUAGAUAUUCGUUAUCAUUUCAUUCGAGAUUUGGUAGCAAAAGAGGAGAUAUCUUUGGAAUAUUGCAACACUGAAGAGCAGCUGGCAGAUAUGUUAACAAAAGCAUUAUCAAAAGAGAAGUUUUGCUAUUUUAGAAGUUUACUUGGUGUCUGCAACUUUGAAUUAAGGGAGAGUUUUGAGAAUAAUUCAAAAUAAUAUUGGUGGGAUGUUUAGAAAAUCUUGGUAGUAUCUUGGUAGUUUCAGAUUUUCUAGUUUGACUAAAUAAUUUGUUAGCUAUUUUUAUCUUAAGUUAGUUUUCAUGUAAGCCUAUAAAAAUAGGCAUUUAUUCUUUGUUUUUUUACUCAUUCAGAAUUCAUUAAUAAGAGAGCAACUUUCCUAAAUAUUAUUCUAUCUUUCUCACUUUCUGAUGCAAAAUUCAUUUUUUGAUCUUUAUACCAACAAUCAGCUUUUACAUGCCCAUAUCUAUUGCAAUGGUAACAUUGAAUGCCAUUUUUUGUGUUACCUUGCUCAUUCGAUUGCCUUUGUCCAUCAUACCUUCCUUUGCCUCUGCUUCUGCCAUAGCCACCGCUACGACCUCUACGAAAUCCUCCUCUUCCUCGUCCUCUAUUUGUUGAACGGUUAUUGUCACCUUUCACUUGAAAUGCCUUCUCUUCACUAUUCUCUUCACUCCUUUCUGCUGAUCUAUUGAUUCUCGCCUCAUGAGAUUGAAGAGAUCCCAUCAGUUCAUCAACGGAAAGAACUGACAGAUCUUUGGACUCUUCUAUAGCAGCCACAACAUGAUCAAAUUUUGUCGUUAAGCUUCGCAAGACUUUUGCUACAAUUGUCUCGUCUGAAAUUUUCUCACCAUAGGAGCGCAAUUGACCGACUAUUGUCCUUGUUCGUGACAAAAAAUCAGCAAUUGAUUCACCAUUCUUCAUCAUUAAGGUCUCAAAAUCACGUCGUAGUGAUUGUAAUUUCACUACUAUGACUCUUGAAUCACCUUGAUAUUCUUUCUGUAAGAUUGACCAUGCUUCAUUCGAUGUGGUUGCUGCUGCAAUUCGAGAGAAACUAGAGUCAUGAACUGCUUGCUGGAUAAUGAACAAUGCCUUAGCAUCAUUUUUCUGACUUCUUUCAACCUCCUAUCUUCUUCUUCAUCAGGUUCAAGUAUGUCAACGAACCCGUACUCCACCAAGUCCCAUAGCUCUUGCGAUUUGAGCAAUGUCCUCACCUUGAUGCUCCACCACUCAUAUUUCUCACCAUUGAAAAUGGGUAUGAGUGGUUGACAGGAAGAAAACAAGCUUUUUAUGGCUUGUAUUGAUACUAACCAUAAGUCAAGUGAUUGGUGGUUUGUGGACAGCGGUUGUUCGAAUCACAUGACGGGUACCAAAUCCUGAUUCAAGGAGCUCGACGAGUCACAAAAUCUAAAGGUGCAACUUGGAAACAAAAGGGAGAUGCAAGUUGAAGGAAAAGGCACUGUGGAAAUCGUUAAUAGCCAUGGAGAAGGAAAAAUGUUGGACAGUGUUCAGUUUGUUCCUGAUUUAGGAUACAAUUUAUUGAGUGUUGGAAAACUAAUGGCUGGUGGAUAUGCUGUCGUAUUUUAUGAUGGUGCAUGUAUCAUCAAAAACAAAAAAUCAGACAAACGAGUCCAUGUCUACAUGACACCAAACAAGAUGUUUCCGUUGGAUGUUUCAAACAUGGAGAACUUUGUUCUUGCUGCAAGUACCAAGGAUGACUCGAAGCUAUGGCAUUUGAGGUAUGGUCAUCUCAAUAUUAAAGGCCUGAAAUUACUGAGUGAUAAAGGUAUGGUUCUUGGACUACCGAAAAUUGUCUCUCUUGAUUUAUGUGAGGGGUGCAUUUAUGGAAAGCAAACUAGGAAGCCAUUUCCUGUUGGAAAAGGAUGGAGAGCUACUGAAUGUUUAGAAUUAAUUCAUGCUGAUCUAUGUGGUCCUAUGCAAACCGAGUCCUUGGGUGGGAGCCGUUACUUCUUGCUGUUUACUGAUGAUUAUAGUCGCAUGAGCUGGGUGUAUUUUUUGGAAAACAAGUCAUUUAAGAAUUUUUGGGUGUGUUGCAUACGCUUUAUUAAAUUCUCAUGCUCGUAAAAAGCUUGAUGAAAAGUCUGAAAAAUGCAUUUUCAUUGGUUAUUGUACUCAAUCCAAAGCAUAUAGAUUGUAUAACCCUCAUAGUGGAAAAUUUACAAGUAGAAGAGAUGUAGUGUUUGAUGAAAAUGCAAGCUGGGAUAUGAGUGUAGAACAGGUACAACAGGAGAUUUCUUUUCCCAUUAAAGAUUCUAUAGAUAAAAAGGAGGAGCCUGCACCAGCAAUAUCUACAACACUUGAAGAAUCUUCUGACGAGCCAAUUCCACUAAGGAGAUCAACAAGGGUCAAAAAGCCAAAUCCAAAAUAUGCUGAUGACACUUAUGCAUCCUGCCAAUUUGCCCUAGCCGUUUCAGAUCCUCAGUAUUAUGAAGAAGCUGCUGAUAAGAAAGAAUGGAAAAAGGCAAUGAUGGAGGAGAUACAAUCCAUCGAAAAGAAUAGAACUUGGGAGAUGGUCGACUUGCCGGAAGAUAAAAAUGCAAUUGGUUUGAAGUGGGUGUUCAAGACAAAAUUCGGUGCAGAUGGAAGCAUUCAAAAGCACAAAGCUCGUCUUGUAGCGAAAGGUUAUGCACAGCAAUAUGGUAUUGAUUUCGAAGAAACUUUCUCUCCAGUAGCUCGGUUCGAAACGGUGAGGCUUGUUCUAGCAAUAGCUGCACAAUUGCAAUGGCCUGUUUACCAGUUUUAUGUCAAAUCAGCGUUCCUCAAUGGAGAUCUACAAGAGGAAGUUUACGUAACACAACCAGAAGGUUUCAUAGAGAAGGGAAAUGAAACAAAAGUUUACAAGCUGAAAAAGGCGUUGUACGGAUUGAAGCAGGCCCCUCGAGCAUGGUACAACAAGAUCGAUGGGUAUUUUCAGAAGAAAGGGUACAUGAGAAGUGAGAACGAGCCCACCUUGUACGUAAAAAAGGAAGGUAAAAAUGAUUUCAUCAUUGUUUGUCUUUACGUUGAUGAUAUCAUUUAUACUAGUUCCUCUAACUUACUUGUUGAUAAAUUUAAGUCUCAAAUGAUGAAUGAAUUUGAGAUGUCCGAUAUGGGUUUAUUGCAUUAUUUCCUCGGUCUUGAAAUUCAUCAAGCUGAUGAUGGAAUUUUUAUCUCACAAAGGAAAUAUGCCAAGGAUCUUCUCAGUAAAUUUAGUAUGCUUAAUUGCAAGCCUGCAGCUACACCCAUGAAUAUCAAUGAAAAAUUGCAGCAAGAGGAUGGAGAAGAAAUGGUAGAUGCAAGGAGGUUUAGAAGCUUGGUUGGAGGUUUAAUCUAUUUGACUCACACUAGACCCGAUAUUGCAUUUCCUGUUGGUGUUAUUUCCAGGUUUAUGCAGCAACCUUCAAAGGUUCAUUAUGGAGCAGCAAAACGAGUCUUGCGAUACAUUGCUGGAACUUCGGAGUAUGGCAUAUGGUUCUGGGGUGAUCACAUGGAGUUCUAAGAAGCAAGCUACAACAGUAUUGUCAACCUCAGAGGCUGAAUAUGUAGCAGCAACUGCAACAGCUUGUCAAGCCAUUUGGCUAAGGAGAAUGUUAACCGAUCUCCAACAAGAACAGAAAUGUGCAACUACCAUAUUUUGUGACAACAAAUCCACUAUCUCUAUGACAAAGAAUCCAACAUUUCAUAGUAGAGCAAAGCACAUAGAUAUUCGUUAUCAUUUCAUUCGAGAUUUGGUAGCAAAAGAGGAGAUAUAUUUGGAAUAUUGCAACACUGAAGAGCAGCUGGCAGAUAUGUUAACAAAAGCAUUAUCAAAAGUGAAGUUUUGCUAUUUUAGAAGUUUACUUGGUGUCUGCAACUUUGAAUUAAGGGGGAGUGUUGAGAAUAAUUCAAAAUAAUAUUGGUGGGAUGUUUAGAAAAUCUUGGUAGUAUCUUGGUAGUUUCAGAUUUUCUAGUUUGACUAAAUAAUUUGUUAGCUAUUUUUAUCUUAAGUUAGUUUUCAUGUAAGCCUAUAAAUAUAGGUAUUUAUUCUUUGUUUUUUACUCAUUUAGAAUUCAUUAAUAAGAGAGCAACUUUCCUACAUAUUAUUCUAUCUUUCUCACGUUUUAUUCUCCAACAACUUUGGCAUCGGAGCCAGGUUGGAUCCUUUAGGCAAUUGAGUGAAAGUGAGGUUUGGGUCCAUUAGGGUCUUUGGGAAACACGAGAGAAAAGAGUGAGUGUUUUUGGAAUGGCAUCAGCUGGUUUUUCUUCCUCUCAACCACUCAUACCCAUUUUCAAUGGUGAGAAAUAUGAGUGGUGGAGCAUCAAGGUGAGGACAUUGCUCAAAUCGCAAGAGCUAUGGGACUUGGUGGAGUACGGGUCCGUUGACAUACUUGAACCUGAUGAAGAAGAAGAUAGGAGGUUGAAAGAAGUCAGGAAAAAUGAUGCUAAGGCAUUGUUCAUUAUCCAGCAAGCAGUUCAUGACUCUAUUUUCUCUCGAAUUGCAGCAGCAACCACAUCGAAUGAAGCAUGGUCAAUCUUGCAGAAAGAAUAUCAAGGUGAUUCAAGAGUCAUAGUAGUGAAAUUACAAUCACUACGACGUGAUUUUGAAACCUUAAUGAUGAAGAAUGGUGAAUCAAUUGCUGAUUUUUUAUCACGAACAAGGACAAUAGUCGGUCAAUUGCGCUCCUAUGGUGAGAAAAUUUCAGACGAGACAAUUGUAGCAAAAGUCUUGCGAAGCUUAACGACAAAAUUUGAUCAUAUUGUGGCUGCUAUAGAAGAGUCCAAAGAUCUGUCAGUUCUUUCCGUUGAUGAACUGAUGGGAUCUCUUCAAUCUCAUGAGGCGAGAAUCAAUAGAUCAGCAGAAAGGAGUUAAGAGAAUAGUGAAGAGAAGGCAUUUCAAGUGAAAGGUGACAAUAACCGUUCAACAAAUAGAGGACGAGGAAGAGAAGGAUUUCGUAGAGGUCGUAGCGGUGGCUAUGGCAGAAGCAGAGGCAAAGGAAGGUAUGAUGGACAAAGGCAAUCGAAUGAGCAAGGUAACACAAAAAAUGGCAUUAAAUGUUACCAUUGCAAUAGAUAUGGGCAUGUAAAAGCUGAUUGUUGGUAUAAAGAUCAAAAAAUGAAUUUUGCAUCAGAAAGUGAGGAAGAAAACAAGCUUUUUAUGGCUUGUAUUGAUACUAACCAUAAGUCAAGUGAUUGGUGGUUUGUGGACAGCGGUUGUUCGAAUCACAUGACGGGUACCAAAUCCUGAUUCAAGGAGCUCGACGAGUCACAAAAGCUAAAGGUGCAACUUGGAAACAAAAGGGAGAUGCAAGUUGAAGGAAAAGGCACUGUGGAAAUCGUUAAUAGCCAUGGAGAAGGAAAAAUGUUGGACAGUGUUCAGUUUGUUCCUGAUUUAGGAUACAAUUUAUUGAGUGUUGGACAACUAAUGGCUGGUGGAUAUGCUGUCGUAUUUGAUGAUGGUGCAUGUAUCAUCAAAAACAAAAAAUCAAGCAAACGAGUCUAUGUCAACAUGACACCAAACAAGAUGUUUCCGUUGGAUGUUUCAAACAUGGAGAACUUUGUUCUUGCUGCAAGUACAAAGGAUGACUCGAAGCUAUGGCAUUUGAGGUAUGGUCAUCUCAAUAUUAAAGGCCUGAAAUUACUGAGUGAUAAAGGUAUGGUUCUUGGACUACCGAAAAUUGUCUCUCUUGCUUUAUGUGAGGGGUGCAUUUAUGGAAAGCAAACUAGGAAGCCAUUUCCUGUUGGAAAAGCAUGGAGAGCUACUGAAUGUUUAGAAUUAAUUCAUGCUGAUCUAUGUAGUCCUAUGCAAACCGAGUCCUUGGGUGGGAGCCGUUACUUCUUGUUGUUUACUGAUGAUUAUAGUCGCAUGAGCUGGGUGUAUUUUUUGGAAAACAAGUCAGAAACUUUUGAAAAGUUCUAGAAAUUCAAGGUUAUGGUGGAGAAUCAAAGUGGCUGCCAUAUCAAAGUUCUUCGCACAGAUCGAGGUGGAGAGUUCAUGUCCAAAGAGUUUAAUAUGUUUUGUGAGGACAGUGGCAUCCAUAGGGAGUUAACAAUUCCUUACACUCCUGAGCAGAACGGUGUCGCUGAGCGGAAGAAUCGAACUGUUGUGGAGAUGACAAGAAGCAUGUUACAAGCGAAGGGACUCUCAAAUCAGUUUUGGGCGGAAGCUGUGGCAACAUCUGUCUAUCUACUGAAUCUCUCACCAACAAGGGCUGUCAUGAAUAAAACUCCAUAUGAAGCUUGGUGUGGUAGGAAACCUAAUGUAAGUCAUUUAAGAAUUUUUGGGUGUGUUGCAUACGCUUUAUUAAAUUCUCAUGCUCGUAAAAAGCUUGAUGAAAAGUCUGAAAAAUGCAUUUUCAUUGGUUAUUGUACUCAAUCCAAAGCAUAUAGAUUGUAUAACCCUCAUAGUGGAAAAUUUACAAGUAGAAGAGAUGUAGUGUUUGAUGAAAAUGCAAGCUGGGAUAUGAGUGUAGAACAGGUACAACAGGAGAUUUCUUUUCCCAUCAAAGAUUCUAUAGAUAAAAAGGAAGAGCCUGCACCAGCAAUAUCUACAACACUUGAAGAAUCUUCUGACGAGCCAAUUCCACUAAGGAGAUCAACAAGGGUCAAAAAGCCAAAUCCGAAAUAUGCUGAUGACACUUAUGCAUCCUGCCAAUUUGCCCUAGCCGUUUCAGAUCCUCAGUAUUAUGAAGAAGCUGCUGAUAAGGAAGAAUGGAAAAAGGCAAUGAUGGAGGAGAUACAAUCCAUCGAAAAGAAUAGAACUUGGGAGAUGGUCGACUUGCCGGAAGAUAAAAAUGCAAUUGGUUUGAAGUGGGUGUUCAAGACAAAAUUCGGUGCAGAUGGAAGCAUUCAAAAGCACAAAGCUCGUCUUGUAGCGAAAGGUUAUGCACAGCAAUAUGGUAUUGAUUUCGAAGAAACUUUCUCUCCAGUAGCUCGGUUCGAAACGGUGAGGCUUGUUCUAGCAAUAGCUGCACAAUUGCAAUGGCCUGUUUACCAGUUUGAUGUCAAAUCAACGUUCCUCAAUGGAGAUCUACAAGAGGAAGUUUACGUAACACAACCAGAAGGUUUCAUAGAGAAGGGAAAUGAAAUAAAAGUUUACAAGCUGAAAAAGGCGUUGUACGGAUUGAAGCAGGCCCCUCGAGCAUGGUACAACAAGAUCGAUGGGUAUUUUCAGAAGAAAGGGUACAUGAGAAGUGAGAACGAGCCCACCUUGUACGUGAAAAAGGAAGGUAAAAAUGAUUUCAUCAUUGUUUGUCUUUACGUUGAUGAUAUCAUUUAUACUAGUUCCUCUAACUUACUUGUUGAUGAAUUUAAGUCUCAAAUGAUGAAUGAAUUUGAGAUGUCCGAUAUGGGUUUAUUGCAUUAUUUCCUCGGUCUUGAAAUUCAUCAAGCUGAUGAUGGAAUUUUUAUCUCACAAAGGAAAUAUGCCAAGGAUCUUCUCAGUAAAUUUAGUAUGCUUAAUUGCAAGCCUGCAGCUACACCCAUGAAUAUCAAUGAAAAAUUGCAGCAAGAGGAUGGAGAAGAAAUGGUAGAUGCAAGGAGGUUUAGAAGCUUGGUUGGAGGUUUAAUCUAUUUGACUCACACUAGACCCGAUAUUGCAUUUCCUGUUGGUGUUAUUUCCAGGUUUAUGCAACAACCUUCAAAGGUUCAUUAUGGAGCAGCAAAACGAGUCUUGCGAUACAUUGCUGGAACUUCGGAGUAUGGCAUAUGGUACUCAAAAACUUUAGAUUUCAGAUUGUGUGGGUUCACAGACAGUGAUUGGGCAAGUUCUCUAGAUGAUAGAAGAAGUGUAUCAGCAUUUGUUUUUACUCUAGGUUCUGGGGUGAUCACAUGGAGUUCUAAGAAGCAAGCUACAACAGCAUUGUCAACCUCAGAGGCUGAAUAUGUAGCAGCAACUGCAACAGCUUGUCAAGCCAUUUGGCUAAGGAGAAUGUUAACCGAUCUCCAACAAGAACAGAAAUGUGCAACUACCAUAUUUUGUGACAACAAAUCCACUAUCUCUAUGACAAAGAAUCCAACAUUUCAUAGUAGAACAAAGCACAUAGAUAUUCGUUAUCAUUUCAUUCGAGAUUUGGUAGCAAAAGAGGAGAUAUAUUUGGAAUAUUGCAACACUGAAGAGCAGCUGGCAGAUAUGUUAACAAAAGCAUUAUCAAAAGAGAAGUUUUGCUAUUUUAGAAGUUUACUUGGUGUCUGCAACUUUGAGUUAAGGGGGAGUGUUGAGAAUAAUUCAAAAUAAUAUUGGUGGGAUGUUUAGAAAAUCUUGGUAGUAUCUUGGUAGUUUCAGAUUUUCUAGUUUGACUAAAUAAUUUGUUAGCUAUUUUUAUCUUAAGUUAGUUUUCAUGUAAGCCUAUAAAUAUAGGCAUUUAUUCUUUGUUUUUUACUCAUUUAGAAUUCAUUAAUAAGAGAGCAACUUUCCUACAUAUUAUUCUAUCUUUCUCACGUUUUAUUCUCCAACAUGAAAACGUUACUUGCCUGCUAUUCAAAUUUUCAAUAUUUUUUAUUUCAAUUUUCCCUCUACCCAUCUGAAAAUUUUCUUCUUUCCUUUACUUUUCCCGGAAAUUUUUAAAAGAAAAGAUAAACCCCAGAUAUUUUUUUCUUAAAUUUUGAAAAAAACCAAAGGUUUUUAUAACAACAAACAGAUCAAAGAAAAUAAGGCAAAAAAUUUAGGGGAUUGUAAAAGGAUUCUUUUUUUAGGAGAAAAGAAAAUAAGUAAGUAAUGUUUAUAUAUAACAAUUGUUUUCUUAAAUGGAAAUGGAAAAUGAUAUGGAAAAAGAAAAUAUGUGACCAAAAUUAGGGUGAAAUCUUGAAAGGUGACAGAUUUGAUACUAUAUCUAGCAAUUAUCCAACUAUGGAAACUCUAUUUAUUAUACCUUUAGUUUUUUUUUCUAUUUAUCUUAAAUUCUCUACCUUCUUACUCUGCUGUUUUUGGCAUUUCAACUCAAAAUGGAUUUUAUCUUUGCUUUGGGUUUCUUUUUUUAAAUAUAAAAAGUGGUUUUUAAUUAUUUAUAUAUUAUUAAUGUGUUUUAACAAUUUUUGUUAGUGAAUAUUGAUUUUUUUUUUGUGAAUUAUAAUAUGAGGGUAAAGCCCUAACAACACGACUAGAGUGAUUCAAAUUUAGGCCACUCCUGAGACGUUGAACACAAGUAUUUCACGAGGACAUAUAACACAUGUUUUUUAAAUUCAUGGCUAAAAUAAUAAUAAUAACCUCUUUAUUUUAUUGUAUUCAAAUAAUAAAAUAAACCAUGGUUUUAGUCGUACCGGCCGGUGCCGCCGUUCUACUGUUAUAGCGCAACAAGCAACACCCUUUCCAUACUAAUAAAAAUUUUGGUUUGUACCGUUCGCAUUGGCCGGAACAUGGUACACCUGCUACUACAUGGAUAAUGUUAAAAAAUAUAAAACUUUUAACUAUUUUCUAUUAGACUAAAUAUUUAAUUGAAAUGUAUUGACCAAUAAAAAAAUAUUACAUUAGAAAGUAAAGUUUAACAUUUAAAAUUUUUUUUGAAGCAUACUUUUUCAUUUAAAAUAUAACAAUUAAAAUAUAAUAAAAAAACCCCACUCACCUCGUUAUCAUAGAAAAAUCUUCACUCACCCUUCAGCCUUUUUUAUUGAAAAAACACCCUCAUCCUUCGAUUUCUUUUUUUCUUCUUAAUUUUGAAUUUAUUGAAGGGUAAACUACUAAAAUAGUCAUUUUUGUUUACCUCAGGUUACAUUUUAGUCACUUACGUUAUCGUAUUGUAACAUUUUAGUCACUUAGCCGUUAAUUGCCAUUAACAGUAUAACGGUAAGCUGGCGUGGCAUGUUAAAUCAUCAUUUUAAAUAAAAAUUUUAGGUUAAAUUAUACAAUUGAUCCCUAUAUUUUUCAUUUUGAGCAAUUUAAUUUUUUCUUUUUUGUUUUUUAACUUCCUUUUUUUUCCUCAUUUUCCAUUCUCUUUUGUUUCUUCCUCUAUUUUCCUCCCUUUUCUAUUUUUUUAACAUAAAUUUUUUAUUUUUUUCAUUUGUUAAAACUAGUCCCUAUACUUUAAUUUUUUUGAACAAUUUAAUUUUUUUCCUUUUUAUUUUUAUUCACAAUUGUCUAUAAUAAGCAAAAAAAAAUUAAAAAUCUUUAUUUUGGAUUUUCAUUGAAGAUCAAUACAAAAUUUUUAACUUUCCUUUUUUUCUUUAUUUUCUAUUCUCUUCUGUUUCUCCCUCUAUUUUCCUCCUUCUCUGUUUCUUUUAACAUAGUUUUUCUAUAUUUUUCAUUUGUUAAAACUAGUCUCUAUACUUUUAUUUUGGUAUUGGGUAUUUCUUGUACGUUCUGUUUAAUCUUCCUUUUGAUUAGUUUUUAAUAUAUUUUCAACUUAGAGUAAUGAUUUUGUAUUGAUCUUCAAUGAAAACCUAGAAUAAAGAUUUUUUUAAAUCUUUUUUUGCUUGUUGUAAACAAUUGUGAAUUGGAGUUUUUGAUAUUUUAAACUUAUUGUUGAUGCUAUACAAAGGAUCCAAAAAUAGAUUAUUAUGGUGAUUUUAUAGAAUUGCUUGGACCUGAUAUUUCAAUGAAGAUUCUCAUGAUACUGGUUAACACUUCUGAUCCCACUAGAGUUAACUUGAUUUCUAGUUUUCGGCACCGAUUUGGUAAACAAAUUAAUGUCUUUGGUAGAAUUUAGCUUGGUGUUCUAUUAUAUAUUGAAAAAGAAUCGGUAUUGAUUAAUUCAAUAAGAUCGAUUUUAUUCAUCUUGCAAUGAUAAAAAACGGUCUUUGGGUUUACACAUAGAGUAUGUAAUCAAAGAUAAUUUGCUUUAACAAAUAAAGAAAUAAAAAAAAUUAAAUUGUUCAAAAAAAUAAAAGUAUAGGGACUAGUUUUAACAAAUGAAAAAUAUAAAAAAAACAACAUUAAAAGAAAUGGAGAAGGGAGGAAAAUAGAGGGAAAAGAAAAAAAGAAUGGAAAAUAAAGGGAAAAAAAGAAAAGUUAAAAGAACAUAAAAUAAAAGAAUUAAAUUGUUCAAAAUGAAAAAAUAUAGAGACCAAUUUUAUAAUUUAACCUAAAAUUUUCAUUUGAAAUGAUGAUUUAAAGUGCCACAUCAGCUUACUGUUACAGUGUUAACGGAAAUUAAUGGCUUAGUGACUAAAAUAUUACAAUACAAUAAUGUAAGUGACUAAAACGUAACAUUUCAAACAUAAGUGACUAAAAUGUAACUUGAGGCAAACAAAAAUGACUAUUUUAAUAGUUUACCAUUUAUUGAAUGAUGAGUUUUUUAUAUAAUUCAUGAAUAGUUUUAUAUUAAAAAUUUUAUUUAUAAUAAUUUAUUUGAUAUUUAUAUAUUUAUUUAUAUAAAUAUAUUAAAUAUUUUUAAAAAUAUCGAUAUAUUCGAAAUGAUACAUAAAAUAGACUAGUACCAAUACAGACCCGUUGUCAUAGAAAAGUGGUGCUUCCACCAAUGUGAUAAUGGCUACCUUGAAAACAACCAUGUGGCAUAGUUAUUUGCAAAGAAAUGGGUUAAAGCAUGCUGAGUUAGUAUUGUGGGUGACUAUAAUGUUUGAUGCUUUGUUUUCUUUGAAUAUUUUGCUUUGAUGCUUUUUAUCUGUGCUGAUCUUUGAGUGCAACUAUUGAGAUAUAUAUGGCCAUCUGAAAUUUUAUGAUUUGCUAUGCAUUGAUUGUGGUUGUUUUAUUAAUAAAUUUUUGUUUUGGAUUGAGAAAAAGAAUAAGAAAUUCGAAACACAAAAAGGAAAGUAGAGAAAGUGAACACAAUAAUAUACGUGGUUCGGGAAUAUUCCCUACAUCCACGGGCAGGACCAAAAACGAAAUUCACUACUAAAAAUUGGAGAUUACAAUGGAAUUACAUCAUAAAAAUAAAAAACCUUGCCAAUAACUAUCCACAAACUUUGAAUGGAUUCAUGGUCUGAGAAAUUCGGAAAACUAAGAUGGACAUCUUUGAGAUUGGACAGAACAAAAUAUUUUGGAAACUCUAUUGUCUUACAUGUGUUAAAUAUUUUGCUCUCUAAUGCCAUGUUGUAACGUGUACUGUAUCCCUCCAUUAAUCCUGGAAGCAUCAAACUAUCACGUAAAAGACUUGUUCUUCUGAAAAACCAUUGGUUAAUAGUACUACGAAAUGUCAAAUAUUUUUAACUAAAAUCCCAUUCUCAUAUACCAAAAUAGCUUAGAAAUUAGAAGAUGCAAAUGAAAACAGAAUAUUCAAUUUGCUGAAUAAAUGUGGCAGAGAAUUGACUAACCACUUUACUAAAUCAAAUAAGCUGAAGCAGAUGAGUUGAAGUUCACUAUUUUUCGCCAAUUUAGCCUUCAAUGCCUGCAAAAAUUGAAUACAAAAUAUAUAAGACUCAUUUCUGUCAUCAUGUUGUUAAUGAGGACAAUCAGAUAUAUAAAAAAUAAAGCUAUGAAAUUUAUAAAUGUUUAAAAUGCGUUUCACACCUGUGGUUUGAGUGUGGAGAAAUUGAUACUAGAUUUUGCUCGAGAUGUGGGAAAUCUUGGAUGACUGUAUAUAAAUUGAUACCAAAUUUAUAAAUAUAUAAAUUUCAAUACCUCGGGAAGACUGUAUUCUUAUCAAUUUGAACAUAAGGUAUGUGGGAAAUCUUGGACCACUCUCGUCCUUUACUCCUACUGCACCCUUCUUCUAGCAACGGGCAAUGCUGAAUAGAUAGAUGCUCAAGCGAGAGAAGCAUAUCUUUUUCUGGAAGAGAGGCGAGCUUAGGACAAUCAUAGAUGCUCAAUUGUUGAAGAGAGGUUAGGUGUUGUAAGCCCUUGGAGCACAUGAGUUCCAAAUUCUCAAAACUUCCAAUGAAAAUAGAUGUGAGAGAAGGAGGCAGCAUCAUUCCUAUCGCUUCUUCUGGAAAUGACACCACACGUGAGCAUCCUUCACCGCUGAUGUCGAGUUUUUGAAGAGAGGUGAGUCUGUAAAAUCCCCAUUCAACAAUUGAUGUAUAAAUUUUGGGUGCUUUUGAGAUUUCAAGUGAUGUGAGGUUGGUAGGGAAACCCUCUUCUGGAAAGGAUAUGUCAGCCGAACAAUAAGACACCUUUAAUUCUCGAAGGGAGGUGAAGUUGUUGAGGCACUUGGGAAGGGCUCUAAAAUUUUCACAAUCCUUAAUUAAGAGAAAUCUGAGAUUUGUGGUGGGCAACCCACUUUCUUCAAAUGAAACCAUAUUCGGAAACCUAUAUAAUUGAAUCUCCUGAAGAUGGCUGAGCUUGUCUAAUCCCCGCGGUAAUGAUUUAAUUUUUUCAGCACCCCAAAUACGAAUGCUUUCGAGAUCAAUGGUUUCAAGGAAGUCUUGGGCUAUGCAUUCCAACACUGGACAAACCUGAAUAAAUAGCUGUUUAAGCAUUACGGGUAACUUGGCGUUUAAAAAUAACCUACCUAGCUUUGAACAACGGAAAAUAUGGAGAUGUUGAAGCCGAUUGCAUAUAUCGCCCCUUGAUGAUAACCAUUUUAGAGAUGGACAGUUGAUUAUUUCCAAGCGCUCAAGAAGAUAAGUGUUGCUACUCAUAGUCUUAUUAUUAUUUUCUUUUUCAUCAACCAAAUAUUGCAAAUUCACGCAAUUCCCAAUCCUCAGCUCUUUUAAAGCAGGAGGAAAGUUACUCUCUUCAAAACAAACCAAGCCUGGACAGUUUUCAAGUUGUAUUCUUCUAAUGAAUGGGAAAGCACGUAAGGCUUGUGGUAGUCUAUUGAGCCUUUCACAAAAACUUAUAUACAGAGAUUCAACACCUGGAAUCUUGUCAAGUUGCAAUCUCUCCUCCUCUGUUUCCAAAGAGACCAAUUGCGGACAAAUCGAAAUCUCGAUGAAACGAUGCCCGAUUAAUCUUAACCCAAUUUGCGAUAAAGAUCCCAGCUCCUUCCAACCAGAGAUCUUGAAUGUUUCGGAGUUUGCAAAUCUCAACAUUAUCCUCUCUGCUGAAAUAUUAAAAUUUGAAAUAUUUGAAACAGACACAUCUUUCAAGGAGGUAACCUUCUGUACAGACAAAGAACCUUCAUCAACCAAUUCUUCACACCCUUCAACCCUUAAUUCACACAGCAAGGGAAAACUUGAAAUUGAAACUACCAGUCUCUUACACUCAUAGAUUUCAAGUGUCUGCAAGGAUUGAAGGAUGGUUGGCAACCUUCCCAGCAAUAGAGGACAUUCUCUGAUUGAAAGAAAACGAAGGCUGGGGAAUUUCGAUACUUGCUCAUCAUCUUCACAUAGGUCCCACUCCUCCCAAUUCAGCAUAUUGUCAAAACGCAGAGACUCUAAUGAUGCAAAAGCAUUUGAUUGAUUUUCUCCAAACAACUCAGCACCAAUCUUGUGUACUUGAUCCAAACCACUAAUUGAAAGAUCUUUUAACAACAACAGCCUUCCAAUCGAUGGUAGAGAUUUGCAAUUUUUACAGUUGCGAAGCUCCAAUGACAACAUAUUUUUGAAGGAAGAAUCUGCAAUCCAAGUAGAGAAUUUUGCACCACCAUAAUUCUCAAUGACGAGAUGCUCAAGCUUUUUUGGAGGACAAAGAGUGUCCAACACCCUUUCUUCAACUUCUUUAUUCCUUGAAGCCUUUUCACUCCAAUGCAAUACCAAUCGAUGAAUCCCCUGCUUCUCAUAUAACUUGCUUUCCCCUGCAUCUUCACCAUUAACAUUCUCCAACCCAGAAAGACGGAAAUCACCUUCGAGGUUUGACAAAUAUUUCAAAUAUCUAAUAUGACAACCAUCACCUUCCGCUAUGAUAAAAUCAGAUAACCUUUGAAGAUUCGUUAGCUUAUCAAUUCUAAAAGGAAUCCUUUCUAUUGAGUUCGCACCUCUGAUAUCAAGAUAAUGCAAGUUGACAAGAUUUUCCAUCUUUGAAGGUAACCUUUGAAGCCUGUAACACCUUCUUAAUAAUAAAGUUUCCAAAUGGUAAAGAGUGCACAAAGAAUCAGGUAAACAUUUGAUAUGGGUGUUGGAAAAAUUUAAGUAGCGAAGAUGUUUUAAAUUUUCAAAAACAUCAGGCAACUCAGUUAUCCAAUACCCACUCAAAGAAAGCAUCCUUAAGUAGCCAAGUCUUGGUAACAAAUCAACCAAAACAACAUUAGUUAAAAAAGGCUCCCGAUCACCAAUAGACCAAGAAUCACUAGAAAACAUUAAAGGUAAAAAAGUACGUAAAGAAUUCACUUGAUCAAAUGCUUCAAACUUCUUCACUGUGUCAUAUGUUCCAGCAAUAUAAGAAGAAUGUCGAGUGCGAUUUGAGAACUUCCAUUUCUGAUCACCCUCUAAUUUUGAGCAUAUUUCCCCUGCAACUACUUGAGCUAAAUCAUUGAUAAGGUCAUGCAUUACGAAUCGGGACUUACCUUUACUGGAUGUCUGAAAAAAUGACCUUGACACUAGAUCUUGAAAAUAUUGAUUUCCGAGAUCUUUAAUUUGAGGCAUAGCUUUUUGUUGCAAGAGACCUUCUGCUCUCCAUAACAAGAUUAUUUCUUCUUCCCCAAAUUCAUAAUCUUUAGGAAGUAUGGAGCAAUAUGCAAAACAUCGUUUCAAGUAUGACGGAAGAUGAUGGUAGCUUAAUCGCAAAGCUGGAAUUAUGCCACACUGCUCUUCUGGUAAGUUCCAUAUCUCACUCUCAUAUAUUCUUUCCCAUCCUGCACAAUCUUUAACUGUGCGUAGCAAGCUUCCGAUGGCUUUUGCAGCCAAAGGUAAGCCACUGCACCUUCUAACAAUUUUCUCUCCAAUUUCUUUAAACUGGAGAUCUCUAUCGAAAUUUCUUGCUUUUAAUGCAUGCUGUGUAAAUAUGGAUAAACAAUCAUCAUCCGAUAGUUUAUCCAAAUGAAAAGCUUUGAGCGGAUCCACAAUAGAUGAAACAAUUUGAAGACGAGUGGUUACAAUGAUAUGGGUCCCUGUUCCAAACGGAGACCGUAAGAUGGUCCAAUCAUCAUAAUUCUCGUUCCAAAUGUCAUCUAAAACAAGCAAGAAUCUUUUCCCAGACAACUUCUCCUUCAACUUAACUUGAAGUAAAUUCAAGUCAUUCUCGUCACGAGAGUCAGGAUCGAUGGAUUUUAAAAUUGUCCUGGUUAUAUUAACUGCGUCAAAAUUAUCAGAGACGCAUACCCAGGCCUUGUGGUGAAAAGACUGGUUGAUGGUGGCAUCAUUGUAAACAAGCUGAGCAAGAGUUGUUUUACCCAUCCCUCCCAUGCCGACAAUGGAAAGGACUGAAACUCCGUUGGAGUUAUCACCUUUGAGAAACUCAAUCAUUUCUGUCUUCUCCUUGUGUCUGCCAACAUACUCCACAACUCCAUCCGGUACGGAAGUUGGUUGCAGCCUAGGUUGCUUUCCCUUGGAGGUUGGAGCUUGAGACAAGAUCUCACUCAACCCCAAACUACUUCUUCGAGUAGUCAAACUAUUCAGUCUAGCAGUGAUCUCUUUCACCUUUGGAAUCAUGGAAUUCUUAAACAGGAAAGAAGUGGGAGUGAAAUUACUACUGGUACAGCAGGUAGGAAUGAGUUUCCGUACCUUGCUAGUGCUGGCUUGAGCUUGCGAUUUCUUGAGCUUGAGACGUAACUCUUCAUAAGCGAACUCAUCCAAGAUGUCAUCCGCAUCGUAAGCCAAGUCCUGGAGAUCCUCCAACCAUUUCUUCACACCCAUGUUCUUGAUCUGCUUCUCCUCUGCAUCGUCCAACACUGCUUGGAUAUCAGGCAAUAUGGACUGCCACUGCUUGAGCUGCUGGUGGAGUUGGUUGUGAUUAGCAACAAAUUUGAGUGCAGAGUCGAGCGAUUUGCCCACCAACAGGUCCAGGAACCCAGAAAGAGCAGCCUCUCCAAUGACAGACAUGGUGGAAUUAUGAGAAAGAAGAUGAAGAGAGAAAUGAACAAAGCCAAAAUGGAAAGUCAGGGAACAAAAAAGAAAGAAAGGGAAAUGGAAUCUGCACAAUUAGAGAAAGUUGAAGAAAUUGGCACAAUAUCCUUGAAGCAUGUAAGAAUUCAGACAAUUUGGCAAUGAGUUGGAAGUCACUGAGUACAGAUAAAGAAGCAAACACCAGUACGGUAAAUUUUUUAAUCACAAAUAUUUACAGUAUUUAGCAUAUAUAGAUUUGUAAAUUCGUGGUCUAAUUCACUGAAUCAAAUCCCUACUGAAAUUCAAGACUGAUUGUAGUUAUAUUGUUAGUUCACUUACUAUUUUACUAUUUAUACUAUUAUUUUUAAGUUUUUAAUUAAGUUGGUAUUACGAGUUAAAGUUCAAACACGACUUGACCCGUUUUUAAGUUUAAAAUAUUUUAUAUUAUGUUAUGUUUUGCCCAAGUCCAUAUUUUAGGCGGACUAUCGAGCCGGGCCAGGCCACCCGGCCCAUGAGGAGGCAUUUGAUUAUGAUAAAGAAGAUGGACCCCAAGUAGUUGUUGCUGGGAAAAGACAAUGAAAGUGGAAAUUAAAGAGGUCCCAGUCCAUGAAAUUAUUGCACCCUCCCAAGUGGUUGUUGAUGGGAAAAGACAAUGAAAGUGGAAAUUAAAGAGGUCCGAGUCCAUGAAAUUAUUACACCCUCCCAUUUUUUCCGUCCCCGCAGUUAUAUGUAAAGCUUUUCUUUUAGGCAUAAUGAUCACUCCUAAUUUGCAUAAAAAAUAAUUUUAACCCUUAAAUUUAAUUUUUUAUCAAAUCAUUUCAAAAUAGAUUUGACAUAUAUAUGAAUUGUCAUUUAGAAAACACAUCAACAUCUAAUUAAUUUUAAAAUUUUAAAAAUUUAUUUUUUUAUAUUUUUUAACAAUAAAUUUUAAUUUUUAAAAAUAAUUUUUUAAAUUUUAAAAAAUUGAUUAAGUAAUAAUAUAAUAUCCACAUGUAUGUAACGUUAGUAAAGUUAAAAAAAAGUUGCAAAUUUAAGUGCUAAAAAAUAAAAAUCUAAAUAGAGAAUUAAAAUGAUUUUUUUAAGUUAAAAACUCGAAUAAAUUAUUAUGUCUUUCUUUUAUUUGAUCAAAAUAGGUUAAAGUGUCUGCAAUUCUAAAAUGAAUGAACUUACUAUUUGAUGCAUUAUUAUUUUUACUGGAGAUCGGGAAUAGAUGAACUUUCUAUGGGCCUAUUUAACUGAUAGGAUUUAUUACCACUUUAGUAACUUUGGCGAUUUAGUCAAUUACUCGAGAUUCAUGAUUAUUUUAUUUCUUGAUGCUAACAAUAUACCGUGGUCAAAUAGGAUCAUUUAUUCUUGAGAACUUUUACUUUUUUUAUCUUGUGGAAGUUUGAAUUAAUUCUCAUUUAUCUACUUCUAUCCAUGAGGGGGAAGAAACGUCUAUACUCAAUUACAAAAUUUAUUUUGUACUUUGCAGAGGGUUCUGUUUUUCUAUUAAUAGGAGUUUUGCAUCUCAAUUUAUACGGUUCUAAUGAACCAAUAUUAAAUUUUGAAAUAUUAGAUAAUCAAUCAUAUCCUGUUGCACUAGAAAUAAUAUUCUAUAUUGAAUUUCUUAUUACUUUUGCUGUCAAAUCGUUGAUUAUACUCUUACAUACAUGGUAUUAUAUAAAAAAAUUCAAUAAAUAAAAAAUAUAUAAAAUUAUUAAAUAUUAAAAUAAUAUAAUAUAAAUAUUUUUUUAAAAAAAUUAAAAAUAAUAUGGACGGGGCUAAAAUGGGUUUGGAUUAAUCUUUUAUAAAUAUAGACGGGUUUGAGCAACAUUUUAAGCCCAAAUUUUGGGCUAAAUCGAAUUUAGAUAAAUAUAAAAUAGAUUAAUAUCAUACUUAAACCCGACCAAUACAUCUAUAUCUUUACUACCGGGAUACCUUUGUUUUUGAAUUUUGUCAUAGCUUUUGUCCAUUGUCUUGAUUUCCAAGUAAAUGAACGUUGAGCUCCAUGCCAAUGGCAUCAAAAUAAUUAUUUCCAUUAAUAUCAAAAUAUAGUCCAACAUAAGAAGGGAGUACCAAAGAACAUAUUCUCCAGCUCAUAAACAUUUGAUAACAUCACUGUUGAAGCCUUUCAAAACAGGGGAAAUCCAUAUAAAGUGUGAUAGAAAGCCCACUGUGACACAUUUAGCUUUCAAGCUUCAGAUUCCCUGUCUUACAAAAAUGACCAAAUAAUAUAUUACAUUUACCAUAUUAUCUGUCUUACAAAAACCAACUAUCAGUGAAUCACCAUCUUUGCCCAUCUUUUAAAGGGUUUCAUACAUGUGGUCUGAGCAUGACAAAAUAAGGGAUGCUCUGAAAUUUUGAUGAUGCAUCCAUCCAUGAUCACAGCAGUUGUGUAAGAAAAUGACAAACAACAUACUUUCUUUUGAAUGCAAAAAACUUGAUUAUAUUGAUAUGAAGCAGUAACCAAAAUGGUUAAAUGAAGUUUUUCAGUCAGUCACUUAGACACUGAGUUCAUUAGUGUCGUUCAAUCCACAUGAUCGAAAAAGCAAUUCCUCAUCAAGUGAAUUAAUGCAGCUCGAAAGUAGCUUUCAAACGGAUGUAUCAUCUGAGAAUUUCCAAGAACUAGGAUGGCCAACUUUGAGAUCAGCAGACAAUAGUUUGUGGCAACACGGAGGCUGCAAGUUCAAAAGAAGUAUAAUCUCAAUGUCAUCAGUGUUUUACAAGUGAGAAAACCCCAAAUUGCAGGUCAGUGAACUCUCUUGUGUUAAUGCUUAAAUCUAGCUCUUUAACUACUUGCCGUACUGCGUAGUGUAUCCCUCCCUUAUCCUGAGAGGAUCAAUAAUAGACAGUGGUGACGACUCGUAUCCUUACACAAUAACAGGAAUCUAUCCACAAAGAUCGUGAAACUAUCAAGUAAAGACUUAUUCUUUUGAAAUACCAUUGGUCAAUAUUACAAUGGAAUGUCAAAUAUUUCAACUAAAAUCCCAUUCCCAUGUACAAAGGUUAUAACAAUUGCAAUUGAACACAUUGUCUUCAAAGAAGGAUCGACUAUACGGCAUAUUCCAAGUCAAUUCCAAAAUUAGUCUGUGCCAACCCAUAUUCUGAGAGAUAAGCAAACAUAUACACAAAGGAAGCUUAGAAAUCAGAACAUGCAGAUGAAAACUGAACAUUCAAUUUGCUGAACAUCAAAUCAAAUAAGCUAAAGGAAGGCUAGUUGAAUUCAUCAACCAUUUUUGCCAAUUUAAUUUUCAAUGCCUGAAAAAUUGAAUACAAAUUAUAUAAGACUGAUUGCUAUUAUCUUGUUAUUCUGAGGACAAUCACAUAUAUGGAACUAUGGAACUAAAAAUGUGUUUAAAAUGGUUUCACACCUGUGGUUUAAGUGUGGAGAAAUCAGUGCCAGGUUUUGCUGCUUUACUUUCAAUCUAAUUCCCUUGGGAUGCUGUUUUAUACUGAAAACGGACAUAAGGGAUGUGGGCAAUCUUGGACCACUGUCAACCUUUACCCCUACUGCACCCUUCUUCUAGCAACGGGCAAUUGAAAAUAUGUAGCUGCUCAAGUGAGAGAAGCAUAUAUUUUUCUGGAAGAGAUGUGAGUUUUGGACAAUUACUUAUUUCCAAUUCGUGAAGCGAAGUGAGGUGUUGAAAGCCCUUGGAGCACAUGAAUUCCAAAUUCUCAAAAUUUUCAAUGCAGAUAGAUGUGAGAGAAGGAGGCAGCAUUCUUCCUAUCCCUUCUUCUGGAAAUGACACCACACGUGAGCAUCCCUCACCGCCGAUAUUGAGCUCUUGAGUAGAGGUGAGUCUAUUUAAUCCCCAUUCAACAAGUGAUGUAUACAUUUUGGGUCCAUUUGAGAUUUCAAGUGAUGUGAGAUUCGUAGGGAAAUCCCCUACACUCUUAUGGGAAGGACAUAUCAGCUGAACACUAUAUAAAUACUUAAAUGAAAAGACAAAAAACAAACUCGUAAUAUUAUUUGUUAUCUUUUAAAUAAAAAUCUUUAUUUAAAAUUAUUUUUCAACUAAAUUGAUCUUUAGUUAAACUCGUGGCUUCAACUCAGUUAGAUAACUAUAUAUAGUAUAACUAACAAACAAUAGAAUUGAAAUUGGCAUACAUAUAUGCUGUGUGUAGCCUUAAAUACUCCUCUUUCAUGGUGUUCACCUCAAUUCCUUGCAACUUCUGUUUUUUUAAUUCCAAAAAAAAAAAAACACACACACACAAUAUUAGAAACGUAAUUAUUAUUGUCGAUCGAAUCUUAAUUCAAUUGGCAUUGAUAUUAUUAUCCAUGCAAAGAGGACAUCAAUAUAUAUAUAUACACCUCAGCUUGUUGCUCAUAAAAAGGGUGUUCUUGAGAAUGGUCUUCUUCCAUUCCUUUGUUGUAUCUUGAAAGAGUGUUCCAUGCUACAUUAAUAAAAUGUCAUGUUUAAAAAAAUAACAAUAAAUUAAAAAUAAAAUUCUAACUCAUUAUCAGGGUUUAGGUUUUGGUCUUGAGCCGAUCAAAUUUAUGACAAGUUAUUCUUAACGUAUCGUAACUAUUUAUGUAUCAUUUUUGUUUUGAUAUGAGUAUGUGUUGUUGUGUUUUAGUAUAUAGUUUCGUAUUUAUCAUUUUUAAAAAUAAUAUAUAUGAUAUACUUCCAAAUAUUUCUUAAUUAUAAUAUGUAAAUAUAAAUUUUAAAAUUAUUAAUUAAGUUCAAUAAUUUAAUGAAUGGUUAUAUAUUAUUUUUAAAAGCAAUUAUAUAAAAAAGUCGUUAAGAAAGAAAUGGGAAAUAUUAAAAAUCCCUUUAUAGGAAUUAAUACUCAGCGAUACAAGCAUAUAUUAAUUGAAAUGAGUCAAAAACUCAAUGAAAUUUUAAUUGAAAUGAAACUUAAACUAUUUUAUUCUAGUUCAAUAUCGAGACGAUUCAUAACGAUUGAUACAACCAGUAUCGAAACUACCGAUCCCAUACUACAAAGUGAAAAGAAAAAUAAUGGAAAUCAAUCAAAUUACAACUCAACUUACUUUUAUGCUUAGAAAAAAAAAUAGUUCUAAAAAAUAAUCAUCCAAGAAUAUAAAUAUAUAUAAGUUUUAUAGACCGUUACAAACUAAUAUACACUCAUAUAAGCAGAUAUUAACUAAAACAAAUCAAAACACAAUAAAAUUUUAACUGUAACAAAACUUAAACUACUUUAUAUUAAUUCAAUAUUGAGACUAUAGCCAAUUAUUAAGAAAAGAAAAAUAAUGGAAAUCAAUCAAAUUAUAGGUCAACUUACUUUCAUGCUUACAAAAAAAUAAAGCUAAAAUUGAAAAUUGAAAAAAACCCAGAUUUCGAUUAUUAAAAAUCAUCUAUAAUAUAUAUAUAUAAGUACUAUACUAUAUUAUAUACCUAGUGCUGGACCAUUGAUAGACCUUGCCGGUGCUUGAAAAAAUAAUAACCCCAACCUCUGCAUCACAUAAAAUGGACAAUUCUUUAGCUUUCUUCAACAACCCAUUUCGCCUCUUUGAAAACAUUACUUGCCUGCUAUUCAAAUUUUCAAUCUUUUUUAUUUCAAUUUUCCCUCUACCCAUCUGAAAAUUUUCUUCUUUCCUUUACUUUUUCCCGGAAAAUUUUUAAAAGAUAAGAUAAACCCCAGAUUUUUUUUUUCUUAAAUUUUGAAAAGAACCAAAGGUUUUUAUAACAACAAACAGAUCAAAGAAAAUAAGGCAAAAAAUUUAGGGGAUUCUAAAAGGAUUCUUUUUUUAAGAGAAAAGAAAAUAAGUAAGUAAUGUUUAUAUAUAAUAAUUGUUUUCUCAAAUGGAAAUGGAAAAUGAUAUGGAAAAAGAAAAUAUGUGACCAAAAUUAGGGUCGAAAUCUUGAAAGGUGACAGAUUUGAUACUAUAUCUACCAAUUAUCCAACUAUGGAAACUCUAUUUAUUAUAGGUUUAGUUUAUUUUUUUCUAUUUUUCUUAAUUUCUCUACCUUUUUACUCUGCUGUUUUUGGCAUUUCAAUUCAAAAUGGAUUUUAUUUUUGCUUUGGGUUUCUUUUUUUUAAAUAUAAAAAGUGGUUUUUAAUUAUUUAUAUGUUUUUAAUGUGUUUUAACAAUUUUUGUUAGUGAAUAUUGAUUUUUUUUUUUGUGAAUUACAAUAUGAGGGCAAAGCCCUAACAACAACACGGCUAGAGCGAUUCGAAUUUAGGCCACACCUGAGACGUUGAACACAAGUAUUUCAUGAGGACAUAUAACACAUGUUUUUUAAAUUCAUGGCUAAAAUAAUAAAAAAACCUCUUUAUUUUAUUGUAUUAAAAUAAUAAUAAAAAACCAUGGUUUUAGUCGUACUGGCCGGUGCCGCCGUUCUACUAUUAUAGCGCAACAAGCAUCACCCUUUUCCAUACUAAUGAAAAUUUUGGUUUGUGCCAUUCGCAUUGGCCAGAACAUGGUACACCUACUGCAUGAAUAAUGUUAAAAAAUAUAAAACUUUUAACUAUUUUCUAUUAGACUAAAUAUUUAAUUGAAAUGUAUUGACCAAUAAAAAAAUAUUACACUAGAAAGUAAAGUUUAACAUUUAAAAAUUUUUUUGGAGCAUACUUUUUCAUUUAAAAUAUAAAAAUUAAAAUUAAUAAAAAAAAACUCACUCACCUCGUUAUUAUAGAAAAAUAUUCACUCGCCCUUCAGCUUUUUUUAUUGAAAAAACCCCCUCAUCCUUCGAUUUAAAUUUUUCUUCUUAAUUUUGAAUUUAUUGAAUGAUGAUUUUUUACUUGUGGAGUUUAUUAAACAAUAUUUUAUAUAAUUGAUGAAUAGUUUUAUAUUAAAAAUUUAUUUAUAAUAAUUUAUUUGAUAUUUGUAUAUUUAUUUAUAUAAAUAUAUUAAAUAUUUUAAAAAAUAUCUAUAAAUUCAAAGUGGUACAUAAAAUAGACUAGUACAUAAAAGUGGUACUUACACCAAUGUGGUAAUGGCUACCUUGAAAGCAAGUACGUGGGUGGCUAUAAUGUUUGAUGCUUUGUUUUUUUUUUUGAAUAUUUUGCUUUGAUGCUUUUGAUCUGUGUUGAUCUUUGAGUGUAACCAUUAGGAUAUAUAUGGUUAUCUGAAUUUUUAUGAUUUGCUAUGCAUUGAUUGUGAUUUUUUUAUUAAUAAAUAUAUGUUUUGGAAUGAGAAAAAAAAUAAGAAAUUCGAAACACAAAAAGGAAAGUAGAGAAAGUGAACACAAUAUAUAUAGAUGGUUCGGAAAUAUUUCCUACAUCCACAGGCAGAACCAAAGACGAAAUUCAUUACUAAAAAUUAGAGAUUACAGAGGAAUUACAUCGUAAAAUAAAAUACCUCGCCAAUAACUAUCCACAAACUUUGAAUGGAUUCAUGGUCUCAGAAAUUCGGAGAACUAAGAUGGACAUCUUUGAGAUUGGACAGAACAAUAUUUUGGGAACUCUGUUGUCUUACAUGUGUUAAAUUGAGCUCUCUAAUGUCAUGUUGUAACGUGUAAUGUAUCCCUCCAUUAAUCCUGGAAGGAUCAAACUAUCACGUAAAAGACUUGUUCUUCUGAAAAACCAUUGGUUAAUAGGACUAUGAAAUGUCAAAUAUUUUUAACUAAAACCCCAUUCUCAUAUACCAAAAUAGCUUAGAAAUUAGAAGAUGCAAAUGAAAACAGAACAUUCAAUUUGCUGAAUAAAUGUUGCAGAGAAUUGACUAACCGAUUUACUAAAUCAAAUAAGCUGAAGCAGAUGAGUUGAAGUUCACUAUUUUUUGCCAAUUUAGCCUUCAAUGCCUGCAAAAAUUGAAUACAAAAUAUAUAAGACUCAUUUCUGUUAUCAUGUUGUUCAUGAGGACAAUCAGAUAUGUAAAAAAUUUUUUGAAGUUGGUCAGCAUGCAGCAACCUCAACCAGCAAGCAGGCCAUGCAGACCAAGCCGUGCAGGAGCUGCUGGAACAAGUUAUUUUUUGUUUAUUUUGUAACCAUUAGUUGAUGAAAUGAGUUCUAGUUCAUUUCAAACUAAGUUAGGCCUAUGAUUGAUGUAAUUAGCUAGUGAGUGAGCUGUAAACACAACCUUGUACAAGCUUACAAGUUUAGUUUUUCAAGUUUCCAUGUAAUUAGUGGUGGUAGAUAAUGUUUAGGUGAUUGCUUACUGUUUUUGACAAGCUUAGUGCUUGAUUUAUGUAUUGGCAUUAUGCCAUUGUUUAUGUUUUGAAUGAAAUCAGUGUUUUGUUCAUCAAUUUUCUUUGUUUUUCUUCCUUAUUUUCUGCUUUGAUUCUGGUAGUUUGUUAAGCAAGCAACGAGGCUUGCUGCUCAAGACAUAGGCUGAGCUUGUCUGUUUCUGUUACUAAAACCAACAAUUGGUAUCUAGAGCCUUAAUCUUAAGGGACUUGGUAUACAAACCUAUAGCCUCAUCAAGCUUUUCACUAGCUGCACCACAAGUCUUCAAUGGGGAAGGCUACCACAUAUGGGUGGUCAAAAUGAAGACCUACCUGCGGGCCUUUGAUCUGUGGGAGGUGGUCAACUCUGAUGUUGAACCAGAACCACUCAAAGUCAAUCCAACAGUGGCUCAAAUCAGGCAGCAUGCUGAUGAGAGGAAUAAAAGGCACAAGGCCAUGUAUUGCAUCCAGAACUCAGUGUCAGAUGUGAUUUUCACAAGGAUUAUGGCCUGUGAAUCACCAAUGCAGGCCUGAGACAAGUUGCAAGAGGAGUUUCAAGGGACAGAGAGGACAAGGCAGCAACAACUGUUGAACUUGAGGAGAGACUUCGAGAAUUUGAAGAUGAAGGAAGAAGAAACUGUCAAGUAGUACUCUGAUAGGAUCAUGGUUGUGGUAAACAGUAUAAGGCUCCUUGGUGAGCAGUUCAUUGAAGCAAGGAUAGUGGAGAAGGUGAUUUCAACCUUGCCAGAGAGGUAUGAGGCAAAGAUCUCAUCCCUUGAAGACUCAAGGGACCUGAUUAGCAUUCCUCUUACAGAGCUAAUCAAUGCUCUAUAUGCACAAGAGCAGAGAAGAGCUAGCAGACUGGACAAGCACUAAGAAGGUGCCUUUCAGGCAAAGACCAACACUGCCUACAAAGGCAAGAAAACCUGGAAAAACAGGCCUAAGCCUGAUGCUGCAAAAUGCAGUGAUCAACCUUACAGAUAUUGCAAAAGGAUUGGUCAUCCAGAAGAAAAAUGUUGGUUCAAACCAGAUGCCUUGUGUCAACGCUGCAAAAGGAGGGGACAUGUUGAGAGAGUCUACAAGAACAAAGGCAAACCAAGACAGAAUCAACCUCAACAGGUGAAGGCAGAGGCUCAAGUAGCUAAGGAAGACAGUGACCAAGAGGAACAAGUCUUUGUUGUGUCAUGCUCAGCUCCUCAAGACAGGUUUUCAUCUGGUUGGCUCCUUGAUAGUGGAUGCACCAACCACAAGCAAGCAUCCUUCACCGCUGAUGUUGAGUUCUUGAAGAGAUGUGAGUCUGUUAAAUCCCCAAUCAACAAGUGAUGUAUAAAUUUUGGGUGCGUUUGAGAUUGCAAGUGAUGUGAGGUUGGUAGGGAAACCCUCUUCUGGAAAGGAUAUGUCAGCCGAACACUCCCACACUGAUAAUUCUCGAACGAAGGUGAAGUUGUUGAUGCACUUGGGAAGGGCUUUAAAAUUUUCACAAGCCUCAACUGAGAGAACUCUGAGAUUUGUGGUGGGCAACCCACUUUCUUCAAAUGAAACCAGAUUUGGACACCUAGAUAAUUUAAUAUCCUGAAGAUGGCAGAGCUUGUCUAAUCCCCACGGUAAUGAUUUAAUUUUUUCAGCACCACGAAUGCCAAUGCUUUCGAGAUCAAUGGUUUCAAGGAAGUCUUGGGCUAUGCAUUCCAACAAUAGACAAUUCCAAAUAAAUAGCUGUUUAAGCAUUACAGGUAACUUGGCGUUUAAAAAUAACCUACUUAGCUUUGAACAACUUUUAAUUUCGAGAUGUUGAAGUCAAGUGCAUAUAUCGCUCCUUGAUGAUAGCCAUAUUAGAGAUGGACAGUUGCUUAUUUCCAAGUGCUCAAGAAGACAAGUGUUGCUACACAUACGCUUAUUAUUAUUUUCUUUUUCAUCAACCAAAUAUUGCAAAUUCACGCAAUACUCAAUCCACAACUCUUUUAAAGCAGGAGGAAAGUUACUGUCUGCAAAACAAACCAAGCCUCGACAGUUUUGAAGUUGUAUUCUUGUAAUUAAUGGGAAGGCAUGUAAGGCUUCUAGUAGUCUAUUGAGCCUUUCACAAUCUCUUAUAAACAGAGAUUCAACACCUGGAAUCUUGUCAAGUUGCAAUCUCUCCUCCUCUGUUUCCAAGGAGACCAAUUGGGGACAACUGACAAUCUCAAUGAAUCGGUGCCCGACUAAUCUUAACCCAAUUUGCGAUAAAGAUCCCAACUCCUUCCAACCAGAGAUGCAGAACGUUUCGAAGUUCGCAAAUCUCAACAUUAUCCUCUCUGCUGAAAUAUUAAAAUUUGAAAUAUUUGAAACAAACACAUCUUUCAAGGAGGUAACCUUCUGUACAGACAAAGGACCUUCAUCCACCAAUUCUUCACACCCUUCAACCCAUAUUUUACGCAGCAAGGGAAAACAAGAAAUUGAAACUACCAGUCUCUUACACUCAUAGAUUUCAAGUGUCUGCAAGGAUUGAAUGAUGGUUGGUAACCUUCCCAACAAUAGAGGACAUCUUUUAAUUGAAAGCUUACGAAGGCUGGGAAAUCUCGAAACUUGCUGAUCGUCUUCACAUAGGUUCCACUUCUCCCAAUUCAGCAUAUUGUCAAAACACAGAGACUCUAAUGAUGCAAAAGCAUUUGAUUGAUUUUCUCCAAACAACUCAGCACCAAUCUUGUGUACUUGAUCCAAACCACUAAUUGAAAGAUCUUUUAACCACAACAACCUUCCAAUCGAUGGUAGAGAUUUGCAAUUUUUACAAUUGCGAAGCUCCAAUGACAACAUAUUUUUGAAGGAAGAAUCUGCAAUCCAAGUAGAGGAUUUCGCACCACCAUAAUUCUCAAUAAAGAGUUGCUCAAGCUGUUUUGGAGGACGAAGAGUGUCCAACACCCAUUCUUCAACUUCUUUAUUCCUUGAAGCCUUUUCUAAUUUUUCACUCCAAUGCAAUACCAAUCGACGAAUCCCCCGCUUCUCAUUUAACUUGGCUUCCCCUGCAUCUUCACCAUUAACAUUCUCCAACCCAGAAAGACGGAAAUCACCUUUGAGGUUUGACAAAUAUUUCAAACCUCUAAUAUAACAACCAUCACCUUCCCCUAUUAUAAAAUGGGUUAGGCUUAGCCAUUUUAAUUUUGGAGUCCAAGCAUGGCUUAUUUUAAACAAGCUUAUUUUUUUUUGUCUAAACUUAUAUUUCAAGCCUCAUUCUUUUUAUCUAAACUUUUUUAUAUUUUAAGUUCAUUUAGAACGAGUCUAUCUACAAAAGAAAAGUUUGUGAAAAGCGCAUAAUUAAUAAUUAGAAAUUGUCACACAUGUAAAAAUAUAAUAUAUUAUAUAUAAAUUUAAAUUUUAAAAAUACUAUUUCAUAUAUAAAUUUUAUAUUUUUGAGAAAUAAUAAUAUUUUAAAAAAGAUGGAUAGAUUUUUUUCUAAUAAUUAGAAAUUAGUGAAUAAUAAUGAGUAGUUUAGUUUUUGAGAAAAAAAAAGAAAUAGUUUUAAUUGAGAAAAUGAUUUUUUAAGAAGUUAGUUAAGAGUAGUGAAAUAAUUUAUUUUAUUUUAUAAAAAUGUUGAAAUGAUAUAAUCAUCCCUAUAUUUAAUAAAAUAAUAACAUUAGAUUUUUUAUACUUUUACCAAUUGAGUUUGUGUCACUCGAUUUGAUGUACCAAAUUUAAUUAGACAUUUUGUCGUAGUAUAAAUAAUUAUCUUGUAAUUAUAUGUAUUCAAACUAACUUCAUUUUUAAAUCUGUCACCAAUCUUUAUAUUUUUUCUCUCUUAUAAUUUUAUUUUUACAUAAUGUUUUCAUAAUAUAUAAUAUGAUCAUAAAUUAAACCCUUAAUUAUAGUUAUUAAGCUUGCAUUUUUUUCACUAAAGUCAAGAAAUUAAUUUGGUAACACCUAAUCGCAUUGAAGAAUGAAUCAUAAAUAUAAUGUGGUAAGUGAGAAGGUUAAUUUGGAAAUUAAAUAAUUAGCUCAAAAACUUAUUUCAUCAAUUAUUUAAGUAAAUCAUGUCUCAUUUGUUAAAAAUUCUGGUUCACAGUACAAAUGACAAUAUGAUUAUUUUAAUAUAUUGAAACACUCACUUAAAAUUAUAACUUAAAUCUUUGAAAUAUGUGGGAGAUUAUUGGAAGUUUUUAUGUAUUUCAAAGAACUACAAAAAUCUCACAUUGCUAAAAAAAGAUAUUGAGUCAUUAUUUAUAAGCCAGAACUACAAAAAUCUCACAUUGCUAAAAAAAGAUAUUGAGUCAUUAUUUAUAAGUCAUUAUACUUCUUUGAACUUAAUAAGAACCAAAUUGAGAGAGUAGACUCCUGCACAUUCGAGCCUUUUUGUUUUUGGACUUAUUUUUAUUAAAGUUUUGAAAGUCAAAUAAAAGUGAACUUGUAACACUUCUAUUUAGUCACGCUAAAUAUAAUUUAAUUGAUUGAAGCUAUUUUUAAUUAAGUCCAAAUUCAUUGAACCAUUUUCAAACUAGUGUUAGCUAAUUCAAUCAACUUACCUUUGCUAUAUUAAGCAAAUGAAAUCCCUAUAAAUACCAUGCAUGGUAGUUUUCAAAGUUACUCAUUAGCUUUCAUGUUCUCAUCUAAAUUUCUUCUAUAUUCUCUUUAGAAAAACCUUCCUCCUACAAUCUCAAUUGAGUGUUUAAUUGGUCGGCUCUUUAGAAAAGCCUUCAAGGAUAAUGAUAUUCACGCCUCAAGUCGUGAUUCUAAUUUUCUAAACCUCCGAUUUCUUAAGAGAACGUCAAGGGCAACAACCAGUCAAAUUUUAAGUUCAAUUAAAUGAAUUCACAAACUUAUAGAGUUUAUUAUUAUUAUUUUAAUUAGUAUCAAAAGUUUUCAAUUCAAAUUUUAAUUUUGUUAUUCAAGCUUUUAUCUCAAAUCAAGCUCAAGCUUUAAAAGUGAAAUUUGAUUGAACUUGAGCUAAAUUUUGAGUAUCGAAUUUUAAGUUAGCUCAAAAUUUUCAAGUUAAGCUUUGACUUGAUUACACGGUUAGUGUAAAUCGUACAAAUGUAAAGUAUAAUAUAAUUAUAUAAAUUUUGAUACUAUAAUAAUUUCAAUUUUAAAAUGUUAACACAACUAUGGUCUAAAAUGUCCCAUUAUCAAGAAGCUUAGAAAUUAGAAGAUGCAGAUGAAAACAGAGCAUUCAAUUUGCUGAAUAAAUGUUGCAGAGAAUUAAGCUAUAGCAAAUCAGUUGAAAAUAGCUUUCAGUGCCUGCAAAAUUAAAUGCAAAGUAUAUACGAUUGAUUGCUAUUAUCAUCUUGUUCCUGAGGACAGUCAGAUACAUGGAACUAAAACAGCCAAUGUUUAAAACGGUUUCAUACCAGUGAUACAACAUAAGGUAUGUGGGAAAUCUUGGACCACUCUCGUCCUUUACCCCGAAAAGUGGACAUAAUUAAAAAGGAAAACUUGUCUGUGAUAGAAAAUGAGGGGCUUUAAUUAAAUUACAACCAACCAGGAUGAACUCUGUUUCUGUAUUGAAAUAUUGGAAUUGGUAAUCAGCGACUUAUUCACUAAGAACUAACUAUUCUGUCACCUUAUAUUCUUCCUAUAAUUUCAGGUUUAAUCCUUUUGAUUUAUACAUUCAGUCCACUGCAAUAUGAACCCGUGAAAACCACACUAAACGAAACUGACUGUUUAAGGAUCCCAUUCAUAUGAUGCAGCACUGCAAUGGGUAAUUAAACUGACUGUUUAAUCCUGUUUCUGUACACUAUGCUUCUUCAAAAUCAUGCCUAGCCGAACUCUCUGACAUUGUGGACCGCAAGCGCACUCAAGGACAUAUUGUUUCUGCCAUCUUUUACCAUGUUGAUCCCCCUGAGGUUCAGCAUCUUAGUGGGAGUAUCAAGUCAUACUUUGAUGACCAUGAAUCAAAGAGGCCUGUUGAUGGAGUGAAGCGAUGGAAAAUUGCCUUUGUUGAAGUCUGUAAAUUAAUUGGGUGGCAUAUAGGAGGAAAAUUCGACAAGCAACUAUAUGGUUUCUUUUUCAUUUUCUUAUAUAUUUAACUUUCUUUUAUUUGGUUUAUUUGCUAGGCUUGAAUUCAAGUACAUUAAAGAUAUUGGUGAAUAUGUUAUAAAAAGAAGAUGACAAAUAGCGAGUCUAAAAGUGCUUCUUAAGAAUUUGUUGGAACAGAUAAUCAAUGAAGGAUGAUUUUGAGGCCAACUGAGGAAGAAGACAAUCCUAUAUUAGGAUGAUUUUGAGGCUGAUUGAUGAAGACGAAAUUUGUUUGUGAGUUUUGUGUUUUGUCUUUGGGUUUGUGCUUGUUAAUUGUUGAAUGGUUUCUCGCUCAAUAAGCUUGUAGGCGAUCCAACUUGAAAAUUAGGAUUAACAGUGUGUGGUGCACAAAUUAUUGGGUGAUGGUGUCUUGCUUGUUGAUGCUUGAAAGUUGAAAGAAUCUUAUAUGCUUAUGUUAAACUGGAUGCAUUUUUAAGAUUAGGGUAGGAUGUGAUUUUUAUGUGACUAAUCUAUUUUAAAGGUAAACUAACCGUUAGUUACUCUAAAUAAUGGUUGUUUUUAUUUUCUCACCCUAAGGCUUUUUUUUUUUUUUUAAAUUUGGUCUCUCUAAAAGGAAAUUGAUUAAAUUGAUCACCCCAUCAUUAAAUGGUAAAGGAAAGACUAAUAAUACAUUUCAUGUAUUGUUUUAGGUGACUAAAAUAAGAAAAAAAAAUCUCUAUUUAAAGUGACUAACAGGUAGUUUACCCUAUUUUUAAAGUGACUAUAAUUUUUUAUGAUUUUUAUAAAAUUUUACAAUUUCUUAUAUUUUUUCUAGUUUUUAAUAAUUUUUUAAUAUUUGAAUUUUUUAUUAAAAUUUAAUAAUAUUUAUAAGUUUUAUUAAUUUUAUUUUUUUCUAAUUAUUAAUAAAAACAAGGGCUUAAUUGUUUUUCUUGAAAAAGUUUGAGGGUGUAAAUUUUGAAAGUUCAAGUAUCCAAUUGAGUAUAAAAAAAAAGUAAGGGCUUAAUUGUUUUUUUAAAGGUUUAAAGGCCCUUUUGAUGCAUUUUGAAAGUUCAAGUGCUCAAUUGAGUACAAAAAUAAUAAGUAAAGAAUAGAGAUUAUAAUGAACUCAUAUCGUAAAAUAAAAUACCUCAACAUGAUAACUAUCCACAAACUUCGAGCAAGGUUGUAAAUGCAUCAACUAUAUACUUUCCACAUUUCGGAAAAGACCCAACCAUAAUAAAUAACAUAUGAGCAACAUUUUCUCAAUCUCAAAAUGUAAAAAGCAAUACUGUAAUUGUUGCGCGGAAGCGUGUGAAAGAGUAAAAUUAUUGUACUGAAAAAUCACACUAAGUUCAAUUCCCAGGAAAGAGAGGUGGAUCACGAGGAUCGCUUACAUACCAGAUCUUUCCUAGCCAGAAUAUCCCUCUAUCGUAAUUUAAUAGCACAAUAAAUCACUACAAUGACACUUGCAAAAUAUGCAGAACAAAAAUAAAGAACACUAGAAUUUUAACGAGGUUCAGCAAAUUUUGCCUACGUCCUCGGGCACUACCAAAUAUAUUUCACUCCAAAAAAUACAAGUGAAAGUUUACAAAUAGGGAGAGAGAACAAUUGCCUUAAGUAGAGAAUGGCAAGUGUGGGAUGAAGAAAGUAAGAAAUGGUUAGGCCUAUUUAUAGUUGAGGUUCAAGGAUCAACUUGCAAUGUCCCUAUACAAUUAGGGACCAAAAUUGCAAUUAUCCCAUGCCAACUUUUAACCCAACUUGCCAACCAAUUUUACUUUCUACUUUCGGUGCCCACCCUUUUUGACUUUUCAAACAAUGGGUGGGUUCCAAUAAUCUCCACCUUGAAGAUUUGAUUAGGAUAAUCUUAUCUUCACACAAUUCUUUCUGCCUUUGACAACAAUACUUGAUAGUGCCUUCUUCAACUGUUAAACUUGCAGGAUAUUAAUCAAGUUCAAACAAUGUUCGAACUUGGUUGCUGUUACCACCUUGGUCAUCAUAUCUGCGGGAUUAUUUGCAGUCUUGAUCUUCUGAAGACAAAUUUUCCCCUCUUCAAUAAUUUCCCGCACAAAAUGGAAUCGUACGUCGAUAUGUUUUGUACGUGCAUGAUAGACUUGAUUCUUUGCUAAAUGAAUAGCACUUUGACUAUCACAAUACACGUUAAUAUGCUCCUGAACCAACCCCAAGGUUUUAGCCAUACCUUGUAACCAAAUAGCCUCCUUUACAGCCUCUGUUACAGCCAUGUACUCGGCUUCUGUGGUUGACAAUGCAACUGUAGACUGUAGUGUAGACUUCCAACUUAUUGGUCCUCCAGCAAGUGUAAACACAUAACCGGUGGUUGAUCUUCGCUUGUCCAAAUCACCGGCAUAGUCAGAAUCAACGUACCCAAUAACACCUUUACCAAGUGUAUUAUCCUGCUUGAACAGUAAUCCAACAUCCACGGUCUUCUGAAUAUACCGUAGAAUCCAUUUCACAGCUUGCCAAUGUCCUUUUCCAGGAUUAUGCAUAUACCUGCUCACUAUACUAACUGCCUGUGAAAUGUCGGGUCUUGUACACACCAUUGCAUACAUCAAGCUACCCACUGCAUUAGAAUACGGAACUUGCAACAUGUAUUCUCGUUCCGUAUUCGUCGAAGGAGAUAGUUGUGCAGAAAGCUUGAAAUGAGAAGCCAACGGGAUACUUACAGGUUUGGUCUGCUCGUUCAUGCCAAACUGCUGUAGUACUUUCUUCAAAUACUGCUUCUGAGACAAGCUAACUCUGCCAUGAGCUCUAUCUCUACAUAUUUCCAUGCCAAGAAUCUUCUUAGCUUCACCUAGAUCUUUCAUCUCAAACUCGAGAUUGAGUUGAGUCUUCAAUCUCUCAAUCUCAACUUUGCUCUUAGAUGCUAUCAGCAUAUCAUCAACAUAUAAGAGCAAGUAUAUGAAAGUUCCUUCUUGUAGCUUCUGAAAAUAUACGCAAUGAUCAUAUUUACUUCUUGUGUACCUUUGCCCUUUCAUGAACUGAUCAAAUCGCUUGUACCACUGCCUCGGAGAUUGUUUCAAUCCAUAAAGUGACUUUGUCAGUUUGCAAACCCAAUUUUCUUUAUCAGCAACAUUGAAUCCAUCAGGCUGAGUCAUAUAGAUUUCCUCUUCCAAAUCACCGUGUAAAAAUGCUGUCUUCACAUCAAGUUGAACUAGUUCAAGAUCGUAUUGCGCAACCAAGGCUAGCAAAAUUCGAAUAGACGAAUGCUUCACAACUGGAGAAAACACUUCAUUGUAGUCUAUUCCUUCUUUCUGAGCGUAACCCUUUGCUACCAAUCUAGCCUUGUAUCGAAUUUCAUUUUUACCAGGAAAUCUUUCCUUCUUUGCAUAUACCCAUUUGCAUCCAAUUGCCUUCUUUCCCUUGGGCAGUCUCACCAACUCCCAAGUCCUAUUUUUAUGAAGAGACUGCAUUUCUUCAUUCAUAGCUUGCUUCCACUUUACACCAUCAGAGUUACUUAUUGCUUCUGUGUAAGUGGAAGGAACAUCAUCAUCUGCAAUUGGAAGUGCAUAGGCCACCAUAUCGUCAAAGCGAGCAGGCUUACGAAUCUCUCUUCUUGGCCUCCUAUAUGCAAUUGAAUCUUGUUGCUGUAGAAGUUCUUGGGUCGAAACUUCUUCAUCAUUUGUUCUUUCAAUAUUAGCUGGAUCAUCAUUAACCUUUUCAAACUCCACCUGCUGCAAAGUACUACUGGUUUUGUCAUCCUUUUGUGAAUCCUCGUUUUUCAUCAUGGUUGAUUCAUCAAAAGUUACAUCUCUACUGAAAACAAUCUUCCUUGUAUCAGGACACCAGAGACGGUAUCCUUUUACACCACCAGUUAUACCCAUGAAUAAUGCUUUCUUUGCUCUUGGGUCUAACUUAGAUUCUUUUACAUGAUAAUAUGCAGUGGAACCAAAAACAUGUAAAGAAUCAUAAUCAGUAGCAGGUUUACCAGUCCACAUCUCCAUAGGAGUUUUUCCAUUUAUUGCAGCUGAUGGCAAUCGGUUAAUUAGAUGGCACGCAUAUGUAACUGCCUCAGCCCAAAAUUCCUUGCCCAAUCCAGCAUUGGACAACAUACAUCGAACUUUCUCCAGUAUAGUCCGAUUCAUGCGUUCUGCCACCCCAUUCUGCUGUGGUGUAUCUCGAACAGUGAAGUGUCGCACAAUGCCCUCAUCUUGACAUACUUGUAGAAAUGGAUCAUUUUUAUACUCAGUACCAUUAUCUGAUCGAAGUCGUUUGACCUUUCGACCUGUCUGAGUCUCCAUCAUCUUCUUCCACUUCAGAAAUGUAUCCAAAACUUCAUUUUUUCUUUUCAUUAGAUACACCCAUACUUUUCUUGAAUAAUCAUCAAGAAAAGUGACAAAAUAGUGCAUACCUCCCAAAGAAGCUACUUUGGUAGGUCCCCACACAUCACUGUGAACAUAGUCCAGAAUUCCUUUCGUAUUGUGAAUUGCUGAACCAAAUUUUACCCUCGUCUGCUUGCCCAGAACACAAUGUUCACAGAAUUCCAAUUUGCAAGAAUUUGCACCUUUCAACAAGCCUUGCUUCGCCAAAGUCUGCAAAGCUUUUUCACCAGCAUGUCCCAAUCGCCUAUGCCAUAACCUGGUAGCCUCUGAAUCUGCAUCUUUCGCAGAAACUGUUGAUGUUGAUCCAAUAACUGUACUUCCAUUUAAAUAGUACAAGUUAUUUCUUCUAGUGCCUUUCAUCACCGUCAAUACCCCAGCUACUACCUUUAGUAAUCCAUCUCUCAAAGUGAUUGUGAGCCCUUUAGAUUCUAGGGCCCCUAACGAGAUGAGAUUUUUCUUCAAGCUGGGUACAUAGCGAACAUCUGUCAGAACUUGGAUUGAGCCGUCAUGGUUCUUCAAUUUGAUUGUACCUACACCCAUUGUUUUACAGGCACUAUCAUUGCCCAUAAAAACAACUCCACCUUCUAGUUCUUCAAGACUAGAAAACCAGUCCUUAUUAGGACACAUAUGGUAAGUACAUCCCGAAUCCAAUAUCCACUCAUCCGUUUGACAUGCCAUUGCCAUGCCAACCAAGCUAAAGUCUGACUCCUCAUCAUGCUCCGCUACACAUGCAUUAGAAAUAGACUUGCCCUUUUGUAACUUAGGACAAUUCUUUUUCCAAUGCCCUUUCUCACGACAAAAGGCACAUUCAUCUUUGGCGGGUCUCCCUUUGGACUUACCCCUUCUACCAGGUUUGCUGCUGUGUGAACGACCUCUUACUGUUAAGACUUCUGCAGUUGUAUCUCUGUGAUCUCUUUUAUCUUUCUUUCGAGUCUCAGAUCUAUACAACGCACUACAGACUGCAUCAAAUGUGAUUGAAUCUUUCCCAUGAAGCAAUGUGGUGGUAAGAUGAUCAUAUUCAUCAGGAAGGGAAUUCAACAACAAUAAUGCCUUGUCUUCAUCUUCAAAUUUCUCAUCCAAAUUUAGCAAGUCUGCUAAAAUUUUAUUGAAUGAGUUCACAUGGUCAUUCAUCGACAUACCGGGUGCAUACGUGAACCGAAAAAGUUUCUUUUUCAUAUAAAGCCUAUUUUCAAGACUUUUCGUUAGAAACUUUUCUUCCAAUGUAUCCCACAGCUUCUUCGCUGAUGUCUCCCUCAUGACGGAGUACUUCUGCUCUUUGGCCAAACAUAGGCGGAUUGUACCACACGCCUGUCUAUUGAUCUUGGCCCACUCCUUGUCAUCCAUCUUGUCAGGUUUUUCUUCAAGGGCUAUAUCCAGCUCUUGCUGACAUAAGACAUCCAGGAUCUCACACUGCCACAUACCAAAAUUAUUGGUACCGUCAAAUUUCUCUACUUCAAAUUUUGCAUUUGUCACAGUAGUCCUUGCUGAUGACGAUGCUGCUGCCAUUUUUCUCCUCAGUCCCAGCUACUGUAUACGUGAAUAGUAUCGUAUACGUGAAUAGUACUAUAUACGUGAAUAGUGCCGUAUACGUGAAUAGUACCGUAACGGUCGUAUUCCCCAAGUACGAACCUGGCUCUGGUACCAAUUGUUGCGCGGAAGCGUGUGAAAGAGUAAAAUUAUUGUACUGAAAAAUCACACUAAGUUCAAUUCCCAGGAAAGAGAGGUGGAUCACGAGGAUCGCUUACAUACCAGAUCUUUCCUAGCCAGAAUAUCCCUCUAUCGUAAUUUAAUAGCACAAUAAAUCACUACAAUGACACUUGCAAAAUAUGCAGAACAAAAAUAAAGAACACUAGAAUUUUAACGAGGUUCAGCAAAUUUUGCCUACGUCCUCGGGCACUACCAAAUAUAUUUCACUCCAAAAAAUACAAGUGAAAGUUUACAAAUAGGGAGAGAGAACAAUUGCCUUAAGUAGAGAAUGGCAAGUGUGGGAUGAAGAAAGUAAGAAAUGGUUAGGCCUAUUUAUAGUUGAGGUUCAAGGAUCAACUUGCAAUGUCCCUAUACAAUUAGGGACCAAAAUUGCAAUUAUCCCAUGCCAACUUUUAACCCAACUUGCCAACCAAUUUUACUUUCUACUUUCGGUGCCCACCCUUUUUGACUUUUCAAACAAUGGGUGGGUUCCAAUAGUAAUAUCCUUUGAAGUUUGUUCUAAGAACAUUAGAAUGCUAAUCAUUAGAGUUUCAACUUAAGAUUAAACACAAAAAAUAUUGAAAAGUUUCAAGUACUAGGUGUAUUUUGAAAGAGUUGCUCCUAGGGCAUUUUCUCACCAUUCUUUUUCUUCCAUGGAUUCAAAUGCCUGUAAAAGAAAACCAAGGAAUAAAAAAUCAUAUCUACAACUCCAACAGAAGAGGGGAAUACCGGAAGAACAACCUCUACUUACCCUAUCAUAAACACUGGUAACAUCACUGUUGAAGCCUUUCAUAGCAGGGAAUCUUCAUAUAAAGAAUGAUUGAAGACCCACUGUGACACAUUUAGCUUUGAAGCUUCAGAUAGCUAGCCUGUCAAAAUGAUCAAAUAACAUAUCACAACUACCAUACUUGUGGUCUGAGCUUGAGAAAAUAAGGGAUGCUCUGAAAAAUUGGUGAUGAUCCAUCCAUCCAUAAUCACAACGAUUGCGCUCAAGCGAUGCAUCAACAAGAGAAGUGCACACAUAAACGUACAAAAUACCGAGGAAAGCCAACCAAACAUCCUUCAAUAGUACAAUGAAAUGUCAAAUGUUUUUAACAAAAAUCCCAUUCCCAUAUACAUAGGCAUAACAAUUGCAGUUGAGCGAUUGCUCCAAGCCCAUGCCAUAUAGUACAAAGCAAAGGAUCCUUAAGGACGAGGACGAUAUAAGAGUUAACCAAACAUAUAUGCAAAAAAAGCUUAGAAAUCAGAAGCUGCCGAUGAAAACAGAACAUUCAAAUUGCUUAAUAAAUGUUCCCGAUGAAAAAUAUAUGAAUAUACGCAUAAAUUUAGUAUUGCUAUUAAAUAUCAUGAGCACUGCACAAAUUUAGCCCAAUUUAAAGGAAAUUUUUUUUUCUAAAUUUCCAUUUUAUUUGACAUAUCUAGAUUUGUAAUUUGAAACUUUGUUCUUAUUCACAUGAAUUAAAAUUUGAUCUAAUCUGAUUUUAUCAUUAAAAAUGAGCCAACAGCCUAAAUCUUAAUUCAGACGAAUAAAAGCCUAAUCAUGUGGUUUUGUGAGAAAUUAACACUAGGGUAAUCUAAAAUUAAACGCCUGAUGAUAUCUCGACUCUCUUAGCUUCUUGCUAGGGAAUUAGAUUACUCUCACACACUAACACACACAUUUCCCCUAAGGUAGCUACGCUAAUUUUCUUGAAUUCCCUUCUUAAUCACAGCUCUUAUUUCUAGUGAUUUUAUCCCUACAGAUUGAUCGACCAAUCAUGCUAAAUCGCUAAAUAAAAUACCAUGCUGGCUAUGUGAAAUGCUGCCAUCGGGGGCAUCCUUAGCGAUCAUAAUAGAACUUCUUUGCUGACUUUUUCUAAGGCCAUUAGAAAAGAAAAUAUAACAAGAGAACACAAUGUGGCUCGGGAAUAUUAUUCCUUAGAACAACAGGCAGAACCAAGAAUGAAAAUUACAUCAUAAAAUAAAAUACCUCACCACAAUAACCAUUCACAAACUUUGAGCAAGGUUCUUAACGGUCAUCGUCGGUAGACUUUGCAACUCUGGUACCAUUUGGCUUUUAACCCCCAUCAAAUUUUGUGGUUCUCAAAACUGAGUGAAUGUAGAAGGCUAAAUAAAUAACAUAUUUGGCUCCUCCACUUCUUUUUAUGAAGGUUUCCUUGAAGUGCCCUAUAAGAGUAUGAUAAUGCUAAUCAUUAGAGUUUCGGUUUAUAGAUUAGACAAAAAAUGAAAAGUUUCAAGUAGCAUUGGUAUUUUGAAAGGGUUAAUUCAAGGCCAUUUUCUCACCAAUUUUUCUACCUUGAUUCCACACAAUCCACAUGAUCAAAAAUGUAAAUUCUCAUCAAGUGAAUUGAUGCAGCUCAAAAGUAGCCUUCUAAUGAUUUCUGUUGUGUUAAUGCCUAAAUUGAGCUCUCUAAUGCCAUGCCCUAGUGUGUAGUGUAUCCUUCCUGUAUGGAUCAAUACCAUGUUCAUAGUUGUAAUAAAAUCUGUUGACACUGAUAUCCUUACUCAAUAACCACAAAGAUCUGUAAACUAUUACGUAAAGACUUGUUCUUCUAUGUGAAAAAUAUAAUGUCGGUAAUGACAAUAUAUCGCAAAGAAAAAAUAGAAAUAGAAAAAUAAAGAACACACAAAUUUUACGUGGAAACCCUUUCGGGAAAAAAAAACCAUAGGCAGAGGAGAAGAAAAUUUACUAUGUCGAAAACUUAAUUACAAGAGGAGUAGACUAUGCCUAUUUAUAGGCUUGUAAACCAUAUUCUAAUAGGAGUGAAACUCCUUAUUCAAAUAAUAUCAAAUAGAUGGAGUUUAAUAAGGUUUAGAAACCUUAUUCUAAAAUAAAAUAAAAGAAGUAUAAUUCUAUAGGGAUUUUACUUUUAUUUUAUUUUACCACAGUAUUUUAUUUAAAUAAGGAUUUGGGUCACUUAAUUCUAACAAUCUCCACCUUGACACAAAUUCUUAAUGAACAAGUUCUUCAUCGCGAACUCUCAACGAACAAGUUUCUCCACCUCUUCCAUAAAACCCCUUAAGGGUUUAUUUGCAACAAUGAACACCAACCAAGUCUAAGCAAUACUCAAACUUGGUUAUAGGAAGUGACUUAGUCAUCAUAUCUGCAGGAUUUUCAUGGGUACUAAUUUUGCUCACAACAAUAUCACCACGAGCAAUAAUAUCACAAACAAAAUGAUACCGAACAUCAAUGUGUUUUGUUCUCUCAUGAAACAUUUGAUCUUUUGUAAGGAAGAUGGCACUCUGACUGUCACAAAAUACUGUAUUGAUUUGAAGGUCUUCAUUGAGUUCACUAAAGAGUCCCUUCAACCAUAUAGCUUCUUUACAAGCCUCAGUAAUUGCCAUGUACUCAGCUUCAGUGGUAGACAAAGCGACUGUAGUUUGCAAAGUGGCUUUCCAACUGAUUGCACAACCUCCGAUUGUAAAGACAUAACUGGUGAGAGAUCUUCUUCUAUCGAGGUCCCCAGCAAAAUCAGCAUCAACAUACCCAAUGACUCCAUCUCUAGUUCUUCCAAACUGUAAGCAAACAUCGGUAGUACCUCGUAAGUAUCUUAAAACCCACUGAACUGCUUUCCAAUGUUCUUUACCAGGAUUCGCCAUGUAUCUGCUAACUGCACUAACUGCAUAUGAUAAAUUUGGACGUGAACAAACCAUGGCAUACAUGAGAGAUCCCACUGCACUAGAGUAUGGAACAUGUGACAUGUACUCAAUCUCAUCAUCUGAUUGUGGAGACAAAGCCGAUGAAAGUCUGAAAUGGGCUGCUAAAGGAGUACUAACAGGCUUAGCAUUCUGCAUAUUGAAUCUGGAAAGAACUUUCUCAAUGUACCCUUUCUGACUUAGAUACAAUUUACUUGCUUUUCUAUCCCUGAGAAUCUUCAUACCAAGUAUCUUCAUUGCUGGUCCCAAGUCUUUCAUCUCAAAUUCUUCACUUAGUUGGGCUUUGACCUUUUUUAUCUCUCAUUUAUCUUUUGCUGCUAUCAACAUGUCAUCAACAUAAAGGAGUAGAUACACAAAAGAACCAUCACUGUUUUUCUUAAAGUAAACACAACUGUCAAAGCUACUUCUUUUAAAAUCAUGAGAAGUCAUAAAGGAAUCAAACCUCUUAUACCACUGUCUUGGUGACUGUUUCAAACCGUAAAGGGUCUUUUUCAGCAAGCAAACAUAGUCCUCUUUUUCUGAAACUGUAAAACCUUCUGGUUGUUGUAUGUAAAUAUCCUCCUCAAGUUCUUCAUGCAAAAAUGCAGUUUUUACAUCUAACUGCUCAAGCUCCAAAUCAUGCAUGGCCAUAAUACCAAGCAAAGCUCGAAUCGAACUAUGCUUCACAACUGGAGAGAACACAUCUGUGAAGUCCACUCCGGGAAUUUGACUGUAACCCUUUGCAACAAGCCUUGCUUUAUAUCUGGGUUCUUCAACUCUUGGAGUCCCUUCUUUCUUUUUAAACACCCAUUUACAACAAACAACUUUUUUACCUUUAGGAAGUUUCACAAGAUCCCAUGUUUGAUUUUUGUGUAGUGAUUCCAUCUCCUCUUGCAUAGCAUACUCCACUUUUCUGAGUCUUCACAACUAACCGCCUCAGAAUAAUUAGAUGGCUCUUGAUUUGCAUCUAUAUCUUCAGCCACAUUUAAUGCAUAAGCAACUAGAUCAGCCUCGGCAUACUUCUUUGGAGGUUUAAUUUCUCUUCUAGUUCUGUUUUUGGCGAUAGAGUAUUGUGGUGAAGAAGCAACUCUAUUUUGAAUUUUUGUACUGGCUUUAGUAGUCGACUCUGUUGUAGAUUCUAGAUCAAUCUGAUGCUCCACCUACUUUUGAUUUUCUUUAUUUGAAGAGUCUUUAAGAGAUAAGUUAGGUAGCAUAGCAGUUUCAUCAAAAACAACAUCUCUGCUAAUCACAACUUUUCUAUUUUUAGGACACCAUAACUUAUACCCUUUUACACCAGCUUUAUAACCAAGAAAAACACAUUUAAUAGAUAUUGGUUCCAAUUUUCCAUUAUCAACAUGAGCAUACGCAGGACAACCAAAGAUAUUUAAAUCAGAAUAGUCAGCAGGAUUACCAGACUAACCUCUUGUGGAGUCUUUUUCUCAAUGGCAAUGGAUGGAGAUCGGUUGAUCAAAAAACAUGCAGUAGAGGCUGCUUCUGCCCAAAAUGACUUUGAUAAGUUGGCAUUUGACAACAUACAUCGAACCUUCUCCAUGAUUGUUCUGUUCAUUCGUUCUGUAACGCCGUUUUGCUGUGGAGUAUGACGAACUGUCAAGUGUCUCAUGAUCCUUUCUGACUGGCACAGUUUAUUAAAUUCAUCAGAACAAAACUCUAAGCCAUUGUCUGUGCGGAGAUAUUUUAUUUGCUUCCCCGUCUGUUUUUCAAUCAUGGUUUUCCAAGACUUAAAUGCGGAAAACACAUCGCUUUUCUGCUUCAAGAAGAACGCCCACACUUUUCUGGAAAAAUCAUCAAUAAAAGUUAGCAUAUAAUUAGCUCUACCUCUCGAAGGCACUCUGAAUGGCCCCCACAGAUCAGAAUGAAUAUACUCUAAUGUUCCUUUCGUGUUAUGGAUUCCUUUGGUGAAUCGAACUCUCUUUUGCUUCCCAAAAAUACAGUGCUCAUAGAACUUCAGUUUGCAAAUUCCUUGCCCAUUAAGAAGUCCUCUUUUGCUCAAUUCUGCCAUGCCAUUCUCACUCAUAUGCCCUAGACGCAUAUGCCAAAGUUUAGUAAUAUCAUCAUCUGACAAGGAAGAGGAUGAGACAGCUACAUCACCAGUAACAGUAGAACCCUGCAAAACAUAUAACUUAGCAGUCUUUCUCUGCCCUUUCAUCACAAUGAGGGAACCUUUGGAAAUCUUCAAAACCCCACUUUCAGCUGUGUAUUUGUACCCUUUUGAAUCAAGAGUACUCAACGAAAUUAAAUUUCUUUUUAAUUCUGGAACAUGUCGUACGUCACUGAGUGUUCUGACAACUCCAUCAAACAUCUUAACUUUGAUUGUUCCAACACCUGCAAUUCUACAUAAAGCAUUAUUUCCCAUCAACACAAUACCUUCAGACACUAUUUCGUAAGUUGCAAACAAAUCUCGAUUGGGAUUCAUGUGGAAGGUGCAACCCGAAUCAAGAAUCCACUCGUCGCUCACUUUGGAAUUGUCGACAAAAGCGACUAGAAGUUCACCAUCGCUGUAAUCUUCUACAACAUCAGCUUUACCAGAAUUUUCUAGUUGUUUUCCAUUUUGAUUUGCAGCCUCCCUUUUGAUCUUAUUCUGUAGCUUAUAGCAUUCAGAUUUAAUGUGCCCUUUCUUCUUGCAAAAGUUACAAGUUUUACCUCUGUUUGAAGACUUCAAUCUACCUUUAGAUUUACUGCGAGGAUUCCGUUCCUGUAUCCUUCCAUGAUCAUCAUCAGCAUUCCGAUCUUGCCUCCCACGAACAAUAAGACCCUCUCUCUGAGAGUCAGUUUUAACCACAAGAUGCUUCAUCUUAUCAUACGAGGUUAAAGAAUCAUAAACCUCAUCAACUGUGAGAGACUCGCGGCUAUAUAAAAUCGUAUCUCUAAAGGUUGAAUAAGACGGGGGCAACGAACAAAGUAGAAUCAGCCCUAGAUCUUCCUUAUCAUACUGAACCUCCAUGGCCUCCAAGUUUGAGAGAAUUUCUUUGAACACUGUUAAGUGUUCGUGCACAGAUGCACCUUCCUCCAAACGAUGAGCAUAAAGACGCUGCUUCAUAUGUAGCUUGCUAGUUAGAGUUUUCGACAUACAAAUCUGUUCCAACCUCUUCCAUAAUCCAGCGGCAGUCUUUUCCUUCAUCACAUCCUACAAAAUUUCGUUAGACAAAUGCAAAUGUAACUGUGUUAACGCCUUUCGAUCCUUGCGCUUCUUCUCUUCUUCCGUCAAAGUUGAAGGCAUCUUAUCUACCCCUAGUAGGGCUUCCUCUAAGUCCAUCUGUGCAAGAACUGCUUGCAUCUUUAUCUGCCACAAUGCAAAUCUAGUGUUGCGAUCCAACAGCGGAAUUUCGUACUUCAAAGACGUCAUUACCGUGAUUGAGAUGAACAACCCGGAAGCUCUGAUACCAAUUUGUGAAAAAUAUAAUGUCGGUAAUGACAAUAUAUCGCAAAGAAAAAAUAGAAAUAGAAAAAUAAAGAACACACAAAUUUUACGUGGAAACCCUUUCGGGAAAAAAAACCACGGGCAGAGGAGAAGAAAAUUCACUAUGUCGAAAACUUAAUUACAAGAGGAGUAGACUAUGCCUAUUUAUAGGCUUGUAAACCUUAUUCUAAUAGGAGUGAAACUCCUUAUUCAAAUAAUAUCAAAUAGAUGGAGUUUAAUAAGGUUUAGAAACCUUAUUCUAAAAUAAAAUAAAAGAAGUAUAAUUCUAUAGGGAUUUUACUUUUAUUUUAUUUUACCACAGUAUUUUAUUUAAAUAAGGAUUUGGGUCACUUAAUUCUAACAUUCUAGAAAUCCUUUGGGUAAUAUUUGACAUAGAUAUGUAAAACAGUUUAUAAAAUUUUGCAUGUAUUUAAAAGAUCAUAUCUUUUAUACUCGUCAAGGUGAAACUAAGAGACAUAUUUAAAAUAGUUCACUCGCACUCACUUUUAAGGGUGGAUUCUUGAGGUUUUAGCUAAAGUUAAAAAAAGCUUGAGUUCAAUUUAACAACUAGGACUCGAAGCUUGACUCAAUUUAGAUUGAGUUUCAGUUUUAAUGUAGAGCUCGAUUUUGAUAUAAAAAUUUACUUAAGUUCGUUAUAUUAGAUUCGUUUACCAAAUAAAAUGAAAAAAAAGGGGUCAAAUUCUAUUAUUAAUUCUUACACUAUGUAUAAGUCAUGGAUUUAGUUUAUGUAUUUUAAUUUGGUUAUUUUUAGUCACUAUACUUUUCAAAAUUUAAAAUUUCAAUCUUCAUCAAAUAGUAACUGUUAAAUUUAUUAAGUUAAAUUAUACUAUUUUAAAAAAUAUGUAUAAAAAUAUAUUAUCAUACUAGCUUGUUAUUUUCAUAUAAUACUCAUAAAAAAGUCACAUUAUUUUAGUUAAUGAAUUUAACUGCUAUCAUUUGAGUUAAGAUUGAAAUAUCAAAUUCGAAAAGCAUAAAGACUAAAAACAAUUAAAUUGACGAACAAAUUAAAGUACAUGAACUAAACUUACAACUUACGCGUAAUAUAAGGACUAAUAGUGAAAUUUGACCAAAAGAAAACAUGAAAACAAACAUGCAUACAUACAUACCCUAAGUGCAAGGAAGUGUCUGAGAGAUGGUUGUCAUCAUCUGAUAUUGCACUAUUAUUAUCAUCAGCCUUUGAAUUAUUUGGUGAAUGAUCAAGUCUUCUUUCCAGCAAUGGAUUCAAUUCUAGUAUAUUCGAGUUCGAGCUCCUUUUUUGUCUCAAUUCCUCAACCGUAAAACUACAUUCAAUAAUCAACAAAAUGCAAUAUUACAAACUCCAAAAUCUUAAUAUCAUAUAUAAGCUAAACUACACUGCUAAUCACCCAAUUAUUGGUAAGUUUAUUUUUUGAUUACCCAAUUAUAAAAAGUUACAAAAUUGUCAUGAUUUUGUCCUUUUUGUCAUCCGUUAUUAAAUGGCUCAUGGAAAGAUUACGUGGCAGGUUUUAAAAUUGGCACUAUAGCAAUUUUAACCCUCAACAUUUAUACAUUGUGUCAAUUUAGUCUUGACUCUAAAAAGUUUAUCUCUCAACAUUUACAUGUAGUGUAAUUUAGUGUUUUUUUUGUGUGACCUUUUAACAGCUUAAAAAGCUAAAAAAAUAAAUUUAUCAGCUAAAUUUUAUCGAAAAUAUAUUAAAUUAACACUCAAUGUCACAAAGAAAAGCAAAACUGCAAAAAAAGACUAAAUUAUAGAAUGUAUAAAUGUUGAGGGUUAAAUUUUUUAGAAUGAAGACUAAAUUGACACAGUAUAAAUAUUGAGAGUUAAAAUUACUAUUAUACCAAUUUUAAAAGCCAUCAAAUUACCUUUCUAUUAGUGAUUUAAUUGUUGGUGACAAAAAAAUUUGAACAGUUGGGUGAUUAACAAUAUAGUUUACUCUUAUAUAUAUAUAUAUAUAUACAUGUGUGUAUGUGUGUAGCAGUUGAUUAUACGUAUGACCUACGUACCUGUUUGCGUCGAUCUUCAUUCUCCAUUAUAGUCUUCUGUUCCUGAAAAUAUACAAAUAUUAAACCAGAAAUCAUUAAUAUUAAAUGUUAAUUACAAUUAUUUGAUUGCUAAACAUAUAUGAUUCCUUAUUCUCUUUCAAAAGUAAAUAUUUAUACUCUAAUUUGUAUCUAUAAUUUUAUCUUUUAAGUCGAGGUUUUUAGAUAUUCAGAUAUAUAUAGUGGGUAAUUAAGCAUUGGAUUGACAUAUAACCUUUUAUGUCAAAUGUUCGAAUCUGGACUUGAACUAAGAAUAAGUGUCGAAUAUCGAUAUAUGUUAAUAUAGAUGUGAUGAAUUUUUUAAAAUCGAGAAACAUUCCUCUUAUAUAAAUAUUCAAAUUUGUGUCAAACACGUAUAUAAAACAUAAUUACUUUAGAAAAAAUUGGAUUAAUAUAGGGGUAUAAUUUGAUGAGAAUAGUUUAUUUAAAAAAUUUACUAAAUUUGAUGAGAAUAGUUUAUAAUUAUAAUUUAUUUUUUCUAUUUGGUUUUUAAAUAAACUAUUCUCAUUAAAUUACCAAAAUAAUACAUAAAAUGCGAAUUAGUUUAUACUUUUUUAAAUAGUUUUACUUUAGGUAAAAUAUAUUUACUUUAAUAAUAAAAUAAAGGGCUUUUAUGAGUAAAAAUCAUAAAUUAAGAGCUUAUUUAACUACAAAAAUAGGUUGAGGGCUUGUUUAUUAAAUAAAAAAAUGAGUUGAAGGGGAAUAAAAAGAAAAUAAUAAAUAAGGAGGGCUUAGAAGGCAAUUAGCCAUAUUUCAAUUUUAGUGCGCCCCACACGCACACAGCAAUUAACUUUCAAAAUUUAAAAUGGUAAAUUUGCAUGUCAGGUCCUUGAAACUACAAAUAGUUACAUUUUAGUCCUUUGGCACCAUUGGUGCCGCCAAUCACUUUGGCACCUUUGGUGCCGCCAAUGUGAUUGGCCUGAUCAGGCUGUUGUCAGGUUUUUUUUUCUGUUUUUUGUUUUUUUUGGUAUAUUUUGGUAAAUAAAAAAUUUUAUAAUAUUUUGGUAAAUAAAAAAAAGUUAUAAUAUUUUGAUUAUUUUUUAUUUUUUUUAUAAUAAUUUUGUAAAAAACCCUUUAUUAUAGGUUUAUUUUUUUUUCUAUUUAUCUUAAUUUCUCUACCUUUUUACUCUGCUGUUUUUGGCAUUUCAACUCAAAAUGGAUUUUAUUUUUGCUUUGGGUUUCUUUUUUUUAAUAUAAAAAGUGGUUUUUAAUUAUUUAUAUAUUAUUAAUGUGUUUUAACAAUUUUUGUGAGUAAAUAUUGAUUUUUUUUGUGAAUUACAAUAGGAGGGCAAAGCCCUAACAACAAUACGACUAGAGCGAUUCGAAUUUAGGCCACACUUGAGACGUUGAACACAAGUAUUUCACGAUGACAUAUAACACAUGUUUUUUUAAAUUCAUGGCUAAAAUAAUAAAAAAAAACCUCUUUAUUUUAUUGUAUUCAAAUAAUAAAAAAACCAUGGUUUUAGUCGUACCGGCCUGUAGGGCUGUGCAUUAUUCGGUUAAAACCAAAUUUUUUCGGUUAACCGACCGAGUUCGGUUAAUCGGUCGGUUAACCGAAAAAUUUUGGUCGGGGGUCAGUUAAAUUUUUUUAGUUUGUUCGGUUAACGGUUAAAUAGGUUCGAAAUGGGUCGGUUAACUGAAAAAAAUUCGGGUAAACCGAAAUUUACAGGGUAGGCCUACUCCCUCCCAAUUUAAACUCAGCCCAAUAUAAACCCAACCCAAUUUUUUCUUAGGCUCACCAAAUAGGACAGCCAAAUUCAACACCCCUAGCCCAGUAGCCUUAGAACCUGCUCAUGCUGCCCAUUUCUGAUUUCUCAGUAGCCUUAGAACCUGCUCAUGCUGCCCAUUUCUGAUUUCACUUUCACUUUCACUCACACACACAGUCACACUUAAGCUGCUGCUGAAACUUAUUGGUCUACUUGUAUUCCGAUAGCUGGCAUAAUCCCAUCAAAUUAAUAUUUAGAUUGGAAUUAGUAAUUCCAAUUAAACUAUGGUUGAACUUUGCGUAACCAUAUUUAAUAUUUAAGAUGAGAAAGUCAGCAAUGGAGCUAUUGUUUAUAAUGGUAUUUGCCAAAGGCAGAAGCUGGUUUAAAAUAAAGAGCAAAUGGGUCCAAGAAUGAAAAAGAGCUGUUUGAAUGCAAAUACCUGGAAAAAUUUCCAUUUCCCCCUCUUUAAUGUUCAAAGUUCAAACAUUUCCAUGUCUUAUUCUUACAUGUAAUUUUUAGUCUUUUAACGUAAUAACUAAGUUUUCAAAUUGUCAAUUCGGGUAAUUCGGAUAAUUUUCGGUUAAUUCGGGUAAUUCGGAUAAUUUGGGUAAUUCGGGUAAUUUUAAACCAAAAAUGAACAACACAUAUUUUUCGAUUAAUUCAGUUAACCGACCUUAUUAACUGAAAAAAUUUCGGUUCGGUUAAUUUUUUUAAAAAAAAUUCGGUUCGGUUAACGGUUAAAAAUUUUGGGAGGUCGGUUAAUUCGGUUAUAACAAUUUCGGGUAGGUUAACCGGUCGGUUAACCGAAUGAACACCCCUACCGGCCGGUGCCGCCGUUCUACUGCUAUAGCGCAACAAGCAACACCCUUUUUCCAUACUAAUGAAAAUUUUGGUUUGUACCGUUCGCAUUGGCCAAAACAUGGUACACCUGCUGCUGCAUAAAUAAAGUUAAAAAAUAUAAAACUUUUAACUAUUUUCUAUUAGACUUAAAUAUUUAAUUGAAAUGUAUUGACCAAUAAAAAAAUAUCACACUAAAAAGUAAAGUUUAACAUUUAAAAAUUUUUUUGGAGCAUACUUUUUCAUUUAAAAUAUAAAAAUUAAAAUAUAAUAAAAAAACCCACUCACCUCGUUAUCAUAGAAAAAGCUUCACUCGCCCUUCAGCUUUUUUUAUUGAAAAAACCCCCUCAUCCUUCAAUUUCUUUUUUCUUCUUAAUUUUGAAUUUAUUGGAUGAUGAGUUUUUACUUGUGGGUUUAUUAAUCAAUAUAUUAUAUAAUUGAUGAAUAGUUUUAUAUUAGAAAUUUAUUUAUAGUAAUUUAUUUGAUAUUUGUAUAUUUAUUUAUAUAAAUAUAUUAAAUAUUUUAAAAAAUAUCGAUAAAUUCAAAGUGGUACAUAAAAUAGACUAGUACCAAUACAUGCCGAUUCUCAUAGAAAAGUGGUACUUACACCAAUGUGGUAAUGGCUACCUUGAAAGCAAGUAUGUGGGUGGCUAUAAUGUUUGAUGCUUUGUUUUCUUUGAAUAUUUUGCUUUGAUGUUUUUGAUUUGUGCUGAUCUUUGAGUGUAAUCAUUGGAAAAUAUAUGACAAUCUAAAUUUUUAUGAUUUGCUAUGUAUUCAUUGUGGUUGUUUUAUUAAUAAAUUUAUAUUUUGGAUUGAGAAAAAAAGGAAAGUAGAGAAAGUGAACACAAUAAUAUACGUGGUUAAGGAAUAUUCCCUACAUCCACAGGCAGAACUGAAAAUGAAAUUCAGUACUAAAAAUUGGAGAUUACAAUGAAAUUAAAGCAUAAAAAUAAAAUACCUUGCCACUAACUAUCUACAAACUUUGAAUGGAUUCAUGGUCUGAGAAAUUCCGAAAACUAAGAUGGACAUCUUUGAGAUUGGACAGAACAAUAUUUUGGAAACUCUGUUGUCUUACAUGUGUUAAAUUGAGCUCUCUAAUGCCAUGUUGUAACGUGUACUGUAUCCCUCCAUUCAUCCUGCAAGGAUCAAUAUCAUGUCUACAGUGAUGACAAAAUCUGUUGGCACUGAUAUCCUUACGCAAUAACAGAAAUCUAUCCACAAAGAUCAACAAACUAUCACGUAAAAGACUUGUUCUUCUGAAACACCAUUGGUUAAUAGUACAAUGAAAUCUCAAAUACUUUUAACUAAAAUCCCAUUCCCAUAUACCAAUUUCAUAGCAGCUGCAUAGAAACUAGAAGAUGCAGAUGAAAACAGAACAUUCAAUUUGCUGAAUAAAUGUUGCAGAGAAUUGACUAACCGCUUUACUAAAUCAAAUAAGCUGAAGCAAACCAGUUGAAGGUCUCCUCUAUUUUUCAUGUUGUUCAUGAGGACAAUCAGAUAUAUAUAAAGUCAUGAGGACAACCAGAUAUAUAUAAAGAAAAGGUAUGAAAUUGAUAAAUGUUUAAAAUGCGUUUGUUUGAGUGUGGAGAAAUCGAUGCCAGAUUUUGCUACUUCAAUUAAAUUUAAUGCCCUCGGAGAGAUGACUUUUCAUAUCAAUUCGAACAUAAGGUAUGUGGGCAAUCUUGAACCACUCUCGUCCUUUACCCCUUCUGCACCCUUCUUCUACCAACGGGCAACGCUGAAUACAUAGAUGCUCAAGCGAGAGAAGCAUAUCUUUUUCCGGAAGAGAUGUGAGCUUAGGACAUUCAUAGAUUCGCAAUUUUUGAAGAGAGGUCAGGUAUUGAAAGCCCUUGGAGCACAUGAAUUCCAAAUUCUCAAACUUUUCAAUGGAAAUAAAUGUGAGAGAAGGAGGCAGCGUCAUUCCUAUCCCUUCUUCUGGAAACGACACCACAUUUGAGCAUCCUUCACCGCUGAUGUUGAGUCGCUGAAGAGAGGUGAGUCUGUUAAAUCCCCAUUGAACAAGUGAUGUAUAAAUUUUGGGUGCGUUUGAGAUUGCAAGUGAUGUGAGGUUGGCAGGGAAACCCUCUUCAGGAAAGGAUAUGUCAGCCGAACAAUAAGACACCUUUAAUUCUCGAAGGGAGGUGAAGUUGUUGAUGCACUUGGGAAGGACUCCAAAAUUUUCACAAUUCUCAAUUGCGAAAACUCUGAGAUUUGUGGUGGGCAACCCACUUUCUUCAAAUGAAACCAGAUUUGGACACCAAGAUAAUUUAAUCUCCUGAAGAUGGCUGAGCUUGUCUAAUCCCCGCGGUAAUGAUUUAAUUUUUUCAGCACCACGAAUGCCAAUGCUUUCGAGAUCCGUGGUUUCAAAGAAGUCUUGGGCUAUGCAUUCCAACACUGGACAAUCCCAAAUAAAUAGCUGUUUAAGCAUUACGGGUAACUUGGCGUUUAAAAAUAACCUACUUAGCUUUGAACAACUUUCAAUUUCGAGAUGUUGAAGUCGAUUGCAUAUAUCGCCCCUUGAUGAUAACCAUAUUAGAGAUGGACAGCUUCUUAUUACUAAGUGCUCAAGAAGACAAGUGUUGCUACUCAUACUCUUAUUAUUAUUUUCAUUUUCAUCAACCAAAUAUUGCAAAUUCACGCAAUUCCCAAUCCUCAGCUCUUUUAAAGCAGGAGGAAAGUUACUCUCUGCCAAACAAACCAAGCCUGGACAGUUUUCAAGUUGUAUGCUUGUAAUCAAUGGGAAAGCAUGUAAGGCUUCUGGUAGUCUUUUGAGCCUUUCACAGUUCCUUAUGUUCAGAGAUUCAACACCUGGAAUCUUGUCAAGUUGCAAUCUCUCCUCCUCUGUUUCCAAAGAGACCAAUUGGGGACAAUCCGCAAUACUAAUAAAACGAUGCCCGACUAAUCUUAACCCAAUUUGCGAUAAAGAUCCCAACUCCUUCCAACCAGAGAUGUUGAAUCUUUCGGAGUUUGCAAAUCUCAACAUUAUCCUCUCUGCUGAAAUGUUAAAUUUUGAAAUAUUUGACACAGACAAAAUUUUCAAGGAGGUAACCUUCUGUACAGACAAAGAACCUUCAUCCACCAAUUCUUCACACCCUUCAACCCAUAUUUUACGCAGCAAGGGAAAACUUGAAAUUGAAACUACCAGUCUCUUACAGUUGUAGAUUUCAAGUGUCUGCAAGGAUUGAAGGAUGGUUGGCAACGUUCCCAGCAAUAGAGGACAUUUUCUGAUUGAAAGAAAACGAAGGCUGGGGAAUUUCGAUGCUUGCUCAUCAUCUUCACAUAGGUCCCACUCCUCCCAAUUCAGCAUGUUGUCAAAACGCAGAGACUCUAAUGAUGCAAAAGCAUUUGAUUGAUUUUCUCCAAACAACUCAGCACCAAUCUUGUGUACUUGAUCCAAACCACUAAUUGAAAGAUCUUUUAACAACAACAACCUUCCAAUCGAUGGUAGAGAUUUGCAAUUUUUACAAUUGCGAAGCUCCAAUGACAACAUAUUUUUGAAGGAAGGAUCUGCAAUCCAAGUAGAGAAUUUUGCACCACCAUAAUUCUCAAUGACGAGUUGCUCAAGCUUUUUUGGAGGACAAAGAGAGUCCAACACCCAUUCUUCAACUUCUUUAUUCCUUGAAGCAUUUUCAAACUUUUUCCUCCAAUGCAAUUCCAGUCGAUCAAUCCCCUGCUUCUCAUAUAACUUGCUUUCCCCUGCAUCUUCACCAUUAACAUUCUCCAACCCAGAAAGACGGAAAUCACCUUCGAGGUUUGACAAAUAUUUCAAAUAUCUAAUAUGACAACCAUCACCUUCCGCUAUGAUAAAAUCAGAUAACCUUUGAAGAUUCCUUAGCUUAUCAAUUCUAAAAGGAAUCCUUUCUAUUGAGUUCGCACCUCUGAUAUCAAGAUAAUGCAAGUUGACAAGAUUUCCCAUCUUUGAAGGUAACCUUUGAAGCUUGUAACACCUUCUUAAUAAUAAGGUUUCUAAAUGGUAAAGAGUGCACAAAGAAUCUGGUAGGCAUUUGAUUUGUGUGCUCGAAAAAUUUAAGUAGCGAAGAUGUUUUAAAUUUUCAAAAACAUCAGGCAACUCAGUGAUUUUAUACCCACUCAAAGAAAGCAUCCUUAGGUAGCCAAGUCUUGGUAACAAAUCAUCCAAAACAACAUUAGUUAAAAAAGGGACCCGAUAAUCACACAUUAAGGGUAAAAAAGUACGUAAAGAAUUCACUUGAUCAAAUGGUUCAAACUUCUUCACUGUGUCAUAAUCACUGACAAUAUAAGAAGAAUGUCGAGUGCGAUUUGAGAACUUCCAUUUCUUAUCACCCUCUAAUUUUGAGCAUAUUUCCCCUGCAACUACUUGAGCUAAAUCAUUGAUAAGGUCAUGCAUUACGAAUCGGGACUUAUCGUUACUGGAUGUCUGAAAGAAUCGGGACUUAUCUUUACUGGAUGUCUGAAAAAAUGACCUGGACACUAGAUCUUGAAAAUAUUGAUUUCCGAGAUCUUUAAUUUGGGGCUUAGCUUUUUGUUGCAAGAGACCUUCUGCUCUCCAUAACAAGAUAAUUUCUUCUUCCUCAAAUUCAUAGUCUUUAGGAAGUAUGGAGCAAUGUGCAAAACAUCGUUUCAAGUAUGACGGAAGAUGAUGGUAGCUUAACCGCAAAGCUGGAAUUAUGCCACACUGCUCUUCUGGUAAGUUCCAUAUCUCACUCUCAUAUAUUCUUUCCCAUUUUCCAUGAUAUUUAACCGUGCGAAGCAAGCUUCCAAUGGCUUUUGCAGCCAAAGGUAAGCCAUUGCACCUUCUAACAAUUUUCUCUCCAAUUUCUUUAAACUGGAGAUGUCCAUCGAAAUUUCUUGCUUUUAAUGCAUGCUGUGUAAAUAUGGAUAAACAAUCAUCAUCCGAUAGUUUAUCCAAAUGAAAAGCUUUGAGCGGAUCCACAAUAGAUGAAACAAUUUGAAGACGAGUGGUUACAAUGAUAUGGGUCCCUGCUCCAAACGGAGACCGUAAGAUGGUCCAAUCAUUAUAAUUUUCGUUCCAAAUGUCAUCUAAAACAAGCAAGAAUCUUUUCCCAGACAACUUCUCCUUCAACUUAACUUGAAGUAAAUUCAAGUCAUUCUCGUCACGAGAGUCAGGAUCGAUGGAUUUUAAAAUUGUCCUGGUUAUAUUAACUGCGUCAAAAUGAUCAGAAACGCAUACCCAGGCCUUGUGGUGAAAAGACUGGUUGAUGGUGGCAUCAUUAUAAACAAGCUGAGCAAGAGUUGUUUUACCCAUCCCUCCCAUGCCGACGAUGGAAAGGACUGAAACUCCGUUGGAGUUAUCACCUUUGAGAAACUCAAUCAUUUCUGUCUUCUCCUUGUGUCUGCCAACAUACUCCACAACUCCAUCCAGUACGGAAGUUGGUUGCAGCCUAGGCUGCUUUCCCUUGGAGGUUGGAGCUUGAGACAAGAUCUCACUCAACCCCAAACUACUUCUUCGAGUAGUCAAACUAUUCAGUCUAGUAGUGAUCUCUCUCACCUUCGGAAUCAUGGAAUUCUUAAACAGGAAAGAAGUGGGAGCGAAACUAGUACCAGUAAAGCAGGUAGGAAUGAGUUUCCGUACCUUGCUAGUGCUGGCUUGAGCUUGCGAUUUGUUGAGCUUGAGACGUAACUCUUCAUAAGCGAACUCAUCCAAGAUGUCAUCCACAUCGUAAGCCAAGUCCUGGAGAUCCUCCAACCAUUUCUUCACACCCAUGUUCUUGAUCUGCUUCUCCUCUGCAUCGUCCAACACUGCUUGGAUAUCAGACAAUAUGGACUGCCACUGCUUGAGCUGCUGGUGGAGUUGCUUAUGAUCAGCAACAAAGUUGAGCGCAGAGUCGAGCGAUUUGCCCACCAACAGGUCCAGGAACCCAGAAAGAGCAGCCUCUCCAAUGACAGAAAUGGUGGAAUUAUG